Molecule: long non-coding RNA, 95576 nt
Filed under: Triticum aestivum (bread wheat)
Lineage: Eukaryota; Viridiplantae; Streptophyta; Magnoliopsida; Poales; Poaceae
Description: long non-coding RNA (TAES_LNC015706)
Source: RNAcentral
UUUUUUUUUGUUGUUGAGGGAAGUGCGAAUCGAUUUGGUACUGUGCAGGGUAAUCUUGUUCUCCCGAUUUUUUUACAUUUUUCUUGUAGUUUUUUCAAUGGCAUCUAUAGCAAUAUAGUAAAAGGAGACAUGACUCUCUUGUGUCUUGUAUGAAUUGUUUUUUUACACGUUAAGUUUGUUCUGCCGAACAAGGAAUCCACACAUUGUUAUCCCAAAAUUUUCAAGCUCGAGUAUCUUUUGUCUCACCUGCUUUGAAACUCCCACUUCUUCAACCCGCGCCGCGCCUUGUUAUCCGGAAAUAUGGACACGCGCGAGAACUCCCUCCUCAUUCGAAAUCGCUCUCGCAGGCCAGACACACGAAAUCCCCCUUCUACCCCUCAGCCGGAAAUGAAGCUCCACGUUGCGGUGUCAAAACCGGUGGGGGUACGCUGGUAACUUACCCUACAUUUUGGACAAGCGCGUCCCUAAGCUUGGCUCCCCCCUCCCCCUUCGCCCCCCCAUUCGUACACCGAGGCCGCUAAAACCUGUGAAACCCCACGCUCCUCCGUCUGCCUCCCGACAGCUGCCCAGCCGGAGACUCUUCCCUGACUAUGUCAUCCACCGCAACAGCUCACCGUCCCUCAUCCACCGCACCGGAUGAGGAUCCGUUGUCAAUCUCGUCGUCCCGCCGGAUCAGCCGCCCCGUCCUCCACCUCCAAGGAGCUACCCCGAUGUUCGCCUCGUCUAUCACACCACCUCAAUCCCCACAGCGCCGUCUUGACCUGCCCCACCGGAACCACAACACCCUCACCAAUUCCUCCGAUGAAGCUGAGGCUAACUCGGCGCCUGAUACGUCUCCAACGUAUCUAUAAUUUUUGAUUGUUCCAUGCUAUUAUAUAAACUGUUUUGGAUGUUUAUGUGCUUUAUUUUACACAUUUAUAUCAUUUUCGGGACUAACCUACUAACCGGAGGCCCAGCCCAUAUUGCUGCUUUUUACCUAUUUCAGUAUUUCGAAGAAAAGGAAUAUCAAACGGAGUCCAAACAGAAUGAAACCUUCGGUGGCGUGAUUUUUGGAACGAACGUGAUCCAGAUGACUUGGAGUGCAAGUCAAGAAGCAGCCGAGGCGGCCACAAGAUAGGAGGGCGCCCCCCCCCUUGUAGGGCGCGCCCCCUGUCUCGUGGGCCCCUCGGGCGGCCACCGACGUACUUCUUCGUCCUAUAUAAGCCUACGUACCCCGAAAAUAUCCAUGGAGCAACCGAAACACAAUUUCCACCACCGUAACCUUCUGUAUCCGCGAGAUCCCAUCUUGGAGCCUUCAUUGGCGUUCUGCCGGAGGGGGAAUCGACCACGGAGGGCUUCUACAUCAACACCAUAGCCCUUCCGAUGAGUUGUGAGUAGUUUACCAUAGACCUACGGGUCCAUAGUUAUUAGCUAGAUGGCUUGUUCUCUCUUUUUGGAUCUUAAUACAAUGUUCUCCCCCUCUCUUGUGGAGAUCUAUUCGAUGUAAUCUCUUUUUGCGGUGUGUUUGUCGAGAUCCGAUGAAUUGUGGGUUUAUGAUCAAGUUUAUCUAUGAAUAAUAUUUGAAUCUUCUCUGAAUUCUUUUAUGUAUGAUUGAGUUAUCUUUGCAAGUCUCUUCGAAUUAUCAGUUUGGUUUGGCCUACUAGAUUGAUCUUUCUUGCCAUGGGAGAAGUGCUUAGCUUUGGGUUCAAUCUUGCGGUGUCCUUACCCAGUGACAGAAAGUGUUGGGGAUGUAACUAUUCAUGUAAGCCCCCCGGGAGGGGCCGGGUUACACAAAUAAGACUCACCAGAAGGAAGCCCAAGACCAAGCAUGAAGAUGGCGGUUCAGUACAGGGUCUGAGGCCCACGGGCGAGUUGAGGCCCGUCGUAGUAAACCGUCAUAAUGGCAUGACUUGUAUCAUAAGGUAGAUUUAACUAGUCACUGAGCCGGACACUGUUUAUGAGCCGGCCGGGACUCUGUAAGCCGCAGGGCGUCAACCCGUGUAUAUAAGGGGACGACCCGCCGGCGGCUUAGGCCAAGAAAUAACUGAUCGAGAGUCGGGCAUAGCGUAUCUCGCUCCCUGGUCAUCAAAACAUCAAUACCAACCCAACUAGACAUAGGCUUCCCUUCACCGUAAGGGGCCAAACUAGUAUAAACCUCUCGUGUCCUUUGUCCCGAUUAACCCCUUCAAGCUUCCUAGUUGCGAUGGCUCCACAACUAAGUCCUUUCACGAGGACAUCCGACGUGACAAUUCCACGACAGAAAGGGUUGCAAGGCACGUAUUGUAUUGUUGCCAUCGAGGAUAAAAAGAUGGGGUUUAUAUCAUAUUGCAUGAGUUUAUCCCUCUACAUCAUGUCAUCUUGCUUAAGGCGUUACUCUAUUCUUAUGAACUUAAUACUCUAGAUGCAGGCAGGAGUCGAUCGAUGUGUGGAGUAAUAGUAGUAGAUGCAGGCAGGAGUCGGUCUACUUGUUGCGGACGUGAUGCCUAUAUACAUGAUCAUGCCUAGAUAAUCUCAUAAUUAUUCGCUUUUCUAUCAAUUGCUCGACAGUAAUUUGUUCACCCAUCGUAAUACUUAUGCUAUCUCGAGAGAAGCCUCUAGUGAAACCUAUGGCCCCCGGGUCUAUCUCUUAUCAUAUUUGCUUCCAAUCUACUUUUAUUCACAUUUUUACUUUUUGCAUCUAUAUUAUAAAAUACCAAAAAUAUAUUUAUCUUAUCAUACUAUCUCUAUCAGAUCUCACAUUCGCAAGUGGUCGUGAAGGGAUUGACAACCCCUUUACUGUGUUGGUUGCGAGUUCUUGGUUUGUUUGUGUAGGUGCGUGGGACUUUUGAGGAGCCUCCUACUGGAUUGAUACCUUGGUUCUCAAAAACUGAGGGAAAUACUUAUGCUACUAUUGUUGCAUCACCCUUUCCUCUUCAAGGUAAACCAACGCAAGCUCAAGACGUAGCAAGAAGGAUUUCUGGCGCCGUUCCCGGGAGGUCUUCGCUCAAGUCAAGACAUACCAAGUACUCAUUUACAUUAUUUGUCAUUUGCCUCUCGUUUUCCUCUCCCCCACUUCACCCUUGCCGUUUUAUUCGCCCUCUCUUUCCCAAUCUCCUCCUCUCUUUUCGCUUGCCUUUUCUGUUUACUUGUGUGUUGGAUUUCUUGUUGCCAUGGCGCAAGACAAUACCAAAUUGUGUGAUUUCUUGAAUACCAAUAAUAAUGUUUUCCUUAGUACUCCGAUUGCUCUUCUUAAAGAUGUUGAGUCUUGUGAAAUCAAUGUUGCUUUGCUGAAUCUUGUUAUGAAAGAUCAAUUCGCUGGCCUUCCUAGUGAAGAUGUCGUUUCUCAUCUAAACAACUUUGUUGAUUUGUGUGAUAUGCAAAAGAAGAAAGAUACCGAUAAUAAUAUUGUCAAAUUGAAGUUAUUUCCGUUUUCACUUAGAGAUCGUGCUAAAUUUUGGUUUUCGUCUUUGCCUAAAAAUAGUAUUGAUUCUUGGAACAAGUGCAAGGAUGCUUUUAUCUCUAAGUAUUUUCCUCCCGCUAAGAUUAUCACUCUUAGGAACGAUAUUAUGAAUUUUAAACAACUUGAUCAUGAGCAUGUUGCACAAUCUUGGGAAAGAAUGAAAUUGAUGAUUCGCAAUUGCCCUACUCAUGGUUUGAAUUUAUUGAUGAUCAUACAAAAAUUUUAUGCCAGUUUGAACUUUGCUUCUAGAAAUCUUUUAGAUUCGGCUGCGGGAGGCACGUUUAUGGAAAUCACGUUAGGAGAUGCUACAAAACUUCUUGAUAAUAUUAUGGCUAAUUAUUCUCAAUGGCACACCGAAAGAUCUUCUAGUAAAAAAGUGCAUGCUAUAGAAGAAAUCAAUGUUUUGAGUGGAAAGCUGGAUGAACUUAUCAAGUUGUUUGCUACUAAAAAUACUCCUAUUGAUCCCAAUGAUAUGCCUUUGUCUACUUUGAUUGAGAAUAAUAAUGAAUCUAUGGAUGUGAAUUUUGUUGGUAGGAAUAGUUUUGGAAACAAUGCUUAUAGAGGAAACUUUAAUGCUAGACCGUUCCCUAGUAAUUCCUCUAAUAAUUAUGGAAAUUCCUACAAUAAUUCUUAUGGUAAUUUUAAUAAGAUGCCCUCUGAUUUUGAGAAUAGUGUGAAAGAAUUUAUGAUUUCUCAAAAGAAUUUUAAUGCCUUGCUUGAAGAAAAAUUGCUCAAAGUUGAUGAUUUGGUUAGGAACGUUGAUAGACUUUCGCUUGAUGUUGAUUCUCUUAAACUUAGAUCUUCUCCUACUAAGCAUGAUAUCAAUGAGUCUCUCAAAGUAAUGAGAAUUUCCAUUGACGAGUGCAAGGAAAGAACCGCUAGAUUGCGUGCUAAGAAAGAUAGCUUUAUAGAAGCGUGUUCUUCUAGUUUGCAUGAAAAUAAUGAUGAGGAUCUUAAAGUUAUUGAUGCAUCUCUUAUUAGAUCUAUGUUUUGCAAUAUGAAUCUUGAUGAUUAUGCGACUGAUGAUGAGUCAACUUUACCUAGAAGGCGUCCCAAAAAUUUGGAGUUUUUAGAUCUUGAUGCUAAAUUUGGUAAAAGUGGGAUUGGAGAGGUCAUGACUUUAAAUAGUAUUGAACCCACUAUCUCGGAUUUCAAGGAAUUUGAUUAUGAUAAUUGUUCUUUAAAAGGUUUUAUUUCCUUGUUGCAAUCCGUUGUUAAUUAUCCUCAUGCUUAUACUCAAAAUAAAGCUUUUACCAAACAUAUCGUUGAUGCCUUGUUACAAUCUUAUGAUGAAAAACUUAAUUUGGAAGUUUCUAUACCUAGAAAACUUAAUGAUGAGUGGGAAACUACUAUAAAGAUUAAAAUUAAAGAUCAUGAGUGUUUUGCUUUGUGUGAUUUGGGUGCUAGUGUUACCACGAUUCCAAAAAAUUUAUGUGAUAUUCUAGGUUUCCAUGAUCUUGAUGAUUGCUCUUUAAAUUUGCACCUUGCGGAUUCCACCAUUAAAAAGCCAAUGGGAAGGAUCAAUGAUGUUAUCAUUGUUGCAAAUAAAAAUUUGGUGCCCGUAGAUUUUAUCGUUCUUGAUAUAGAUUGCAAUCUUUCUUGCCCUAUUAUUCUUGGUAGACCUUUCCUUAGAACGAUUGGCACGAUUAUUGAUAUGAAGGAAGGGAAUAUUAGAUUCCAAUUUCCAUUAAAGAAAGGUGUCGGUGUCAAAACCGGCGGAUCUCGGGUAGGGGGUCCCGAACUGUGCGUGUAGGCGGAUGGUAACAGGAGACAAGGGACACGAUGUUUUUACCCAGGUUCGGGCCCUCUCGAUGGAGGUAAAACCCUACUCCUGCUCGAUUAAUAUUGAUGAUAUGGGUAGUACAAGAGUGGAUCUACCACGAGAUCAGAGAGGCUAAACCCUAUAAGCUAGCCUAUGGUAUGAUUGUUGUUCGUCCUACGAACUAAAACUCUCCGGUUUAUAUAGACACCGGAGAGGGCUAGGGUUACACAGAGUCGGUUACAAUGGGAGGAGAUCUUCAUAUCAUAUCGCCAAGCUUGCCUUCCAUGCCAAGGAAAGUCCCAUCCGGACACGGGACGGAGUCUUCAAUCUUGUAUCUUCAUAGUCCGGGAGUCUGGACAAAGGUCAUAGUCCGGCCAUCCGGACACCCCUAAUCCAGGACUCCCUCAGUAGCCCCUGAACCAGGCUUCAAUGACGACGAGUCCGGCGCGCAAGUUGUCUUCGGCAUUGCAAGGAGGGUUCUUCCUCCAAAUACUUCAUAGAUGAUAUUGAACACAAGGGUAGUGUCCGGCUCUGAAAGAUAAGUUCCACAUGCCACCGUAGAGAGAAUAAUAUCUAUACAAAUCUAAUCUGCUGACGUAUUCCGUAGCGUGACGUCACGGCCAGGACUUUAUUCGAAUCGUUUUACUGUUCCACCUCAGCGCGUUUAGCGAGGCGGUUUCUUUGGCACGUCUUGUCAAAGCAGAGAUCGUGUUCCCUUAUUCCGGGAUUCUCAUCAAUACGGGCGUGGUAACCCAACCGUGCCUUUGGUAUGACUAAUUGAAAGCGAGUCUCAAACGGUUACGGGGAGGGCUCUUGGUAUUCAACUCCUUUAUAAAGGGACCAAGGCUCGGCUCCCUUCUUUUCAAUCCAAUCGAAUCCGCCCCUUGCUUCGAGUUCCAACACCCAAAGCUCUAGUUUUAGGCGCUUCGGACCUUCGACGAUGUCCGGGUCCAACCUUGAAGGCCGGUGGAUGCCUUCCUCUGUUACGGAAGAAGAUGUGCGAAAGCUGAGAGAUGCCAGGUAUCUCACGGGCGAAAUCUCGCAUAGGCUGCCUGCUCAAGGGCUGGCCAUUCCCACUCCCCAUCCCGGUGAGAGCGUGGUGUUCGCAUCUCACUUCCUUCGGGGGCUAGCCUUCCCGGUUGAUCCCUUCGUGUGGGGGCUUAUGUUUUCUUACGGGCUGGAGUUCCACGACUUAGCUCCGGAGUCUAUCCUCCAAAUCUCAUCAUUCAUUGUCGUGUGUGAGGCCUUCCUCCAUAUCACUCCUCACUUCGGAUUGUGGCUAAAAACCUUCAAGGUGGAACCGAAGAUGACCGAGGGGCAGCACGCUAAGUGCGGAGGAGCUAUAAUAAGCAAGAUGGCCGACGCUCCAUGGCCCGAAGGCUCUUUUCAAGAGGAGUUCGACUUAUGGCAACGGGACUGGUUUUACAUCACAGCCCCCAGGGGCACCACAUGGGUGGCGCCACCUACUUUUCGCUCGGGUCCCCCACCACGGCUAGCGUCAUGGGUUAAUGAAGGACUUAUCUGGGGGCCACCCAAAGACGUGCCCUUGUUGCAGGACCGCAUUCGAGAUCUUCUAGAAAGAGAUAUCAAUUUGACCGUAGUGGCGGAAGUCAUGUUGAUUCGCCGCACACUGCCCUGCAAACGUCGACCUCUCCGCCUGUGGGAAUUUAAUCCGGAGGGACCGCGAGUCCUCCAACAUUUCAUGGGUGCGACACCCGUGGAGAUGUACAAAUUGUUCUUCGGAUCACAAGCAAGGUGACCGUAUUUGUCCGAGGACGCAGGUCUGAGCUGCAAUCGCCCGGAUGCUAAGGUAAGUAGCCUCGUAUUUGGACACACCAUCCGUAUUUUCAUCACAAAAUUACCCUUAACAGAGUUGUCCUUUGAACAGGAGUGGAUAGUGAAGGCAAAGCUUAUCAGGUGUCCAGCCCCCCUGCCCGAGACCGCGCCGAAUCCCAUGCUAACCAGGAUGUUGGAGGUCAUGCUUUUGGCGGAAGGCGAAGGGGGGAACCCAGGGGCUACCGCCUCCACGAAGGAGGCUGUUAGGAAGGGAAGAAUCAAAAAUUCCCCCAACCAGGGAAAGAAAAGGACUGCCUCUGAAGACCCGGAGGUGAUGGCCUCAAAACGGGGGAAGAAAUGUUUGCCAGAGGGUUCGGCACCAGAGAACGCCCCGGCCAAAUCGCCCCCUAAGGGGGACCUGCUCUCCCCCGAGACGUAAGUGAAAGGAGGGGUUCCAUAAUGAAUGACACUCCUGUUUUAAUGCUGAGGAAGAUAACCGAAACAUUACCUUGCAGUUCGGAUCUCAACCCUUCUCAGCAGAGCUCAUCUUCAGGGGAUCUUCGUCCGGAGAUGAUAGAGAGCGAAACGCCUCCUCUUGUUGCACCGUCUCACAAGGCAGGCGACCCUGAGGUGUCGUCUUGGAGGGUCUUCGCAAGUCCGGACCCUGGAAAAGGUCGUCAGGCUAGUCCGGCACCCUCUGGUGCACAGUCGGAGGGGCUGGAGGAUCUGCUUGAGAGGGCGUCCAUCUCAGAAGAACACCGUAUGUUAAUGAAUACGGUGAUUGGAAGGAUUUCAUCCGUGGAAAGCGGAUUGUACGAGGCUGCCAGGAGUUUACUAACAGGCUUUGAGGUACGCAAAAAAGUUGUACCUUUUGGUAGAGCCGCAUAUUAAAUGCGCCCUGUAUAAAUAGUAGCCCCUGAGACUCUGUGUCGUCAAGGGUGACGGCGCACAGAGGAUCAUAACCCUAGGUAUAAUAUGUCGCCUUUUCCAUGAAGGUGGCGAGGCGUUCGGUGGCUAGCCGGACUGAUGAAUCUGCCGAGCUAAAGCGGCAACUUAACGUAGCAGAUGCUGACAUCGCGCUUGUAAAUAAGCGGCUAGACGAGGCACAAGGUAUGUUCCAAAGACACCUGGUAAUAGGAGCUUGAUGCUCGGGCCUUAUAUAUAUGUGCCUAAUGUAGAUGGUGCUGCUGCAGUGGAGAACCUUCGGGUGGAACUUGCCCAAGCCAAGGAGCAAGCAAGGAGAAGUGAUGCGGCUGUCGUUAAAGCGGCUGAAGAGCUAAAAGCCGAACAGGCUACUCACUGCCAGAGCAAAAAGGUGAUAGCCAAAAUGACCAUAAAGUUGAAGGAUGCUACCGACCGCUGUAAAUUUCUUGAACAAGAAGAUAUGACGGCUCAGAAGGAUCUUGAAAAGAUCACUGCCGAAGCCAAGGAUACUCGCUUUGCAAUGAGAGCUAUGAAGGAGGAGCUGCGUCAGGCCAGAGAUAUCACGUCUGGAAAGCCCUAUAUGCUGUGGAUGAAGUUCGGAGACCCCAAGUAUGCUCCGUUAGACCGGCAGUGGAGUGCGGAAAACACUUAUCUGGAUUUGGCAGCUAGUGCGGCGGACGCGACCGAACACUUCCAUGGCUGAGGUGACCAUGGAUUGGAAGAGCUUUUUUGGUUGCAGUUCCACAAUUCAGAACACCCACUUUCGGUAUCCGACCGUUUGGCCGCCUGGGCGGAGCUGAACAAGUUAUCCGGACUCGCCAUGAGGUAUGUUGCGAGUCGUCUGUGGCCGGUGAAGCCGGAGCCGAAGAGUUAUUUUGGCUUGGUGCAGCAGUUCCUUGGUUCGGUGCCGCAUGCUGAUGCAAUGAAGAGGUCGGCGUGCAGAGAGGGCACACAGAUGGCUCUUGCCCAUGUCAAAACAUACUGGGCGGAUAUGAAGGCCAGUGUUGUUGCAUCCCGUGAUUCGGACGAAAGCCGAGUACCUGCCAAGCACUACUUUGAGGAAGUUCUGCAUGGCGCUCGUUUAAUAGAGUCGCGGUGCUCGAAGGAUGUUGUGUUCGAAUAGCGUGUGCUAUUUGUAAAACGAAUAUUUUGAUGGAAUAUAAAAGCUUUUUUAUACUUGUGCUUGCAAGAAUUAUGAUGCCUCCUAUGCGGCCGUUUAAUGUAUAUAUUUGUAUAUAACCUAAAAGAUGGCAGUCGUUGGCUUCAGCCCCCACGCAUAGAAUGCGGGGGUGUUCACAAAAAGGCACCUUUUCAUAAUUAAUCCAACGUCUUGGUCCUAUAAAGGAGGUGGUGGCGCGGCGAACUAGGCAACCGGACUAUAAUGCUUUAUCACUUUCACUUAGCCAUAGGAGUUUGACAGUGGGGCUACUGAAUAGCCCCUAGGGGCACCGCGCUCACCCGGAUUCGGGGCGCGAGUGUGCCUGACCGGGAAGCGGCCCUUCGUUAAUGCGGAGGAAUCCUAAAGAUUCUGAAAGUCAUCGAGUGGUUGACCAGUCUCUCGCUAUAUCAUGACAGUCAGUUUUCGGCUUUCUCUACUGAGGUGCUCGCCUGGCCGAACCGGGGCACAAUCGCAGUAGUUCUCCUGGUGCCGUAUUAGCCGAUAUAACGGAAUGUAAGGCAGCAAAACACAGGAGCCGGACAAACCCAACAUUUGACCAAAGACAUGAUUUGGAGCUGAUGCAUAUAGGGCCAAACUCGCGACGUCGAACACUCCCUAAGGUAUUCGGUCUUUAUGAGGACGGGCCGAAAUAGAGCCCUUGGUAAAAAAAGCCCCUGGUGUCCAAGUACGAGCAAAAAUUUUGGCGUGGCCAUAUGUCAAGACGCCAGCCUCCUCCUCGGUUAUAGCGAAAACCGGGGGAUGUUGUCAACAAGAGACAGUAAAAAAGGUUUACACAGGGUCUUAAUCUGAAAAGAAUCCUUGAAACGGGUCCCUGCUGCACGUCUGCGCCUGUGUCUCCGUUGUGCCAUAUCCUGGACGGGCGUAGCACGAUGUUCGUCUGUGAAAGAGAGGAACUUAGUAAAAAAUAAGCAUGCGAGAAAUCUAUAUUUAAAAUAAACAAAAUAUAGUUGGAGCAAGAAUUGAGCCGUAUUGUCUCCAUGCGUGAACACACGGAGCCCCUUGUACGGGGUUAUGCGGCUAUUAAGCAUAUGUACAUUUACGCCGGACUCGUCGAGCCAUGUCCGGGAUAGUAGGGCUAGAUUAGUGGGCGGCUGUCUAGGCGGCCACACCUUUGCCCGUACUUUGGGGGUCAAUUUAUAUUCCCCUGUAAUGAAAUGAUGCCUGGUGGACCAGGCAUUUUAAGUGUAAGGGAUGCAUAAUGCGGUAUUGCGUUAAAGCGGGCGAAGGCUUCUCGUCCCAGUAGCGCUUGAUAGCGGCUUACGAAUGGGGAGAUGUGGAAUGUUAGCUUUUCGCUUCGGAAGUUGUCGGGUGAGCCGAACGUGACUUCUAACGAAAGGGAACCCAUACUUUAGGUAUUUGGACCCGGCGUGACUCCUUGAAAGGAAGUGUUGCCAUGGCGGAUUAUAGCUGGGUUUACCCCUAGUUUGGGGAUUGUGUCCUGAUAUAGCAGGUUCAAGUCACUACCGCCGUCCAUAAGGACUUUUGUAAAUUGGAGUCCGUUAAUGAUCGGAUUCACGACCGGGGCAGUCCAGCCUGCGUUCCGGGCUCCUAUGGAGUAAUCCUGAUGAUCGAAGGUGAUUGGUUGUAGCAACCAGUGGUGGUGCUCUUCUGGGGCUGGCCGUACGGCGCGUGUCUUUGUAAGCGCCAUUCUGUUUUUCCCUUUUGUCAUCUGAAGUGAAUUUACUGUCUUGACUUAUUGUGGGAACUUCUUUUGUUCUCCGGUGUUCUGCUUGUGGGGUGCGUCGUCAUCCUCGCUUGGUGUGUCGAGCCCCUUGUGUUCGGCGUUGAGUUUGCCGGACUAUUUGAAGACUCAACAAUCUCUGUGGGUAUGGUUGGCAGGCCUCCCCGGAGUAUUGUGGAUUUGACAUAUUUUGUCCAAGAUUUUGUUGAGGUUGGAUAGCUCGUCCCUGUCAUCUUUGGGGGGCGGCUUUUUCUGAUUUUGCCGAGAGCUUUUGAAUUCGGCUUUUACUGCCGUGCUCAUCGGGCUAUUGUGCUUGAUCCGGCGCGGUUCUUUGUUACGGCGCGGUUUCCCGUUUCCAUCUCUAGGUUCGGAUGUAUUCGGGUCGCUGGUGCUGCUUCUUGCCAACCAGCUAUCCUCUCCUGCACAGAAGCGGGUCAUGAUGCUUGUUAAUGCGGCCAUUGUUCUUGGCUUUUCUUGGCUGAGGUGUCUGGCAAGCCAUUCGUCUCGGAUGCUAUGUUUGAAAGCUGCUAGGGCAUCGGCGUCCAAACAGUCGACUAUCUGAUUCUUUUUAGUGGGGAAUCUGUUCCAGAGUUUCCAAGCGGACACUCCGGGCUGCUGAGUUAUAUGACUCAGAUCAUCUGCAUCCGGAGGUCGGACAUAGGUCCCUUGAAAAUUUGCCCGAAAAGCGUCCUCGAGCGCUUCCCAACUUCCCAUGGUGUUUUCGGGAAGGCUUUUAAGCCAAUGCCGGGCUGGCCCUUUGAGCUUAAGUGGUAAGUAUUUUAUGGCAUGGAGGUCAUCUCCUCUAGCCAUGUGUAUGUGGAGGAUGUAAUCCUCGAUCCAGACUCCAGGAUCUGUUGUUCCGUCGUAUGCUUCUAUGUUUACGGGCUUGAAUCCCGCUGGAAAUUCAUGAUCCAGCACCUCAUCGAUAAAACAUAGGGUAUGUGCGGCGCCCCUGUAUUUAGGUGUGCCGCGAUGUUCGGAUAUUUUUUGCAUUGCAUUGCUCAUUGGAGCUUGCUUUCUUGGCCCAUAGAUGGAUCUGGUUGGGCCAGUUUUUUGAUGCAAAUUCUUGGACAGAUCGCGCUCCGUAUGGAGUGCGGCGCCUCCUGUUGCUUGAGAUCGAUCGUGGGGUCGUCUAUCCGACCUUGUGGCUUCCUUAUUUUUUGACUGUGGGGGCUUUAUGGCCUCUUCAUCAAAUUCCGGUAGUAGUUUCCGCUUCGGUUAGCACUUUGUGUGACGACUAUUGCCAUACUUGUGUGCGGUAUUGUGCACUUUGCCCCAUCUGAUUCUGAGUGCAUCUUCCUCUGUUUUGAGCCUCCGCUUCUGCUUUUUCAGGCUACGUGCGGUGGCGAUGAGUCUUUGGUGGAGGUUCUAAUGCUCCAGCAAUUUGUCCGGCGUGAGAUCGUUCGGACUAUUAUCUUUCCCGGGGAUGGGUUGUUCGGAUUGUCCGCCCUGAUUGGACGGUUGCUCGAUGGCAUGUUCGUCUUCCGUUGAUUCACCCUGCUCUAUGGCUGGGUCUUUGUCGAGGUCGGGCUUGGCCUUGCGCUUACGCCGCCGCUUUGAUUGCUUUUCGAGGGAGCGAUCCCUGGUUGCGCCCUUUUGAUCCUCGUUGUCAUUUCUGUUAGGUGUGUCCACCAUGUAUAUAUCGUGUGAUGAGGUGGCUUUACAGUGCCCUAUAGGUGCUGGUUCUUGUUUAUCUCCUCUAUCUGUGUCCAUACUGUCGAUGUCUUCACAGUCGAAGUCGAGCAUGUCGGUUAGAUCGUCGACAGUGGCUACCAAGUGGGUGGUGGGUGGGUUUCGAAUUUCUUCGUCGUCCGCAUCCCAGCCAUGCUGACCGUGGUCCGGCCAGGGCUCUCCUGACAAAGAGAGAGACUUUAGUGAAUUCAGGAUGUCACCAAAGGGCGAGCGCUGAAAGACGUCCGUGGCGGUGGACUCCAUGAUCGGAGCCCAAUCGGGUUCGAUCGGGAGGGGUGCGGAAGAUUUGGAGUCCGGAACGGAGUCCGGCACCUUGGAGUCACGGGCCUUGCAAAGGACUAGGCUGGUAUUCGGCUCUAUCGCCGUAGAGAUUGCGGCUCCUGGGGCGGCGUCCAACCGUCCGUCCCUAGUUAGCGCAGUCGGCUCCGGGCUAAUGGUCGGAGCGGACACCUGAGCGGCGCUCUGGGCGCUGUCCGGCGGCAGAGCUAGAUCAUGCCCAUCGAGACAGUGCGACACGCUCGGUCGCGGCUCGAAUCCGUUGAAGACCAAGUCCCCGUGGAUAUCGGCCGUGUAGUUUAAGAUUCCAAACCUGACCUGAUGGCCAGGGGCGUAGCUUUUGAUCUGCUCCAGAUGGCCAAGCGAGUUGGCCCAUAGUGCGAAGCCGCCGAAUACGAAGAUCUAUCCGAGGAGAAAAGUCUCACCCUGGACCGCGUCGUGAUUGAUGAUCGAAGAAGGCAUCGGGCCUAAAGGUGACGACACAGAGGAACUCUCAAUGAAAGCACCAAUGUUGGUGUCAAAACCGGCGGAUCUCGGGUAGGGGGUCCCGAACUGUGCAUCUAGGCGGAUGGUAAUAGGAGACAAGGGACAUGAUGUGUUUACCCAGGUUCGGGCCCUCUCGAUGGAGGUAAAACCCUACCCCUGCUCGAUUAAUAUUGAUGAUAUGGGUAGUACAAGAGUGGAUCUACCACGAGAUCAGAGAGGCUAAACCCUAGAAGCUAGCCUAUGGUAUGAUUGUUGUUCGUCCUAUGGACUAAAACUCUCCGGUUUAUAUAGACACCAGGGAGGGCUAGGGUUACACAGAGUCGGUUACAAUGGGAGGAGAUCUUCAUAUCGUAUCGCCAAGCUUGCCUUCCACACCAAGGAAAGUCCCAUCCGGACACGGGACGGAGUCUCCAAUCUUGUAUCUUCAUAGUCCGGGAGUCCGGCCAAAGGUCAUAGUCCGGCCAUCCGGACACCCCCUAAUCCAGGACUCCCUCAAAAGGCAAGGAGCACUUUCCAAGAAAUAAAGUCAAAUUACCUUAUGAAUCUAUCAUGCGAGCUAUUUAUGAAUCAAGUGCCAAAGAUGGCACUACUUAGAUCUAUCUUCGCUUUUAUGCCUAGGGCGUUAAACGAUAGCGCUAGUUGGGAGGCAACCCAAUUUUCUUUGUGUUUUUUGUUUUUGUUCCUGUUUAGUAAUAAAUUUUGCAUCUACUUCCUGCUUAGAUGUGUUUUUAUCUUUUAAUUAGUGUUUGUGCCAAGUAGAACCUAUAGGAUAAACUAUGAUGAUAGUUGAUUUGAUUCUUCUGAAAAACAGAAACUUUGUGCUCACGAUAAAAAAAUCAAUAAAUCACAGAAACGUGCUUUUCCAUUGAUUCUUUUUGCUUCUGAUCAAUAUUUUUUUCCAGUACUUCCUAUUUUGGUAGGAUUUUUAGAGUUCCAGAAGUUUGUGUUAGUUAUAGAUUGCUACAGACUGUUCUGUUUUUGACACAUUCUGUUUUUCGUGUAUUGUUUGCUUAUUUUGAUGUAUCUAUGGCUAGUAAAAUAGUUUAUAAACCAUAGAAAGUUGGAAUACAGUAGGUUUAACACCAAAAUAAAUAAAGAAUGAGUUCAUUACAGUACCUUCUAUGGUGGUUUUGUUUUCUUUCACUAACGGAGCUUAUAAGAUUUCAUGUUGAGUUUUGUGUUGUGAAGUUUUCAUGUUUUGGGUAAAGCUUUUAUGGACUAUGGAAUAAGGAGUGGCAAGAGCCUAAGCUUGGGGAUGCCCAAGGCACCCCAAGAUAUUCAAGUAUAGCCAAAAGCCUAAGCUUGGGGAUGCCUCGGGAAGGCAUCCCCUCUUCCGUCUUUGUUCAUUGGUAACUUUACUUGGAGCUAAUUUUUAUUUGCAACAUGAUAUGUGUUUUGCUUGGAGCGUCGUGUAUUAUAUUAGUAUUUUCUUUUUAGUUUACCACAAUCAUACUUGAUGUACACACCUUUUGGGAGAAGCCUACUUGAUUAGAAUUUGCUAAAAUACUCUAUGUGCUUCACUUAUAUCUUUUGAGCUUGAUAGUUUUUGCUCUAGUGCUUCACUUAUAUCUUUUAGAGCACGACGGUGGCUUGAUUUUAUAGAAAUUGCUAGUCUCUCAUGCUUCACUUAUAUUAUUUUGAGAGUCUUUUAGAACAGCAUGGUAUUUUCUUUGGUUACAAAUUUGGUCCAAGAAUGAUGAGCAUCCAAGUUGGGUAUAAUAAAAAUAUCAUAGAAAUUGAAUUGGAUGCUAUGAUCAAUUUGUUGCUUGAUAAUUGUUUUGAGAUAUAAAGGUUGUAAUGUUAGGGUCAUGCUAGUGGAUAAUGAUGAAAUUGAGAAAUACUUUUGUUGAAGUUGGCAAGUCCCGUAGCAUGCACGUAUGGUAAAAGUUGUGUGACAAAUUUGUUACAUGAGGUGCUCUUUUGAUUGUCUUCCUUAUGAGUGGUAGUCGGGGACGAGCGAUGGUCUUUUCCUACCAAUCUAUCCCUCUUGGGGCAUGUGUAGUAGUACUUUGCUUCAAGGGCUAAGUAGACUUUUGCAAUAAGUAUAUGAGUUCUUUAUGACUAAUGUGAGUCCAUGGAUAUACUCACACUCAUCCUUCCACUUUGCUAGCUUUUCUUACUACCGCGCAACUUUCGCCGGUAUUGAACCCAUUAUUUACCUUCCUCAAAACAGCCACCAUACCUACCUAUUAUGGCAUUUCCAUAGCCAUUCCGAGAUAUAUUGCCAUGCAACUUUCAACCGUUCCGUUUAUUAUGACACGUUUCAUCAUUGUCAUAUUGCUCUUGGCAUGAUCUUGUAGUUGACAUCGUAUUUGUGGCAAGGCCACCUUCAUAAUUUUCAUACAUGUCGCUCUUGAUUCAUUGCAUAUCCCGGUACACCGCCGGAGGCAUUCAUAUAGAGUCAUAUCUUGUUCUAGCUUUGAGUUGUAAUUCUUGAGUUGUAAAUCCAUAAAAGUGUGAUGAUCUUCAUUAUUAGAGCAUUGUCUCAGUGAGGAAAGGAUGAUGAAGACUAUGAUUCCCCCACAAGUCGGGAUGAGACUUCGGACUUUACAAAAAGAAAAAAGAGAAAGGCCAAAAAGAAAAAAAAAUAGGCCGAAGAAAGAAAAAAAGGAAAAAGAAAAAAGAAAAGGAAAGGAAAAAAAGAAAAAAUGAGAGAAAAAGAGAGAAGGGACAAUGCUACUAUCUCUUUUUCCACACUUGUGCUUCAAAGUAGCACCCUGAUCUUCAUGAUAGAGAGUCUCAUAUGUUGUCACUUUCAUGUACUAGUGGGAAUUUUUCAUUAUAGAACUUGGCUUGUAUAUUCCAAUGAUGGGCUUCCUCAAAAUGCCCUAGGUCUUCGUGAGCAAGCAAGUUGAAUGCACACCCACUUAGUUUGUUUUGUUGAGCUUUCAUAUAUUUAUAGCUCUAGUGCAUCCGUUGCAUGGCAAUCCCUACUCACUCACAUUGAUAUCUAUUGAUGGGCAUGUCCAUAGCCCGUUGAUACGCCUAGUUGAUGUGAGAUUAUCUUCUCCCUUUUUGUCCUUACAACCACCACCAUUUACCACCAUAGUGCUAUGUCCAUGGCUUGCGCUCGUGUAUUGCGUAAGAGUUGAAAAAGCUGAAGUGCAUUAAAAAGUAUGAAACAAUUGCUCGGCUCGUCAUCGGGGUUGUACAUGAUGGGAGUAUUUUGUGUAAUGAAAAUGAAGCAUGGCCUACCUAUAUGAUUUUGUAGGGAUAAGCUUUCUUUGGCUAUGUUAUUUUGAUAGGACAUGAUUAUUUGUUAGUAUGCUUUGAAGUAUUAUUAUUGUUAUGUUUUAUAAGCUUUUAUCUUGAAUCAUUUGGAUCUGAACAUUCAUGCCACAUUAAAUAAAAUUACAUUAAGAAUUAUGCUAGGUAGCAUUCCACAUCAAAAAUUCUCUUUUUAUCAUUUACCUACUCGAGGACGAGCAGGAAUUAAGCUCGGGGAUGCUUGAUACGUCUCCAACGUAUCUAUAAUUUUUGAUUGUUUCAUGCUAUUAUAUUACCCGUUUUGGAUGUUUAGGGGCUUUAUUUUACACAAUUAUAUCAUUUUUGGGACUAACCUACUAACCGAAGGCCCAGCCCGUGUUGCUGUUUUUUUGCCUAUUUCAGUAUUUCGAAGAAAAGGAAUAUCAAACAGAAUGAAACCUUUGGAGGCGUGAUUUUUGGAACGAACGUGAUCUAGAGGACUUGGAGUGCAAGUCAAGAAGCAGCCAAGGCGGCCACGAGAUAGGAGGCCCCCCUGUAGGGCGCGCCCCCUGUCUCGUGGGCCCCUCGGGCGGCCACCGACGUACUUCUUCCUCCUAUAUAAGCCUGCGUACCCUGAAAACAUCCAGGGAGCAACCAAAACACAAUUUCCACCAUCGUAACCUUCUGUAUCCGCGAGAUCCCAUCUUGGAGCCUUCGCCGGCCGCGUUCUGCUGGAGGGGGAAUCGACCAUGGAGGACUUCAACAUCAACACCAUAGCCCUUCCGAUGAGUUGUGAGUAGUUUACCAUAGACCUACGGGUCCAUAAUUAUUAGCUACAUGGCUUCUUCUUUCUUUUUGGAUCUCAAUAUAAUGUUCUACCCCUCUCUUGUGGAGAUCUAUUCAAUGUAAUCGCUUUUUGCGGUGUGUUUGUCGAGAUCCGAUGAAUUGUGGGUUUAUGAUCAAGUUUAUCUAUGAAUAAUAUUUGAAUCUUCUCUGAAUUCUUUUAUGUAUGAUUGAGUUAUCUCUGCAAGUCUCUUCGAAUUAUCAGUUUUGUUUGGCCUACUAGAUUGAUCUUUCAUGCCAUCGGAGAAGUGCUUAGCUUUGGGAUCAAUCUUGCGGUGUCCUUACCCAGUGACAGAAAGGGUUGCAAGGCACGUAUUGUAUUUUUGCCAUCGAGGAUAAAAGAUGGGGUUUAUAUCAUAUUGCAUGAGUUUAUCCCUCUACAUCAUGUCAUCUUGCGUAAGGCGUUACUCUGUUCUUAUGAACUUAAUACUCUAGAUGCAGGCAGGAGUCGGUCGAUGUGUGGAGUAAUAGUAGUAGAUGCAGGCAUGAGUCGAUCUACUUGUUGCGGACGUGAUGCCUAUAUACAUGGUCAUGCCUAGAUAAUAUCAUAAUCAUUCGCUUUUCUAUCAAUUGCUCGACAGUAAUUUGUUCACCCACCAUAAUACUUAUGCUCUCUCUCGAGAGAAGCCUCUAGUGAAACCUAUGGCCCCCGGGUCUAUCUCUUAUCAUAUUUGCUUCCAAUCUACUUUUAUUCGCAUCUUUACUUUUUUGCAUCUAUAUUAUAAAAUACCAAAUAUAUAUUUAUCUUAUCAUACUAUCUCUAUCAGAUCUCACUUUCGCAUGUGGCCGUGAAGGGAUUGACAACCCUUUUAUUGCGUUGGUUGCGAGUUCUUGGUUUGUUUGUGUAGGUGUGUGGGACUUUUGAGGAGCCUCCUACUGGAUUGAUACCUUGGUUCUCAAAAACUCAGGGAAAUACUUACGCUACUAUUGCUGCAUCACCCUUUCCUCUUCAAGGAAAACCAAUGCAACCUCAAGACGUAGCAGCGCCACCAAGGAGGUUCUGCACUCACCGCUGCAUUUUAUCUUUUAUUCGAUCUUACGAGGCUGCCGGUGCUCGAUACCGAGCAGACAUGGCGGGUCUCCAUCGACGGUGCCGUCGCCGGCCACAUCAUCCACGGCGUCUCUCCCCCAUGUCGUUGCUUCCUCGCGACGACUUCCACAAUGGCACUAGCUGCAGCUGCUCCGGCUCUCGCUCGUGCUGCGGCUCUGUUCUUGCUGUCGGUCGCGCUGCUGCACUGCUCCUGCUUUCGUUCGUGCUGCUGCUCUGCUCUUGCUCUCACUUGCGCUACUGCUGCUGCUGCUGCAUGACCUCCGGCAGCUACAGGAGUUGCUGCUUUAGUACUCGCUCACGGUGCUACUGCACGACUUGCUCUCUGCUAGUGCAUUCCCUACUCGAGCGUCUGCUGAUUUAGAUCACUGCUUCUCUGCUACUAGUGCUCGAACGCCCUAAACAUCUAUUGCAAUGCUCUGUUACUAGUUCAAUCAGUUUUGAUAGUAAAAUUCAGUUUCGAAUGUGAAGUUCAUUUUCUUCAGUUAAGUUUAGAGUGAACAGUACUUACAAAAUCUGUUACAGCGGCCGUGGCGCGGCUGAUGCGAUUUACAUCUAGCACUUUUUGGUGAUGUAUUUUACAUCAUCUAUUGCAGAUGAUAUUAGGGUCCCACUUCAGAUUAACGUUGCCUGUCUUGUCAUGCUUCAGCCUCGUCGCCGUACACCUUAGCGGAGCUUCUCCAACAACGGAACCGUCCAUCACAGCGGAGCAGGACCCUCGGCGCCAUUUCUAGAGGCCUCGGAUCUUCUUCCCCGCCUCCGACAGUCACACCAGCAUCAUCACCAUCCUCCACGUCCAACCCAAUGAUGCUGAGGUCCACAAGGCUAUGCCAAAGAGGUUGUACACUCGUCGCAUCACUUUGUUUCUCCAUUCCUCUAUUCUUCCAAUUCAUGUGAGCCAAACACCUAGGUUGACUGAAAUCCUAUGUUUCCAAAUGCUCUGUUUUGCACGUGCAUUCCUAUCCUAUUCAUGUGUUUUUCCUGUCCCUGCGUUUAUAGAAUCCUCCAAUUCUAAGGAGCCCUUACAGAUUUACUUCAUUUUCAGAUAGGCGUCAAAGAAAACUCUCUGUGUUAUGUCCUGCUCCUGCCGUGUCUUCAUCGACCCUACCUGAGGUGCACCAUCGACAGAAGCGUUCACUGCAGCAGAGAUCCCCCCUGCAGACUUUCUUUCGCCGCCUCAGAUCAUCUUCCCUGUUGCCGGCAGCCACGCCAACUACAUUACCAUCAUCGACUGAGCAGAUGAACCUGAGGACUACACAGUUCCGGAAGAGAGGUCGCAGUCUUUCGUGUUUGCUUACGUUAUACAUCAGUUAUUAUUACCUGCUACUUUAUCGUUCAAUCUUGAGUUUUGAAUUGCCCAUGGGUCUCAUACCGAGCGAGGAACGAAUAGUAUCUGUCUACUAUCUGGUUCAUCUGGGGUCUUCUAUGUGGUUCAUGUUGGGUGGGCAACAAACAAUAGAUGAUCCAUUGUUUAUCUUUUUAAACUGAAGCUAUAAUCUACCUGCUAUCAUUAGUUUUGGAUUCAUCCACUCGUUUGCUACCAUCAGUCUUGAUUUUUGCAUGCACCCCUUAGGCCUUACAAAAUCUAACUAUGUUUUUUAUUAUGCAUGUCAGAUAUUGUACACAAUCGUACUGAACAUGUAGAGAAAAAGAGAAGACCGUUGCAUGCGAAUAUAAUGUCAUGCAGACACCGCUCCAUGGUGGGCGAAGUGCCCCCCUCCUGCAUUUCCAGAUUGUAUUCUAGAGGAAGAUCACUGUUCAGAUGGAGAUUCAGAAGGAGCCGACCAUGCCUGUUUAUCACCUGAGGUGUUUGCUCUAACCUGGCAUGCUGAUGUUGGUCAUAUCAUGCAUAUGGCGCCUUGCAUUGCUUACAUUAUACAUCUUAUAUGUCAUCAGCUUAGUUUAGAUUUGCUUUGUGUGAAUGCCACCUGUUUGGUUUCCAUAUCAUACUCCCACCAUUCCUAAAUAUUCUUCUUUUUAUAGAUUUCAACAAGUGACUACAUACGGAACAAAAUGAGUGAAUCUACACUCUAAAAUAUGUCUAUAUACAUCCGUAUGUGGUAGUCCAUUUGAAAUCUCUAAAAAGACAAAUAUUUAGGAACGGAGGGAGUAUAUGGGAAUUAUGCAAUGGCAUUUUCUUUAGCCAGGCAUCAUAUACGUGAAUCAUGCAAUGCCAUCCUGUUUAGCCAGUCAUCGUAUAUGUGAAUUGUAUCGUGCCAUAUUUUUUUCCAUAAUGUAUUCCAUUUGUCAACAAUGUUUAUACAUUCAUCUACUCUUCCUGUGCAUCAGCCAUUUGAGUCGGUCAUGGGAAAAUCUGGAGUGAAAAGAAGGUCUUCUGAGCAAUCAGUGCUACCUGUCGAUGCAGAUUUCUUGCUGGUUACAGAUACCUCCUCAGAGGAGGAUUCGGAGAGAGAUGACCAGUCAUAUCCCCCCCCCCGCGAGGUGCAUGCUCUAACUUGGCUGGGUUAUAUUGCUCACAUCAUGCAUAUGGUGUCUUGCAUUGCCAUGCCAUCUGCUUAGAUUAGACAUGCUUUGUGUGAAUGCCUCCUAUUUGCUUUCUAUAUCAGAUAUGUGAAUUAUGCAAUGCCAUGUUUUUCAGUCAGUUAUCAUAUAUGUGAAUUAUGCACCGCCAUGGAGCCAGGCAUCAUAUAUGUGAAUUAUCUCAUGCCAUAUUUUUUUUCAUUACGUAUUCCAUUUGUUCGACAAUUUGUGUAUAUUGAACUACUCUUCAUGUGUAUCAGCCAUUUGAGCCGGUUAUGGAAAAAUCUAGAGUGAAAACAAUGUCUUCAGAGCAGGCAAUGGUACCUGUUGAAGCAUAUAUCUCGAUGGUACAGGGAGCUCCUCAGAGGAGGAUUCAGAGACAGAUGACCAGUCCAAUAUCCCACCUAAGGUGUAUGCUCUAAGUUGCAAUGUUUAUAUUUUUCAUAUGAUGCAUAUGGUGUCUUGCAUUGCUUAGUUUAGACAUCAUAUGCACAAUAUUGAAUUUUGUCUGCUUAGUUUAGAGAACAUGCAUGCGAGUGCCAGCUGCUUAGUAUAUGAAUCAAUUAUGUAAAUUAUCAUGCCAUCCUAUAUACGUAGACAACAUGUAUGUGAAUUAUUUCAUCCCAACCUAUUUUAGAAAGACAUCAUAUAGUUUUGUCAUGUCAUCCUGUUUAGGUACUCAUCGUAUGUUGAAUUAUGCCAUUAUAUCAUGUUAAGUUAUCCAUCAUAUAUCUGAAAUUGUGUCAUGCUAUCCUGUUUAGUUAGGCAUCAUGUAUGUGAAAUUAUGUCAUGCUGUCUUGUUUGGUUAGACAACAUAUAUGUGAAUUACCACAUCUGUCUAUCAUACAAUGUCUGUACGUUCAAUUUCUUUUCUUGUUUAUCAGCCAUUUGAAUUGGAGGGGGCGAUGGCAGUAUCUAAGGGAGCAAAAACCCGUUCUUCACAAAAGAUAGUGCUACCCGUCGAUGCAGAUAGAACCAUGGUUGUACUGGCCCACAAACUAGCCCCACCGCACAUAAUCGAGACUCUUCCAGAUUGCACACUUACACCGUUGGGCAGAGAACCAGCUACAACCCAUCUAACCUGUAGGACCUUGAAGUAUGUCUAGAGGGGGGUGAUUAGACUACUUGACCAAUUAAAAACUUAACCUUUUCCCAAUUUUAGAGUUUGGCAGAUUUUAGCAAUCUUUGGACAAGUCAAGCAAUCAUCACACAAAUCAAGCAAGCAUGCAAAGAGUAUAUAGGAAGUGGAAAUUAAAGCAAGCAACUUGCAAGAACGUAAAGGGAAGGGUUUGGAAUAUUCAAACGCAAUUGGAGACACGGAUGUUUUUGUCAUGGUUCCAAUAGGUGGUGCUAUCGUACAUCCACGUUGAUGGAGACUUCAACCCACGAAGGGUAAUGGUUGCGCGAGUCCACGGAGGGCUCCACCCACGAAGGGUCCACGAAGAAGCAACCUUGUCUAUCCCACCAUGGUCGUCGCCCACGAAGGACUUGCCUCACUAGAGGUAGAUCUUUAUGAAGUAGGCGAUCUCCUUGCCCUUACAAACUCCUUGGUUCAACUCCACAAUCUUGUCGGAGGCUCCCAAGUGACACCUAGCCAAUCUAGGAGACACCACUCUCCAAGAAGUAACAAAUGGUGCGUUGAUUUUGAACUCCUUGCUCUUGUGCUUCAAAUGAUAGUCUCCCCAACACUCAACUCUCUCUCAUAGGAUUUGGAUCUGGUGGAAAGAAGAUUUGAGUGGACAGCAACUUGGGAAGGCUAGAGAUCAAGAUUCAUAUGGUAGGAAUGGAAUAUCUUGGCCUCAACACAUGAGUAGGUGGUUCUCUCUCAGAAAUGGUAAGUUGGAAGUGUAGGUUUGUUCUGAUGGCUCUCUCCAUGAAUGAAGAGGAGGUGGAGGGGUAUAUAUAGCCUCCACACAAAAUCUAACCGUUACACACAAUUUACCAAUCUUGGUGGGACCGAAUCAACAAACUUGGUCAGACCGAUUUAUUAAACCUAGUGACCGUUAGGGUUUUCGGUGGGACCGACAUGCAACUCAGUAUGACCGAUAUGGUUAGGGUUAGGGCAUAACGUAAUCUCGGUGAGACCGAUUACACAAACUCGGUGAGACCGAUUUUGGUAAUUAGCUAACCAGAGAGUUGGUCAGGUAAACUCGGUGGGACCGAUUUGCUAUUUUCGGUGUUACCGAAAUGUUACAAAAGGGAAACAGAGAUUUUACAUUGCAAUCUUGGUGGGACCAAUCGCUCACUUCGGUUAGACCAAAACAUUACGAAGGGAAAUAGAGAGAUUACAAUCCCAUCUCGGUGAGACCGAGAUCCCUAUCGGUAAGACCGAUUUGCCUAGGGUUUGUGGCAAUGGCUAUGACAUAUGAACUCGGUGGCGCCGGAUAGAAAGAAUUGGUGUGACCAAUUUUGGCUUUAGGUUUAGGUCAUAUGAGGAUGUGAGAAAGUAAUUGAGGGUAUUUGGAGCAUAUCACUAAGAACUUGAAGCAAGAGGCUCAUUAAGGAACACCUCAUCCCUCCUUGAUACUAUUGGCUUUUCCUAUAGACUCAAUGUGAUCUUGGAUCACUAAAAUGUAAAAUGAAGAGUCUUGAGCUUUUGAGCUUGAGCCAAUCCUUUGUCCUUGAUAUUUUGAGGGAUCCACUUUCAUCAUCCAUGCCAUGCCAUUCAUUGAGCUUUCCUGAAAUAAUAGUCUUGGAAUAGCAUUAGCUCAAUGAGCUAUAUGUUGUUAUGAAUUACCAAAACCACCUAGGGACAGUUGCACUUGCAUAACCGCAACCCCAGCGGAUAGUAACCCACUUAUAGUUGACAAAGUACCAUGUCCACCACAGAGUACCCCCACACGAGCAGUUUGUAAAGCUACUGCAGUGCCCAAAGCACGAAGACCACCACAGUUAACCCAAACUCCAUGUUUAAAGCAGAAGAGCAACUGUUCUCAUGUCAGAUUCCGUAGCUAUGGUCCAUACUCCUUUGCUGUUGCAUCACCGUAUUUACUCAUACCAACUACUUUCGAAUUUGAAGGAUCCAAUUGAAACUCCAAUGGUGCAACAGGUAUGUUUUAAACCUAUUUCUUUAACUGGAUUGUUGUUCUAACUUCUUGCUCUAUGUUGAUUUCAGCUUAAGUUGUAUAAACAGUUAUGUUCUCAUGUGAUGCACAUUACAAGUGCUGCCAAUGUUGUGUAGUUUCUCACACUUAUAUUCUGUCUAUGCUGCUGUGUCUUAAAAAUAUAUGAGUUGAGCUGUGUCUCUAUCUUGAUUAGGGAACAUAAACUAGAAUGAUAUGGACAAUACAGUGACCAUAGUACAUAGAUAUAUGUUUGUUUCAUGCUAUUAUCCUGUCCACCUUACUACUGAACUGGUUUACCAAAAUGAGUUUCGUAUACUACAAGCUAAACCUGUGAUGUGUCUGCUUGUUUCUCUUGUAGUAUGCAAACAGAAUAUUGGAGAAGAGCACCCCACUAUGCAAUGGUAGAGAAAGUAAUGCAGAUAAGGUUCAAGAUAGUGAGACAACCCUGUUGGUCUCCAAGAAAGGUGAUAAAAACGAUCUUGUAGACAGUGAGAAAACCCCACAGUCCUGCGUUUAUGUAGUGUUCGCAUUACUGGCCAGUACCGUUGGCACAAGCUCUUCAAACUCGUUGCCUGAAUCACUUUGGCUUCUUCAGUCUCAGCUACAAGCUGAAAGGCAUUAGUCAGCUGUGCUGCGACAAGAAGCCGAAGGACUGAGGAAGUCCCUGCAGAAUUCAGAUGCGUACUUUCUUGUGCAACAGCAAGCGCUGGAGGAUUUAAGCGCCAAACAAGAGAAAGUUAAUAAGCUUGCUAAGCAUCUUGCUAGCAUUAUGGGCACCCGGGAUAUUGUUUCUUGAACUCUUCUGAAGUGGUUUCAGUUCUGGACUUGUUUUGCUCCGGUGUUUGUAUGCUGCUUUGUUCCCUAUAUUUGCACUGGUGGCGAACUUUGAUGCCCAGUGGAUGUAAUAUGUGUAAUAGUCGUGAUAGCCUAGCAUAAGUUGCUUGCUUAUUUAUUUCCUUGUUGUCUUGUAGUCAAUGCAGUUCUUUUUCCGCGGUUUGCUAGUGGCUGCAAUAAACUAUUUUUUAAAACUAGGCCACAAUAACCAUGGGCUUAUAUUUACUGUAGUGACAAUUGGCCUCCUACGGGCCGUAGAAAUAGUGGGCCUUCUACGGGCCGUAGAAACAGUAGGCCUUCUACGGGACAUAGAAAUAAUGGGCCUUCUACGGGCCGUAUCAUCAAUGGGCCUUAUACGGGCCGUAUGAUCGAUUGGCCAAACAUGGGCCAAUAACAGGACGCAUUAUGGCCGUAAACGGGCUAGAGUUGGAAUCAUCCGUUCAUGGGCUGACCUUAAUGGGCCAUCGUUAAUAGGCCGUAUUUGAUGACGUUAUGGAAAUGGCCCAACGUAUUAACGGACCACAAACGGGCCGACUGUAACCACGGGCUGAAUUUGGCCCACAAGCAGAAAAUGACAGUAACAGGUCGUAAGUAAACGAAUGCUGGAAAUGAGCCCAAGAUUAAAUGGGCUUUAAGAAGGCUGAAAGAUAACAUGGGCUGGAAACGGCCCAACGGAAUAACGGGUCGUUAAUGGGUAUAAAGUGAUACACUAUUCAUUACGGGCCAGUUUCACCACGGGCCAUUAAUGGGUGUAAAGUGAUACACUGUUUAUUACGGGCCAGUUUCACCACGAGCCGUUAAUAGGCCAAGAGUUACAUAGGGCCUCAUAUGGGCCGAAAGACGUCAUGGGCCAUACAUGGGCCAGAAGUGAAAACAGGCUGGAAUCAUAUUGGAUGGCCCAGAUGAUGCUACUAGGCCUAAUUCGGAUUGGUCGUAACGGGCCUUGGGUUAGCGGGCUGUAAAUGGGCUAUAUGCGAACAGGCCGUUAACAGGCUUUCCAUGGGCCGGCCCGCCAACUUUUAACCAAGUCAAAUGGGUCGGCCUUUUCACAGGAUUGGGCCUCUAAUGGGCCGUGCCACGUGUCGAUGUAUCAUAGGCAACUUCUGUCCAAUGAGUGGAUGACAUCUGUCCCAACUAUGAGCCGACACUUGUUUCCUCCAGCCAAUGAUGAUUUUACACAUGGAAAAUCCCCAUUGGUCGGGGCUGUUAACGGGUUAUCAGAUCCAAAACCCGACCUGAUAGCUUAACAGCGCUCCGUUACGAUGGAUGACACGUGUCGGUCAACCUUGACGAAAGCACGUCUGUGACGCGUGAUUUGUCGUCAUGGAAGUGGACACUUCCGUGAUGAUAAUUUUGGUAAUGUCAUGGAACACUUCUACGACAUCACAGGUAUGACUAUCUUGAUUCUGUCAUAAAAUCGUCAUGGAUGUACAUGAAUGACAAAAAACGCAACCUACUGUGACAAACACGUAUCAUCACGGAAGUGUAUUUUUUUUGUAGUGACAAGUUCACCAAAUGGUAGAAGCCAAACCAGUUAAAACAGCCGAAUCCGGACCAGUGAUAGACUUCAUCUCAGGGGUUGUGCACCGUUACGGCAUCCCUCACAGCAUCGUCACCGAUAAUGGCUCAAACUUCACAGUCGAUGAAGUGAAAACUUGGUGUGGAAACAUGGCCAUUAAGCUCGAUUAUGCCUCCGUCUACCAUCCCCAAACCAACGGUCAGGUCAAACGGGCAAAUGGUCUCAUUAUGAGCGGCAUCAAACCCAGACUAGUGCGGUCCUUGACAGAAUCGGACAUGCACUGGGUCGAGGAGCUCGACUCCGUACUCUGGGGGCCGUAGACCACCUGAAUCGUACCACCGGAUACACACCAUUUUUUAUGGUGUAUGGCGCAGAAGCAGUACUACCCUACGACAUAAUACACGACUCACCUCGCGUGCGCUUGUACGAAGAGAAGGAAGCCGAGUUAGAUCGACAAGACAACCUAGAUGCCCUGGAGGAGGAGCACGACGUCGCUAAAGCCCGUUCCGCAUUCUACCAGCAGCAGGCUCGACGAUAUCAAAGUAGAGAAGUGCGGGCCAAAACUUAUAAUAUUGGCGAACUCAUUCUACGCCUACCGGAGAAGAAGAAGGACAAUCUCAAACCUAAGUGGGAGGGCCCCUUCAUCAUCGAUAAAGUCCUCACCGAAGGAGCAUACCGCCUACAUAAUGCAUCCGAUAACACACUCGAGCCGAACCCAUGGAACGCGGCCAGACUNNNNNNNNNNNNNNNNNNNNNNNNNNNNNNNNNNNNNNNNNNNNNNNNNNNNNNNNNNNNNNNNNNNNNNNNNNNNNNNNNNNNNNNNNNNNNNNNNNNNNNNNNNNNNNNNNNNNNNNNNNNNNNNNNNNNNNNNNNNNNNNNNNNNNNNNNNNNNNNNNNNNNNNNNNNNNNNNNNNNNNNNNNNNNNNNNNNNNNNNNNNNNNNNNNNNNNNNNNNNNNNNNNNNNNNNNNNNNNNNNNNNNNNNNNNNNNNNNNNNNNNNNNNNNNNNNNNNNNNNNNNNNNNNNNNNNNNNNNNNNNNNNNNNNNNNNNNNNNNNNNNNNNNNNNNNNNNNNNCCGCUCAUUUAAUUAUGCUCCUCCCCCUCUCUUUUUCCUUUCUAACCCCUUUUUCCAUUCUUCACACAAAGUACUCAAUAUAGUACGAAUGCUCGGAUCACUCCGGCCGCACUAUGUGUGUAAACCAUACCUGGGGGAUUCCUAUACGGAAGCUAAAUAUAAAUUACUUUCAUGGCUUCUUGCCUAUCACAUAUGCGUUCUUUUUUCAUAUGUGCCUUUUCUUCACCAUUAUAUGCAUCGAUAUGACUUAAGAUGUGGCCAUGCUGGGUUGCCUGGCUCUUCUGUUUAUGCCCUACAUUCCCGUUAAUUCGGCUAGGGCAUAAGGGGAGCACCUCUGCGAUUGUUACUGCCGGUUCAGCCGGAUGUAUACCUCAGACUGGGUGAAGAUGAAAGCUAGCGUUCUUAAGGGAAUAUUCGGUCGGUGAACAAGAGAUGUUUCUUUCGUUUAUUACAAACAUGAAUCCCCAGAAGUUUUGUAUCUUGCAUUUCUGUUCGCAAUCCGGACAUGUACAUCGAUGCAUGCUUGCCCAGGGAAAGGAACCCCUAACGGAACUAUUGUCCCUGGAAGAUGUUUCUUACUACCCAUGUAAUAUAACAUAACUAGUUGGGUACUUGUCUGUUCAAGCACUUAUGACCCCGGCGCCUGGUUUCCACGCAUACCCCGGUUCUGCAUAACUGAGCGGGUAUUUGGAUACACCCCGGACUGUCGGAUCCGGGGGCUGAAGCAAAACGGUCCACCAUUACAAAUGAUCUUUAAUCCGGCUAGGGACUACAUAUGUCCAUUGAAUCACAUAGUCACUUGGACUUACUAUAUUCUUCCUCUAUACCUUCCAACAGGUUAUCUAGCUUGCAAUCCUGUUGGGAAUACUUUGCGGCUAACUCUACCUGGUCAUACACCAGACUCACGGGAAUUUCUUGCCCAUUUGGCCCCGCCGGUCUGACUUCGGCCAUAUGGUUCGGGUCAAGCUUGGUGUAGCGCGUCUUCACCAUGGCCCGGGCUUCCCUUGCACCUUGUCGGCAGGCUGACAUCUUCCACAAACGGAAGCGCCGCCGUGCUCCUUGUAGCAUAUCCACGAGCUCCCCCAUGCCUUUUGGCAGGGAAGUGGAUGGCCACAAGGCCUGGGAAAUACCCUGCAUCACCUGCCGAGCUCGCUUGUGCAGCUGUGAGAGGUCUUGCAGUAAAUCACCUACGAACGCGGGCACCUCCUCUUCAGGAUGGCCCAUCAACAUACCUACAGAUAUAAACUCUUUCAAUAUGCUUCCUCGCCGAGCUGUACUACAGUUCGUCUAGGCACUUACCAUAAAUGCCGCGACGAAGCCUUUUGUUCUCCUUCAUGGAGUCCACCAGCUGAGCGCGAACAUCUCCUAAUUCGACGCCCAGCCGGACAUUGGCAUCUUGAAGAUCGUUCUUCUCCCACCUAACUUGCGUAAGAACAUGCUCGCCAGCUUUUAGCUGCCUUUGGAGAUGUGACUCGCUAUCUUUUACGAUCUCCGGAUUCUCUCCGGGAUUGUCUGCAGAAAUUUCUGCUAGACUUAUCAAACAAGCCAAUCACUAACUGGUACAUUUCCAUAAAAUUUCGUUAUUAAAGACGAAAGUUACCAGGAGAGGCCUUUUGGGAUUCUUCCAGUUUGGAAACUGCGGCCCUCAACUGGUUUUGCACUCCUCCAGCUCUUGAGACAAUUGGGUAUUCUUCUCUACAAGGACAUAUGCAUAACAUGAUCCUUAAAUCAGUUGCUCCAACUAUUUCAAGUCUCAGGGGCUACUGCUAUGCAUGCUUAUCAAAUUUCCUUACCCGUAUAUCUUUUGCAUAUUGGUAUGUCGCUCGGGUGAGUCCGCCUUGAGCAGCCCGAAUAUAUGCGUCUCCCGAAUUAAAAGCAUUAAAUGCCUCUUUGGAAAACAUGUUAUUCCAAAGUAUGGUCCGUCGGCGCCAGUGAUUCAUGGCACUCUCCACUCCGGAAUUUGUGGCGGAGAGCAUAUCCGCAUCCUCUGUCGGAGGACAAUUCGGCAUCGGCCACGCAUUGGCCUCCUCUCUCGAAGACGGUUCGGGAAUCCGGCUGGUCGAGGCGUGAUCGGCAGGUCCCCCGGAUAUAGUCCGGUGGCUCCUCUUUCUGCCAGAAUAUGAAGGGCGCUGUUACAUUUCAAACACGAUAAAUCAUAGAGCAGGUUUUUACAAUACCUCUGUAACGGAGUUUCGGCCCUAAUCGCCUUCCUCUUGAGCCUCCCUGACCCGGAUGCCCUUUGCCGAUGAGCCCCCAGGGGCUCAGCGCCGCGUUCCGAUGGUUGUCUCUAUAAAAAUGCGAUAUUUUAUGCGUAAGGAAUGAUAUUAGAAAGGAGUCCUCUUCAGAGGAUGAGGUUUCGACUUUGCUUACACGCGAUGCAGGUAGUAGUCCAGGAUAAUCGGUGAUGAUAGCCACUAGGGCGCCAUUGCAGAUGACCUGAUAAAAUGUUCCGUUGACUAGCUCCAAAGUAAUAUCCGGGUCUUCCUCAAGUCCUGGAUCGCAGGCCCUUCCGGGGUCCUCUGGCUGGGGGGAGGGGCUGUCGAAUCCUUCCACGGCCCUCCUCAGUUCCUGCUCAGAAAUAUCGAGGUUAAUGAUUUUGAUGAAAGGUGCCGGAAUGAAUAGAGUUGGGGAAAGAGUGACGACUUACCCAGCUUGGGGGGUUGUACAUGGAAAAUCCAUCCUGCGGUUUGAUAUGAAGGAAUUCUUCUUCUUCUCCCUUAUACAAAUUGGACAAUAUUUUCGUCAGAGCAGUGGCGGAGUCCGAACCUUUACGACCACAGCGGGUGGCGUCAUCUUCCCCAUUGUAGUGCCACAUGGGCUUCCCCCGAUAUUGUAGUGGCUGCACUCCCCACAUUAUGCAUAUUGCCAUAACUUCGACUAUUGUCAGCCCUGAUUUGGCCAGUAUCUUUAUCCUACUCAUCAGGAAGUGUACUUCUCUAGAAUCCUCCUCUUGGGGGCCCUGAGGGUGCCAACUUCGACGUACCUUCGGCGGAGCAUUAUUGAACUCAGGGAGGCAUGUCCGGACUGGAUCCAGAAGGGGAAUGUCAUCAACAUAAAACCACUCCGAGGGCCAGUUUAUAGAUGCCUUCUUGGGAGUGCCGGAUAGGUAUCCGGUUUCGGCGACGCACCAUAUUUCGGCUCCGCCCACUUGACAUAUGGAUUCCCCCUGGUUGCAAUGGACAAGGCAAAACAACUUCUUCCAUAACCCGAAGUGAGCCUCACAGCCCAGGUAUAAUUCACAAAGGGCAACGUAUCCUGCAAUGUGCAGUACGGAGGCAGGAGUGAAGUCGUGCAACUGGAGGCCAUAGAACUCCAGGAGCCCACGAAGGAAUGGGUGGAUUGGAAACCUGACGCCUCUUAGCAGAUGCGGGAUGAAGCAUAUUCGCUCCCCCGGGGAUGGAUUAGGAGAUCCCUCCGCUUGCUCCCCGCCAUUAUAGGUGGCUACUCCAGCUCGGACAGGGACCAUGAAUGCCGGUGGAAGAAACCCUUGGGUCUGCAACUCUAUCAAACGACUUUGAGGAACUGAAUACUCUUCCCAGUCACCUGGCUUGGAGCGAAGAGAACGGGAAGAAGAACUACGGCGACUGGCCAUGUUGGAAUGGUUUUUUCCGGAGCGCUCUGUUGGAUGCUUGCUCAAGGGAAGAAGGUGAGGUUUGGAUCUGAGGAUCCCCGUCCCUUCAUAUAGAUGGUUUGCCUGCAGGGCCGGGGUGGCAAAUGCAAAAAUUCCUCGCCUCCUCGUAUUCGCUCGACACAUGGAGAUGGCCAUUAUUGAAGCACAGAAGCCGAGGAGGACAACAUUUAUGGGAAGUCGGAUACUGUUCAUCACAACAGGAACUUUGGAGUAUUCGGAGAUGGAACCCGCCUUACAAUGCCGAAGACAAACUACACGCCAGACUCAUCGUCAUUGAAGCCUGGUUCAGGGGCUACUGAGGGAGUCCUGGAUUAGGGGGUAUCCGGACAGCCGGACUAUAUACUUUGGCCGGACUGAUGGACCGUGAAGAUACAAGACUCAAGACUUCGUCCCGUGUCUGGAUGGGACUCUCCUUUGCGUGGAAGACAAGCUUGGUGAUCCGAAUAUUAGAUUUCCUUCUUUGUAACUGACUCUAUGUAAACCCUAUCCCUCUCUGGUGUCUAUAUAAACCGGAGGGUUUGGUCCGUAUAGGGACGAUCACAACAAUCAUAAUCAUCAUAGGCUAGCUUCUAGGGUUCAGACUCUAUGAUCUCGUGGUAGAUCAACUCUUGUAAUACUCAUAUCAUCAAGAUCAAUCAAUCAGGAAGUAGGGUUUUACCUCCAUCGAGAGGGCCCGAACCUGGAUAAAACAUUGUGUCCCUUGCCUCCUGUUACCAUUAGCCUUGGACGCACAGAUCGGGCCCCCUACCCGAGAUCCGCCGGUUUUGACACCGACAGCUACUAUAAACACUAGUAAGGUACACAUCAAUAACCUGUAUAUCAAAUAUACCCUUGUUCACUUUGCCAUCCUUCUUAUCUACCAAAUAUUCAGGGCAUUUCCGCUUUCGGUGACCAUUUCCUUUGCAGUAGAAGCACUCACUUUCAGGCUUUGGUCUAGCUUUGGGCUUCUUCGCGAGAGUGACAACUUUCUUUCCAUUCUACUUGAAGUUCCCUUUCUCUUCCCUUGCCCUUUUUCUUGAAACAAGUGAUCUUGUCUAAUCAUCAACACUUGAUGCUUUAUCUUGAUUUCUACCUUCAUUGAUUUCAGCAUCAUGAAGAGCUCGGGAAUCGUUUUCGUCAUCCCUUGCAUACUAUAGUUCAUCACAAAGUUCUAGUAACUUAGUGAUGGCGACUAGAGAACCCUGUCCAUCACUAUUUUAUCUGGAAGAUUAACUCCCACUUGAUUCAAGUGAUUGUAGUACUCAGAACAUCUAAGCACUUGUUCACUAGUUGAGCAAUCCUCCUCCAUCUUUUAGGUGAAGUAUUUGUCAGAGGUCUCAUACCUCUUGACACAGGCAUGAGUCUGAAAUAUCAAUUUCAUCUCAUGGAACAUCUCAUAUGUUCCGUGACGUUUCAAAAAACGUUUUUGUAGUCCCGGUUCUAAGCCAUAAAGCAUGGUGCACAAAACUAUCAAGUAUUCAUCAUAUUGAGCUAGCCAAACGUUCAUAACGUCUGCAUCUGCUCCUGCAAUAGGUCUGUCACCUAACAGUGCAUCAAAGACAUAAUUCUUCUGUGCAGCAAUGAGGAUAAACCUUAGAUCACGGACCAAUUCUGCAUCAUUGCUACUAACAUCUUUUAACUUAGUUUUCUCUAGGAACACAUAUAAAAACAUAGGGAAGCAACAACGCGAGCUAUUGAUCUACAACAUGAUUUUCAUAAUACUACCAGGACUAAGUUCAUGAUAAAUUUAAGUUCAAUUAAUCAUAUUACUUAAGAACUCCCACUUAGAUAGACAUCCCUCUAAUCCUCUAAGUGAUCACGUGAUCCAAAUCAACUAAACCAUGUCCGAUCAUCACGUGAGAUGGAGUAGUUUCAAUGGUGAACAUCAAUAUGUUGAUCAUAUCUACUAUAUGAUUCACGCUCGACCUUUCGGUCUCAGUGUUUCGAGGCCAUAUCUGUAUAUGCUAGGCUCAUCAAGUUUAACCUGAGUAUUCCGUGUGUGCAACUGUUUUGCACCCAUUGUAUUUGAACAUAGAGCCUAUCACACCCAAUCAUCACGUGGUGUCUCAGCACGAAGAACUUUCGCAAUGGUGCAUACUCAGGGAUAACACUUCUUGAUAAUUAAUGAGAGAUCAUCUUAAAAUGCUACCAUCAAUCAAAGCAAGAUAAGAUGCAUAAAGGAUAAACAUCACAUGCAAUCAAUAUAAGUGAUAUGAUAUGGCCAUCAUCAUCUUGUGCUUGUGAUCUCUAUCUCCGAAGCACCGUCGUGAUCAACAUCAUCACCGGCGCGACACCUUGAUCUCCAUCGUAGCAUCAUUGUCAUUUCGCCAUCUAUUGCUUCUACGACUAUCGCUACCGCUUAGUGAUAAAGUAAAGCAAUUAUAGGGCGCUUGCAUUUCAUACAAUAAAGCGACAACCAUAUAGCUCCUGCCAGUUGCCGAUAACUCGGUUACAAAACAUGAUCAUCUCAUACAAUAAAAUAUAGCAUCACGUCUUGACCAUAUCACAUCACAACAUGCCCUGCAAAAACAAGUUAGACGUCCUCUACUUUGUUGUUGCAAAUUUUACGUGGCUGCUAUGGGCUGAGCAAGAACCGUUCUUACCUACGCAUCAAAACCAUAAUGAUAGUUCAUCAAGUUAGUGUUGUUUUAACAUUCUCAAGGACCGGGCGUAGCCACACUCAGUUCAACUAAAGUUGGAGAAACUGACACCCGCCAACCACCUGUGUGCAAAGCACGUCGGUAGAACCAGUCUCACGUAAGCAUACGCGUAAUGUCGGUCCGGGCCGCUUCAUCCAACAAUACCGCUGAACCAAAGUAUGACAUGCUGGUAAGCAGUAUGACUUGUAUCGCCCACAACUCACUUGUGUUCUACUCGUGCAUAUAACAUCUACGCAUAAAAUCUGGCUCUGAUACCACUGUUGGGGAACGUAGUAAUUUCAAAAAAAAAUCCUACGCACACGCAAGAUCAUGGUGAUGCAUAGCAACGAGAGGGAGAGUGUAUCUUCAUACCCUUAAAUAUUGCUAAGCGAAAGCGUUUAUCAACGCGGUUGAUGUAGUCGUACGUCUUCACGAUCCGACCGAUCCAAGUACCAAACGCACGGUACCUCCGAGUUCUGCACAUGUUCAGCUCAAUGACGUCCUUGCCUUCUCGAUCCAGCAAGACGAGUGAAGUAGUAGAUGAGUUCCGGCAGCACGACGGCGUGGUGACCGUGUUGGUGAAGAACAAUCUCCACAGGGCUUCGCCUAAGCACUAUGGAAACUAUGACGGAGGAUAAGCUUUCAGGACCCCGACUCAAUGCCACACCGAUCUAGCAUGUAACACCUCAUAUCACUUUGCGGCCUCACGCAUGGUAUUCCCAUGGGUGUCGCCUUACCAGGCCCGGGACCGUUUGCGCCUUUUGGCACACGUAUAUGAUAGUGUCGCUAGCAUCCAUAUGACAAGGAGCCCGGGCUGACAUGGCUAGUCGUGAACCCAAAGUGGCACUAACUUACAGGGACAGGCAUACAUGACCCAGCAACGAACGUGUCGGUCAUCAGCGAGUUAAUCCGGGCUGUAGCAACUGGGAUAGCAGGACUCUGGUAAACCGGGCUGUAGCAGGCUAACAGGACUCCGGUAGACACCACGUGACAUUUCCCCGAAGGGACAGACAUAGGAAUGAAUAAGGACACAUGCCGGCCAGCCUAAGUGUUCCAGAGCAGUAGCAAGCUACCAAGGCUCAGUGGAAGCACUAGGAGACAUUUCCUGGUAAGAGAGGCUACCAAGGAUAAACAACUAGAUAGUCAGAUCCCACACAUACCAAGCAUUUCAAUAAGAUACACACAAUAUGCUCGAUAUGUGCAAAUACAAGAUGGCAUCACAACAUGACUCUACAACUCAAGUAUUUUAUUGAAUAGGCUCCGAGGAGCGAGAUAUUACAAACAUGGGUCUCAUGACCCAACAUUCAGAGCAUACAAGUCAAAGCACAUGUGGAAGCUUAACAUGUCUGAGUACAGACAUCUACAAAUGAAAAAGGCUGAGAAGCCUGACUAACUACUAGAUCCUGCCGAGGGCUAAAGAUCGUAGCUGAGGUAACAAGCUAAACGUCGAAGUUCACGCGGAACUACUAAUGAGACUGAAGUCUCUCUGCAAAAACAUAAAAUAGGCAAACGUGAGUACAAAUGUACCCAGCAAGACUUACAUCAGAACUAACUACAUAUGCAUCAUUAUCAACAAAGGGGAUGGUGUGGUUUAACUGCAGCAAGCCAGCUUUGACUCGGUGGCUAUCCUGAACUACGACUGCAAGUAACUCUUUUGAGGUGGCGCACACGAGUCCACAUAUUCACCAUAUCAAUACACCACUAUGGAUCCGCUCUCGUCUCCCUACGAGAACGCCAUCCAUAGCACUCAUGCUUAUCUUGUGCAUUUUAGGGUAUCCACUUCAAGUUAUCUAUGAACUGCACAGGCAACCCAGAAGUCCUUUACCGCGGACACGGCUAUUCGAAUAGAUCAUAUUAACCCUGCAGGGGUGUACUUCUUCACACACGCUCUCGCCACUUACCGCCAUGUACACGUCAUGUAUCUCGACAACCUUCAAGCGGAAGCCUGGCGAGGGUGUCGGCCACAACCUGACUAACCACACAAGUCUCUCGUCCAGGUUUAUCGCCUAUUCGGGUUCCAUCCGCAAGGAGAUUCGGCCGGGGUGUCGCUCACGGCCCCAAACGAUGUGUGCAGGGUUCCCAAGCCCACCAUCCGGGUGCCACUUGGAACACCGGGCCACUAUGCCUAGUCUGUCCCAAGCCCACCUAUACCUGGUGCCACUUGGUAGACUACUAACACUACCUACAAACACCAGAAACUAGUUGGUACGGUCUGGACUUCGGGCUCGUAGCCUCGGGCCUUAGUGUUAUUGUUUGAUUGGCCACGGGGUGCGGUCUGGACUUCGGGCUGGUACGCCGUUUUGUCGUGGCCACGGGGUGGCCGGUCAACCGCAUCAUGCGCCGGUAGCGUGGGCUUUAAAGCAUCUUCCUCUAGUUGAGGUAGCAGCCUGCGCUUUGGGUAGCUUUUGCUAGGGCGCUCGAGUCCGUAUUCCUCAGCAGCCAAGGCCUCGGUCCAUCUGUCGGUUAGCAGAUCUUGAUCAGCUUGAAGUUGUUGCUGCUUUUUCUUGAGGCUUUUUGCAGUGGCUAUAAGCUGGCGUUUGCAGUGCUCCUGCUCGACGGGAUCCUCAGGCACUGUUGGGGAUAUAACUACUAAGGAUAAACCGCCCAGGAGGGGCCGGUUCACCCUCAACUACAUUGAAGCCCAUAAAGACCCAGAAGAUGGCGCUUUACGGAUGAAGCUUAGAGGGCCAGAGCCCAAAGAUAGAUUAGGGCCCAUAAGUUGUAAACCGCCAUGAUCGUGUAACUUGUGUUGUAAGAUAGGAAAGGGGGAGACCGAGCCGGACACUUGUAUGAGCCGGCCUCGGGACUCUGUAGACCGGCCGGGCGUCAACCUAUGUAUAUAAAGGGACGACCCGGCGGCGGUUCAAGGACAAGAAAACAACAACUCGAGACCCAGGCAAAGCGUAUUUGCUCCCUCGUCAUCGAAAUCCAAUCAAUUCCAUCACAACUAGACGUAGGCUUUUACCUUCAUCGAAGGGGCCGAACUAGUAUAAAACUCUUGUGUCCCUUGUCCGGUUUAACCCCUUCAAGCUAACCCGUCGCAAUGGCUCCAUGACUAAGUCCUUUCAUGAGGACAUCUGACGUGUUAAUUCCACGACAGUUGGCACCCACCGUGGGGCUAUCGCACGAUGGUUUCGAGUUCUUGAAGGGCAGCUUUGAAGGACUCAAAGGGUACGCGGUUGGCUGGAUGACCAAGAGUCGUCGCAGCAAGCUCUACAUCGACGACGAAGGAUGGGGCCCUGAGGCCGGCUCAAUCGAGUAUGGGUACCGGGUCCCCUUUGGCGGAAUUAUGUCUUCAUCGGCAAGAUCGGUGAACCGGGCCCUGAGCCGAACAUCUGCACCGACCUCGUCGAGACGGCUAAGCGUGCGAGUCCUGCCUGGAUUAAGCCCGCCAUGAAGCAUGCAUUCGUAGGAUGUGUCCAUGGGAUCGGAUCUGAACCAGUGUCUGAAGGCGAGACGGCCGUUUAUUCCGACGGCGAGUCAUCCACCGGUGAAACUAAGUCCCUGUAUCAAGUUCAUGAUGGUGUGUUUGAAGGAUAUUCCGAUGACAACAGUAUUUCGGACCCCUUUGAACCGCCGAGUCGGGUUGCUGUUUUCAUGGCCGGAACACAGCCCACCUUGUAGUCUUCAUCUACAGCGGCAAUGAAUUCCGGGUCAGCAGCCGCGGCAGGAGGCCCGGCGCACAGACCGACUCAAGUUCUCUCCAGUUUGAUGGAUGCCUGGGCGACCUUGUUAACCACGGCAGUUACCCCAGAGACGCAGGACCAACAUAAUGCAGAGGUUACCAAGCUGAAGGACCAGAUAACACAGGCUAAGGAGGACCUAGCAGAUGAGGACGCUAGGUUGGCUGAAGAACGGGCCGCGUUGGAUGCCCAGUCACAGCAGAUACAUGCACAGAAUUACCAGCUCAUGUUGGAUCAGAACGCAUCGAACGACAUAAUGCAAAGGAAGUACCGAUCGCGUAUGCAGCCGGUCUUUGAAGGACUGAAUCUCUUUAAUACGCCUGGGGCUGGGCCGAGUAACCCGGCAGCUGCAAACCGGACCGACGCGCCUAGGGCGGCGCCGGAUCAACCACGGAUGACGGAUCCACCUCAUCAAACGAAUAACCUUCCGCAAUACGUGUCAACACCAUCGGGUCACUUUUCUAACCCUUUGGAUAACAUGAUUGCUGCAGCAUCUCGCCUGGCAGCUAUUCCAAUGGAGAGUGAUUCAUUGGCGGCGGUGGAGACGCGACAGGCCAGGGAUCUUCUUCAAACCGCUGUUGUGCAGCAGCAGGCUUAUUCUUAUAGCCGAGACAAAAUUCAUUCAACCCCCCGUCCGAGCAAAAGCUAUAGCAGGCAUAUGGAUGAGCCGGAGGUGUUUAGCAGUGCGCGACACUGUAAUGCCCCUCAAGGACCCAAUCCAGCGCACGGUGAGGCAAAUGCUCAGGACGUGGUGGAUAAUGGCAGAGCACGAAGGGAGGCCGCUUUAGCAGCACAGUAUGCGGGUCGUUAUCAACCCGCCCCGGUUCAGCCAGCGGCGUUAGUAGACCGAGGCACCGGGCUUGCCUUCAGUUCUUGGGGAGUGUCGUGUCUCAUUAUGGCUCUCUAUAAUGUGCGACUGCCUAAGGAUUUCAAGGGUCCACGUAAGGUGCCUAAUUACACCGCUGAUCAGCCACCUGAGGCAUGGGUGGAAAGUUAUGAGAUGGCUGUGGAUGAAGCGGCCUGUGCAAAGUACUUCACGAUGAUGUUGGAAGGGACAGCCCGUAUUUGGUUGAAAAACCUACGAGCCAACUCUGUCGAGUCAUGGGACCAGUUGAAGGCCCAGUUUAUAGCCAAUUUCAAAGAUACGUGCAAACAGCCUAUGUCAAUUGUGGAUCUGGAUGCCUGUGUUCAAGGGGAGAACGAGUCAACAACUCAUUGGGUGCGCCGGGUUUCAGGAGUUUUGCAUUCGUCAGACCGGAUUAAUGCUGGCCAAGCAAUCAUAACGCUGCAGCGUAAUUUCCGGUUUAAUUCACUAAAGAUGAAGUUGGGACGGCUCAAGCGCCACUGCAAUGACAUGGGAACACUUAUGGCAGCCUUGGUUAAAGAUGCCGAUUCUAAUAAUACCAAGGAUCCCGAUUCUGAUGAGGAGAAACCGGAGAAGGGAAAGAAGAACGGCGGUGCAAAGGGACAGCAUCACAACCAAGGGAGUCAUGGGAAUAAUGGUAAGCGCAAAGCAGAUAAUUCAGAUCUUGUGGCUAACACCAAUAUGCAGCGUCGUAAAGGUAAACCGCCCCAGCAAGGUGGAGGGAUGAAUCUGGAGCGUCUGUUAAACCAGCCCUUCCCAAAGCAUGGGACCAAGGAGGCCCCUGCCACACAUCUUUGGAAAGAUUGUUAUAUUAUGAAGGAGUUCAAGAACUCUGAUCUCUUCCGGUAUGAUCAGGGUCCAUCGGGCGGUUCAGGUCCAGGUUUUCAUGGUGGCGGCAGUUCAAACUCUAGAUUUCAGAAUAAUCCGGGCAACCAGAACAACCAAGGUGGUAAUAACCAACAGAAUAAUCAAGGGAAUCAGCAGCAGUCAGGUUAUCAAAGUCACCCAAAACGGUUGAAUGGUGGGCAGUAUCAUGUGUUCACUACUAGUCUGUGCAAGCACGAUCAGAAGCUUCACAAGAGGGCAGUUAAUGCUGUUGAACCAGCAGUGCCACGUUAUUUGCAGUGGUCCGAGCAGCCCAUUGUGUGGAGCAGAGAGGAUCAUCUGCCCCGGGUUGACUAUCCAGGUCAUCUAGCUUUAGUGGUGGCACCUCAGGUGGGAGGUUAUAAGUUUACCAAAGUGCUGAUGGAUGGAGGGAGCAGUAUCAACAUCCUGUACUAUGAGACCUUCCGUCGCAUGGGGUUGACAGACAAGAGUCUUAAACCGUCAAACACUAUUUUUCAUGGUGUAGUACCAGGUAAAUCGGCAUAUCCUGUUGGCAAGAUCGCUUUGGAGGUUGUGUUUGGAGAUGAGCAUGAUUCCAGGUCUGAAACAUUGACCUUUGAAGUGGUGAAAAUCCGGAGCCCAUAUCAUGCACUGUUUGGACGGCCGGCUUAUGCAAAAUUCAUGGCGAGGCCCUGCUAUAUAUAUUUAUAGCUCAAAAUGCCGGGUCAUAAGGGGACUAUCACAGUACACGGAAGUCGAAAGAUCGCUCUGGAUUGUGAGGAAGGUGAUGCGGCCUAUGCUGAGUCGGUUUGUGCUAUAGAGGAGCUGAAGUUCUAUAAAGACAAUGUUGAUCCAGCAGACAUGGCCCCUCUAAAGAAGCCCACCACUCAGCAUGACCCUACCCUGAAGUUCAAACCGGCGGAUGAGACUAAACUUGUUGAUUUUGUUCCUGGCGAUUCAUCCAAACAGUUUAGCAUCAGCACCAAUCUGGAUCCGAAAUAGGAAAGCGCGCUCAUCGAGUUCAUCCGUGAGAACCAGGACAUUUUUGCAUGGAAGCCUUCUGACAUGCCAGGUGUACCGAGGGAGCUCGCUGAGCACACUCUCAAUAUUGAUCCCAAGUUUAAACCGGUCAAGCAGUUUCUUCGCCGCUUUAACGAGGAAAGACGCAAGGCCAUUGGUGAGGAGGUAGCCCGGCUGUUGGCUGUCGGGUUUAUCGUCGAAGUAUUUCACCGUGAGUGGUUGGCUAAUCCGGUGCUCGUUCUUAAGAAAAACGGCACUUGGCGCAUGUGUGUGGACUACACAGAUUUGAACAAGGCUUCUCCGGCGGAUCCUUUUGCUCUCCCGCGUAUUGAUCAGAUCAUUGAUGCGACGGCGGGUUGUGAGCGUGUGGGUUUCUUGGAUGCUUAUUCAGGUUAUCAUCAGAUCAAAAUGGCAGUUAAGGACCAGGAGAAAAUAGCCUUCAUUACUCCUUUUGGAGCCUUCUGCUAUGUUUCUAUGCCCUUCGGGCUCAAGAGUGCCCAGGCAACUUAUCAGCGUUGUGUGCAAAAUUGUCUUCACACUCAGAUUGGGCACAAUGUUCAUGCCUAUGUGGAUGACAUUGUAGUAAAGUCCAGGAAAAAGGAGACAUUGGUAGAUGAUCUCAAAGAGACCUUUGACAAUCUUUGGGUUUAUAAGAUGAUGCUUAAUCCGGACAAGUGUGUUUUCGGUGUUCCGGCUGGCAAGCUCUUGGGCUUUCUGGUGUCCAACAGAGGCAUUGAGGCUAAUCCGGAAAAGAUUAAAGCGAUUACGUCCUUGGCUAAACCGAAGUGCAUCAAUGAUGUUCAGCGUCUGGCGGGUCGAAUUGCAGCCCUUAGCCGGUUUAUUAGCCGUUUGGGAGAAAAGGCAAUUCCUUUGUAUCAGAUGUUGAAGAAGAUAGACGAUUUUGUCUGGAGUGACGCAGCUAAUGCGGCGUUUGAGGACUUGAAGCGACAGCUGGCUGAACCGCCGGUCCUUGCUGCUCCAGUUGAUAAGGAGCCCUUGUUAUUGUACGUGGCUGCUAAUGCCCGUGCGGUCAAUGUGGCAAUUGUGGUUGAGCGCAAGGAGGCUAGAAAGGAAUAUCCGGUUCAACGGACGGUUUACUAUAUCAGCGAAGUAUUAAUCGAGUCAAAACAGCAAUAUCCGCAUUGGCAGAAGCUGGUAUACGGGGUUUUCGUGGCAAGUCGAAAGCUCAAGCAAUAUUUUCUCGGCCAUCCCAUCACAGUGGUUAGUUCUGCUCCUUUGGGCGAUAUAAUUCAGAACAGGGAAGCAGCUGGCCGGGUUGCAAAGUGGGCAAUUGAGCUUGGUCCACAUGGGUUGAAGUAUAUGCCUCGAACGGCCAUCAAAUCUCAGGCUCUUGUUGACUUCAUCAAUGAUUGGACCGAGUUACAGGCACCAGAGGACAAACCGGAUAAUACAUACUGGACUAUUCACUUUGAUGGAUCCAGGCAAUUGGAAGGCUCGGGGGCUGGAGUUGUCCUUACUUCCCCUCGAGGUGAUAAAAUUUGUUAUGUUCUCCGCUUAAUGUUUCCUUGUACUAACAAUGCAGCUGAGUACGAGGCCUUACUCCACGGUCUCCGUGUGGCCAAGGAAAUGAAUUUAAGCCGGGUUCGCUGUUUUGGAGAUUCUGAUCUGGUGGCUCAGCAAGUUUCUGGUACUUGGGAUUCUAAAGAUCACCUCAUGGCGGCUUACCAACGAGAAGUGGAUAUUGUGGCUGGUCACUUUAAAGGUUAUCAGGUUGAGCACAUUGACAGGCACAAAAAUGAAGCAGCAGAUGCUUUAAGCCGGCUGGGAUCUCAGCGUAAACUGGUACCGCCCAAUACCUUUUUAGAUAUCUUGCAUAACCCGUCUGUUAAGUUGCCUAUAGAAGAGGAUUUAGCUGUUCCUGAUCCGGAGGCUCAAUUGGUAGCCGCUUUACAUAUCAUUCUGGAUUGGACGAUUCCAUAUUUGGCAGAUAUGAACCGGGGCGAGCUACCAGAUGAUGAGGUUUUAGCCAGGCAGAUAAUCUGGCGAUCCAAGUCCAUGGUUAUUCACAAUGGCAAGUUACACCGUUGCAGUGUUUCAGGCGUAUUCCGGCGUUGUGUUUCUCCUAAAGAAGGACAAGAGAUUCUACGUGAAAUCCAUGAAGGGGAUUGUGGUCACCAUGCCAGAUCAAAAUCCCUGGUGCCCAAAGCUUUUCUUCAUGGGUUUUAUUGGUUAACAUCUCGUGCUGAUGCGGAGGAUCUGGUAAAGCGGUGUGACGCUUGUCAGAAGUUUUCACGCCGAGCUCAUGUGUCGGCUCAAGAACUACGGAUGAUUCCCACCACUUGGCCGUUUGCUACUUGGGGGCUUGAUAUGGUGGGACCUUUUAAGCGCUCCAAGGAUAAGAAAACCCACCUGUUGGUGGCGGUUGACAAGUUCACUAAAUGGGUUGAAGCGGAGCCCGUAAGCAAGUGUGACGCUGCUACGGCGGUUCAAUUUCUCAAAAAGAUAAUCUUCCGCUUUGGCUUUCCACACAGCAUCAUCACAGAUAAUGGCACGAACCUUUCUAAUGGUGAGAUGGAGGAAUUUUGUCAACAAGAACACAUCAGGCUUGAUGUAGCGUCCGUGGCUCACCCCCAGUCUAAUUGUCAAGCGGAGCGAGCUAAUCAAGAAAUAUUUAAGGGCAUCAAGCCACGGCUUAUGGUUUCUUUGAAGAGGACGCCGGGUUGUUGGGUGGAAGAGUUACCAUCUGUAUUAUGGAGUAUAAACACCACCCCAAACCGUUCUACGGGUUAUACACCUUUCUUCAUGGUUUACGGGGCAAAGAACGUCCUCCCGAGUGAUAUUCGUCAUGACUCACCCCGGGUUGCCAAUUAUGUUGAAGCGGACAAUGAGCAAGCACGCCAAGAGGCGCUGGACCUGUUAGAUGAGAAGCGGGACAUGGCUUUGUCUCGUUCGGCGGUUUAUCAGCAAGACAUGCGGCGCUAUCACAACCACCAUGUUAAAACAAGAACCUUUCAAGAAGGCAACUUAGUGCUCCGUCUCAUCCAGGAUCAGACCGAUAUGCACAAAUUAUCCCCACCUUGGGAAGGACCCUUUGUGGUCAGCAACAAUCUGCACAAUGGAUCAUACUACCUCAUUAAUGUUCGAGAAGACUCACGCAGUUCUGAGGAGGAGAUCCGGCGGCCGUGGAACAUAGCUCUCCUUCGACCUUACUACACUUGAGCUAUAGGCUCCUUUUAUGUACAUAUUUGAACAAUGUAUAUAUUAUGAUCAAUAUAAUAAACCGGCAUCCUUGCUAUAAGAAGGGUCUCUGCCGUUUUCUUCAAAAAUCUCUUUGUUUACAUGGGGGCUUCAGCUGACAAAGCGGAGUACUGCCUAUUAAACCGGCUAUCAUGCCACAAUACAGCUUGGGAGCUUCACACCCAAGGGGCCAAAGAGAGUCUGGAUGCUACGCACAGCUCAAACAUAGGCACCCAUUGAGCACAGCUCACAAAGUUACUUGGGGGCUCUUUGUGCACUGCAACAAAGAGUUUGAAAGGACCCUUGUAAUAUGCUAUCAAGCACGGCUUGGAAGCCUGGUGUGUUCACCUAAAACCCCGGGUUAACCUGCCUUCAUCAAGUAAGCCACUCCUACCAGGUAAUCCUGGCAUGACCCGCCAAAUGUUUGAUAAGUCAAUCUUUUACAGACCCUGAACUUGUCAAAGUUAAAACAACGAUUGGUUAGUUGGACGUACAUCUUAAAAGUCUUUGCAGAAUGGUUUAACUCAGCAGCCUGGCAGCACAUGAAAAGCCUCGAAUUUGGGCCUGGCAGCCCUUGAAAAGCCUCGACUACACGGUUUUUGUUUGCUUUUUGCCAAGUUUUUUGCCUUUUGAUAAGAUUAUAUUAACCCGGUGUUUGUUAAUCCGACUUGGCUUUCAACUACAAGUUGUCAGACCAUAUUCAUAUUAACCCGGUGUUUGUUAACCCGGCUUGGCUUUCAACUACAAGUUGUCAGACCAUAUUCAUAUUAACCCGGUGUUUGUUAACCAGGCUUGGCUUUCAACUAUAAGUUGUCAGACCAUAUUUCUUAUCAAACCGGUGUUUCAUAACCCGAACUGGCUUUGAUUACAUAUUACCAGCAUGAUCAUAUGGUGUUUAUCACAACCCGGUAUGGUUUAAACGUAUACACCAGCAUUGCAUGGUGGGAGUUAUCAAUACUUUAGAUUUGGGUUUUUCACCCUUACUACAAAUAUAAGUUGGUAAACUAACUAAGUGAUUUAAUAUCACAGGUAUGAUUUAUUUCAUAUUUUGAUUCAGCUUUGGUAAUUAACUAGGCUUUGUAUUGGGCAUUGUGUCCCGUCCGACACUAAACCGCCCAGACAAUUCUUUUUAUGCAUACAUAAGGAUUGCAUGAAAUUAUCAAAGUAUAUAAUCAAGCAUAGCAAGUAUCAUGGCGGAUCAAACACAGUCAUGUAUCAGUGCUGCAGAUAAAAGUAUUUUAACCUAGCCUAUUACAAGGCGCUUUGAGGCCCCAAAAAAAUGAUUGUCCUUACACAGAACAAAGUCUGUGAAAAUAACCCGAUUGCCGGAUUAAGACUCAUUGCCAGGACGACGUGAAGUUGAUGGAUCUUCAGGCGCCGGUUCAACCUCCUCCUCCCCACCCAGUGGCUGGAAGUCAAUGGUGGUCCAGUCAAUCCGGGUUAGCGCUUUAAAGACGGCCUCUUCAUGUAUGAGAUUCGACGGUUCAACGUCAGGGGCGUAAGUGUGCUUACGAAUGGGCGGAAUAAGAUUCUGCACUUCUGUCACAGCAGUGUCAACUCGAUGGUUGUUGGCAUCAUAGAACGACCGAUGAGACAUCAAGUUCACCUCUUCCGCCAAUUGACUUGCUACUGGACGCAGCUCCUUGGCUAGGGCUUUGAGGGCUUCAUUAUCAAAUGCUGAACCGUCUUCCUAUUCAUCCGGAUAGCCCUUGGCAAUAUCAACUGGAUCCAAGUCAGCUAUCCAUGAUUUGGCAUGAGUCACUGCUAACAACGCACCAGCCCUGGCAGCAGACCGCUUCAACUCCUCUAUCUGAGCCGGAGUCAUUGAUAGCUUGGCCAAAGUAUCCUUGAUCAAAGUUGGUGCCGGUUUGUUGUACAAAGCCGCACAGAUGACUCGUUGUGUGAUACGUCUCCAACGUAUCUAUAAUUUUUGAUUGCUCCAUGCUACUUUAUCUACUGUUUUAGGCAAUAUUGGGCUUUAUUAUCCACUUUUAUAUUAUUUUUGGGACUAACCUAUUAACCGGAGGCCCAGCCCAGAUUUGCUGUUUUAUGCCUAUUUUAGUGUUUCGAGGAAAAGGAAUAUCAGACGGAGUCAAAACGGAACGAAAUCAACUGGAGAAGUUAUUUUUGGAAGGAAAGCAACCUGAUGGACUUGGAUUGCACUUUAGGGGAGCCCCAUGCUGCCCACGAGGGUGGGGGCGCCCCCCCCCCUAGGGCACGCCCCCUGCCUCGUGAGCACCCCGGAGGUCCACCGACGUACCCCCUGCACACCCAUAUAUACCUACAUACCCUAAAACUUCCAGAACAGAAGAAAGAUCGGGAGUUCCGCCGCCCCAAGCCUCUGUAGCCACCAAAAACCAAUCGGGGCCCUGUUCCGGCACCCUGCCUGAGGGGGAUCCCAUCACCGGUGGCCAUCUUCAUCAUCCGACGCUAUCCAUGACGAGGAGGGAGUAGUUCACCCUUGGGGCUGAGGGUAUGUACCAGUAGCUAUGUGUUUGAUCUCUCUCUCUCGUGUUCUCUCUUGUGUUCCCUCUAUGGCAUGAUCUUGAUGUAUCUCGAGCUUUUCUAUUGUAGUUGGAUCUUAUGAUGUUUCUCCCCCUCUACUCUCUUGUGAUGAAUUGCGUUUCCCCUUUGAAGUUAUCUUAUCGGAUUGAGUCUUUUAUGAGAACACUUGAUGUAUGUCUUGUCGUGCUUAUCUGUGGUGACAAUGGGACAUCGUGUGCCUCUUGAUGUAUGUUUUGGUGACCAACUUGCGGGUUCCGCCCAUGAACCUAUGCAUAGGGGUUGGCACACGUUCUUGACUAUCACUAGUGCAGAACCGGGCAAUAGCACCGGUUCGUAAGGACCUUUAGUGCCGGUUCCAUAAUCGGCACUAAAGUGUGGGCACUAAAGCCCCCCCCCCCCCCUUUAGUACCGGUUCAGCAUGAACCGGUGCUAAAGGGAAACCACGUGGCACGAGCCAGCUCCAGGGGCCUGGAGCCCUUUAGUACCGGUUGGUAAGACCAACCGGUACUAUAAGGUUUGGGUUUUUUUUAGUUUUAUGAUUUCUUUUUCAUUUAAUUUUGUGUUUCCAUUUUAAUUCUUUUUCGUUUGCUGGUAUUUUACGAUACUACACAUUGUACACGUUAUGCAUAUAUAUAUAUAUAUAUAUAAAUAGAAUUUCUAGUAGAACCAAUCAUGCAUAUAUAUAUCAUCAAUGUCUCACAAACCAUCAUAUUAAUUAAUUCACACAUACACACAUGUAUAGCUAUAUACAAUUUCUCCUACAUAUGCAUGUUACCUUCGGAGCCAGUGGCAUUAGCCUAAUUGGUGCCUUCGGAGCACGAUGACAAUUGGAUGUGGUUUUCAUGAGGGCGGUAGCGGGUAAUAGUAUUCUCCCUUCGGAUUUAUGACCUGGUCGAGCAAAAAUCCCGCUAUUUCCUCUUGAAGUGCUUCUACGCGCUCCGUUUCUAGGAGCUUCGCCCGCACCUCUCUGAACUGUUAAGAAGGAGAUCAAUAUGCAUGUGUAUUAGUUGUGUGACUAGAUAUCGAUAAUGGUGUAAAAAUUGUGAAUAGUGUUUUGACAAGCAUACCCAUUCCUGUCUUUGAGAUCUGCUCCUUUCGGACGCCAUCAUGCGAAUGUUCUCGCAAAUGCAGAAUGCACAUAGAUCAGUACCCUGCGCCUGCUUCAGGGACUUUACGAGAAUGGAAUUUGAUCAGAUAAUAAUUAAUCAAGCAUGAUAAUUAAAGAGAUGGCAGCUAGCUAGCUAGCUAGUACUACUUAAUUACUUACCUUGGGUCUUCCCCAUUGAAUCUUUUUUUUCCAUUCGCCUUCCGUGACGCUGAUGAACCUUGCCCAAGCCCUGCCCGCCGACAAAGAAAAUGAAUAAAGGGGUUAUUAAAUAGUUCAUAUCAUGAGAUGACGAACUAAAUAGGCCAAGAUAUAUAGUUAAUAAUGAUUGAAAUUACCUGUUGACUAUCCCAAACAAGAUGUUAUAGUCAGUUUUUUCUUUGAGUAGUGAGUCCAGUAUUUCAACUGUUCCGGCGUCAACUUCAAUGAUACACAAGACCCAGUGAAAUCUGCAUGCACACACAUUUGCAUGUAUUAAUUAAGCGGGCAUAUGUAAGCAAAAACAUGUAGCUAGCUAGUAGGCAAAAACAGAGAAUUUGUAGUACAAGACAGUGUGACUCACUGGAAGUUGUAAGGAAGUAGUAUAUCUUCAUUGUAUUUGAGGCGCUUCAAGAACUCUAGCAUGCUGUCCUCUACGGCCUUUUGAUGACGUGCAUCUAUUUUCCAUGUGUAUUCAUUAACGGUGUUUGGGUCAAUGAACCCAAUGCCAUAGCGUCCACCUUUUCUCAUUUCAUACAUCUUCAUCCUGCAUAUAAUACCACAGAAAAGAAUAUAGUGAGGAUAAUUACAGGUAAUGAUUGAUCAAAAGGAUCACUACAGCUAGCUUGAGACUUAAAUUACAGAAAGAAAUCACUUACAGACAAUAGCAACUGACGAUAGAUUUGUCGAGUGCGUCUUGAUUGUAUAAUUGAAACAGUUCAGAAUACUCAACGGACACAGCUUUCUCAUGGUAGUAAUGCUCCUCCUUGACAUUCACCAUGAGGGACAAUCGAUCGGAAAUCUUGGUAAUGUUCAUGUACCAUUGAUGCAAUUCAUACAUUCUCGUUGGGAGGUUCUUGACCUUGUCUGGCUCGACCAAAGGUUGGCCCCGGACAUAUUUCCGUUUUAUUGCAUCCUCUCUAAGCACAUGCAUGGGCUCGAUCUCGAGGAGUUGUCCAACAGUGAUUUUGAGAACUUCAGCCUGCAUUAUAUGCUCCUCCAUUAUUACCACAUUGCCCACCUCAGGAACGUAAACUGUUUGCCCACAAUAAUAUUGGGCGCGCGUACUCUCACGUGUUGUUGGCACAACAAGCGAGGGGAUCGAUUGCGCCGCCUGUUCUCCCAGCUGGGGAAUGGUUUUCCCGCAUUUUUUGACAGCUGCUUCUUGUUUGCUCGACCCCGAGCUCGCCUCCUUACGUAGACGUGCUCGAUUUAACUUCCUGAUGUGGCGCUCAUAGUCUAUGUCAACAGGCUUGGGAGCUGGUGGUUGAGCAAUACGAAUGAAGUGGUCAAUCGUUUCCUCUGGCACUUUCUCCCUUGGCGGCGGUGGCGGUUUCGGUGCAAAAUGGGCUUCCACCUCGGACUUCGAUAUGGCUGCGAUUUCCUCCUCGGACCUUUCAUAAGCCCUCUGCGGAAGAGGCGUGAGGCUUGGACCAUACUUAUAUCGCUUGCCUCCGCAUGUACUUCCUGUACUACCUCGACUCGUACCGCUACGCACCAUAGCUGCGGGGUGUCUCUUCUGUGAUUGCUGAGGCGGUGGAGACGGCUGACGGGGCUGAGUUGGACGAGGAGGAGUGGCCGCCUAAAGCUGUGCCGGACUUGGAGGAGGAGUGGCCUGAGGUUGUGCAGGACUUGGAGGAGGAGUGGACGUCUGACGUUGUGGCGGACUUGGAGGAGGAGGAGUGGCCUAACACUUUGCCGGACUAGGAGGAGGAGUGGCCUGACACUUUGCCGGACUUGGUGGACUUGCAGGAGCAGGAGACUGCUGACUCGGUGGCGGACUUCGACGAGGAGUCGGCUGACGCGGUGUCGGUGGCCUUCGAAAGAUGAUGCAAUCCUUUUUCCAUAGGAUGAUACGAUGUUUGGCGUCUCCGAGAAAGCGCUCGUCGUCACCUCCAGGAUAGUCAAGCUCUAGCUUCGAAUAUGGGUCCACCACCUCAUCAACCAAGACACGAGCAUAGCCCGCUGGAAUCGGGUUGCAAUGGAAGGUUGCCUCGGGGGGAUUUGUAAAAGCAACGGCGUCCGCCACCUUCAUGGAUAUGUUCUUCAUUUUGACGCGUAGCUCGCAGCUAGUGUUCUCCGUGAUGUCAUCCACAGGGUAUCUACCCAGCAUUCCGGCGUCCGGGGCGGAACCCACGCUGCUUCUCGACAUGGAUGGGGCGGUGCUAUCCAAUGCUGGAUCAUUCGCUAGCUGCUGCAGCUGCUGAGACCCCCUUUGCUGGGUAAGUGAGUCGAUCUGCUCCUGCUGCCGCUGGAAUUUGACUACCAAUUCUGCUUGACUUGCUUCUAGGCCUUGAAGGUGUUCAUAGUCCCGCUUCCUCUGCUCCUCCUCCAUCUUCCUCUUCUUCUCCUCCGCAAUCUUCUUUCUCGCACGGGUUCUAUAGUCGGUGUUCCAGUCUGAAAACCCCUCAUACCACGGAAUAGCGCCCUUGCCUCGUGUUCUUCCCAGGUGUUCAGGAUUUCCCAGGGCACGCGUAAGCUCGUCGUUCUCUCUGUUGGGCUGGAACACCCCCGAUCGUGCCUCUUCUAUUGCAACAAGUAUCGCAUCGUCGGCUCCCUUCAGACUUGCCCUCGUCGAAACAUUGCCUGUCUUCGGGUUCAACUCCCCCCCCAUGCGCAUAGAACCAAGUCCUGACCCUGGGGGCCAGCUCUUAGUAACCGGAGUGGCACCUGCAUCCUCCAUCUCUUUCUCAGACUUAUCCCACUUAGGCAUUGCCACCGCAUAGCCACCUGGCCCCAGCUUAUGGAACUUAUCCUUUUUUUCGGCAUUCUUCUUGUUUAUUCUCGACCGUUCCUUAGCUAAUUCCGAAUCGUUGAAUUCACGAAAUCGUCCCAAUGAGCAUGUUGGUUCUCUAGUGUUCCCUCUAAUACUGGAGUCUUCCUUCCUCCCUUGACGUACUUGUCCCAUUCACGAUUCUUGUGGUUCUUGAAUGCAACCGCCAUCUUCCUACGAGCAGCGUCCUUGACUUUCUGCACAUCUGCUUCUGUGAAAUGAUCUGGUAGGGUGAAAUGUUCCAUGAGAGUAUCCCAAAGAAGAUCUUUUUGAUUCUUGUCGACAAAAGUAACAUCUGGACGUGGAGCAGCAUCCUCUUUGCCUUUUUGUAUUUUGUCUUUUGCUGGCUCUCUCCAUUCUUGAAGGGAGAUCGGGAGUUGGUCCUUCACAAGAACUCCGCACUGACGAAUGAACUUGUCCGCAAUCUUCUUAGGCGCUAAUGGUUCGCCAUUAGGUCUGACUGCCUCGAUAUUGUACUUUAUGCCCUCCUUCAACUUUUUGUUCGGGCCUCGUUUCGUCCUUUUGCCUGAAGAUUUGCUUGAUCCGGAUGGCUGAAAGAACAAAGAUCGAUUCGUUAAUAUAUCUUCAAGUCAUUUAAAACAUGUGAUGAUCACCAGAUACCUGCUUAUAUAAAUAUAUAUAUACCUCGCCGGUCUUUGUUGUUUCAGGAUCAACAUGUUCUUCGUCAUCGUCAUAAUCGUAGUUCAUGACUUCAUCAAUUCGGUCGUCGCGAUCGAAUAUCAUAUCACCCUCUCCGGUGUUGUUUAGAAAUUCGGAGCCGUAUCAUAUCGAACAUGGUCUGUUCUCCCUCUCUGUCGGUAUUGUCUGCCAUAGCUUUUAUUUAACUAAUUCAAAAUAAAUAUAAAACAAUUUAGUAUUCAAAUUACAUCGUCUCGAAUAAUAGAUAUAAUCUCGAAUACUUUGUCUAGAAUAAUAGAUAUAAUCUCGAAUACAUCGUCUCGAAUAAUAUAUAAUAUUGAAUAGUACAUCACUGGCUACCUAUUAAAGAUCGAAUACUACAGAAGAAUCUAGGACACUCGUGGUUCCUGCGGCGCGGGCGGUGGACACCCAAAGAGAAGGAAUCCUCACAGGAUCAUAGCUGAAGUGAGAUCCCCGAAGAUACUGCCAGGUAUUGGAGAACCUGCCGCCCUCUAACGCAACCAUGUAGCGAUGGACGUGCUCGUCCUCCUCCCUGACACGGCGACGUACCACCUCCGGCGGGGCCGGGUCCCUCCGCACCGAAACUAGCCCACGCGAACGCCACCAAACGAGAUCAGGGUCGACGACGGGACCCGGGGCCGGGUUCCUCAUCAAGCGGCGCGCCCCUCCAGGCAGCACCUCCCAGUACCAGCCCGGCGGAGCCCAGUCCCGGACAUGGGUCGGCUGGACGUCGUCGCAGACGGGUCGACGGCGAGGAUGCGGGCCGGCCAUCGUCGAGAACAAAUACUAGCUAUAUGCCCGCAAAAAGUAAUAUUUUUUUAAUGAUUGGAUUUUGAUAACUAAAAUUUCUAACAUUUCUACUACUUCAAAAAUCUAUAUACUAUUUCAUACUAAUUAAGCAUCUAACACUAAAAACAGAAAACACAACUUCUAUACAUCCAUUAAAAAACUGGAAAACAACAUUAUAUAAAAAAUUUCCCUACUAAUUAAACACUAAUUAUAUCCAUCUAACAUGCAUUCAUACAUAUAUAAUAGUGAAAAAAAUAAUAAUCUAAACUAAUUAAACAUACAAAAUACGUAUAUACUAAUUAAACACUAAAUAAUCUAAACUAAUUAACCAUACAAAAUACAUAUGUACGUGUGUGUUUGUGUGUUCAUGCAUGCUUGUGUGUGUGUAUGGGCUCGGGGAGGGGCGGCGCCCAUGGUGGCCGCCGGGGGCGAGGGAGAGGGGUUAGAGGGGGAGAGCUCACAGCGGGCGACGGCGACGGCGAGCCGACGGCCGGGGCGGCAACGGCGGGGACGGCGCGACGGGGACAGGGACAGCGCGACGGGGACGGGCCCCGGGAGGCGACGGAGACGAGGGCGGCGACGGGGACGGGGGCGGCGAUGGGGACGGGGGCGGCGACGGAGACGAUCGAGGGCGGCGGCGACGGCGACGGAGACGGAAACAGAGGAACAAACAGAGAGGGAAACUGGAAUUUUCGUAGCUGNNNNNNNNNNNNNNNNNNNNNNNNNNNNNNNNNNNNNNNNNNNNNNNNNNNNNNNNNNNNNNNNNNNNNNNNNNNNNNNNNNNNNNNNNNNNNNNNNNNNNNNNNNNNNNNNNNNNNNNNNNNNNNNNNNNNNNNNNNNNNNNNNNNNNNNNNNNNNNNNNNNNNNNNNNNNNNNNNNNNNNNNNNNNNNNNNNNNNNNNNNNNNNNNNNNNNNNNNNNNNNNNNNNNNNNNNNNNNNNNNNNNNNNNNNNNNNNNNNNNNNNNNNNNNNNNNNNNNNNNNNNNNNNNNNNNNNNNNNNNNNNNNNNNNNNNNNNNNNNNNNNNNNNNNNNNNNNNNNNNNNNNNNNNNNNNNNNNNNNNNNNNNNNNNNNNNNNNNNNNNNNNNNNNNNNNNNNNNNNNNNNNNNNNNNNNNNNNNNNNNNNNNNNNNNNNNNNNNNNNNNNNNNNNNNNNNNNNNNNNNNNNNNNNNNAACCGGUACUAAAGGCGUACCGGUUUGUGCCACCACCCGGUACUAAAGGGGUCGCGCUGCCACCCCAAAGUUUAGUCCCACCUCGCCGGGCGAAGGGCAGCCGCACUGGUUUAUAAACCCAGCCACGGCUACCACUUUGAACUCCUCUAUAUAGCUAGCAGGCUUGUGGGCCUAAACUCUGCGUGCUGCCCUGUGAGUCUGCUGGGCCUUUAAGGCCUGUAAUUACACACCUGUGGCCUAUCAGGCCCACAGGGCAGCGCCCCAAUUUUUUUAUAGUUUUUUCUUUUCUGCUUUAUUUUCUUCUAUUUAUUUUUGCGUAGUUUUUUGUAUAGUUUUUUCUUUUUUGUUAUAUUUAUUUUCUUAUAUUUAUUUAUGAGUAGUUUCAAGUCCUGGAAACAGCCUCUUACAGAAAUGUAGGGAAAGGCUCCGUACUAUAGACCCAAAGUGGUCGGACCCUUCCCUAGACCGUGCGCAAGCGGGAGCUACAUGCACCAGGUUGCCCUUUUUUUUAGUUUUUCAUCUAGUUUGCCAAAAUUCAACAUUUUCAAAGUUCAUUUUGUAGUGAUUUUCAAUUUCACGGUCAUUUUGUAAACGAUUGAAAAAUAGCAAAUAUAUUUUUUUUCUUUUCUGCUUUAUUUUUUCUUCUAUUUAUUUCUGAGUAGUUUUUUCUUUUCUGCUAUAUUUAUUUUCUUCUAUUUAUUUUUGAGUAGUUUUUUUAUAUAGUUUUUUUCUUUUCAGCUAUAGUUUUUCUCUCUUUUUUGCUAUAUUUUCUGUUAGUGCCCGUAGUUUUCAAAUUUGAAUAGUUUAAAUUUUGAAUUAUUUGAAAUUAGUGUGAAUUUGUUUGCACAUAAAAUUUCUUCGCGUUUCAAAUGCCAAAACACAUAACUACCCUAACUAUUACAAAGAUUCCCCUCUCGGUGCGAAACACAGAAGAAAGUGAUGAUAGCUAGUGAAGCCGAUCACAUCCCAAAUCUUUGGGUGUGAAACUUUUUCUUCGCGUGUGUCCCUUUGCGCCGUAACCAUGGAAAAUCUUCAUCAUUUAACGGGAUGCUCGGGUCAAUAUUCACUGUGAAUGGAGCAAUUUCAUCAAACUUUUCAUAAUCUUCUGACUUGUCUGUCUUUUCAUCCACUCCCACGAUGUUUCUCUUCCCAGAAAGAAUUAUGUGCCGCUUUGGCUCAUCGUACGAUGCAUUCACUUCCUUAUCUUUUCUUUUUCUUGGCUUGGUAGACAUGUCCUUCACAUAGAAAACCUGUGCCACAUCAUUGGCUAGGACGAAUGGUUCGUCUGCAUACGCAAGAUUGUUGAGAUCCACUGUUGUCAUUCCGUACUGCGGGUCUUCCGUUACCCUGCCUCGUGUCAUAUUAACCCAUUUGCACCGAAACAAAGGGACCUUUAAACCACGUCGAUAGUCAAGUUCCCAUAUGUCCUGUAUAUAACCAUAAUAUGUUUCCUUUCCCCUCUUGGUUUCUGCAUCAAAGCGGACACCACUGUUUUGGUUGGUGCUCUUCUUAUAUUGGGCGAUCGUGUAAAAUGUAUUACCAUUUAUCUCGUACCCUUUGAAAGUCAUUAUAUUCGAAGAUGGUAACUGGGACAGCAAGUACAGGUCAUCUUCAAUAGAGGUGUCAUGCAUGGUACGUGUCUGCAACCAGCUGGCGAAACUCCUGGUUUGUUCACGUGUAAUCGAGUCAUCAGACCGCUCCGGGUGUUUGGAGCGUAGCAAAUUCUUUUGUUCAUCCAUAUACGGAGCCACCAAGGCGGAAUUCUGUAGAACUGUGUAGUGUGCUUCAGUGAGAGAAUGUCCGUCCAUACAUAUUAUUUGUUCCCCUCCUAGCGUGCCUUUUCCAUCUAGUCUGCCCUUAUGCCGCGAUUCAGGAACACCAAUCGGCUUAAGGUCAGGAAUAAAGUCAAUACAAAACUCAAUGACCUCCUCAUUUUGAUGGCCCUUGGAGAUGCUUCCUUCUGGCCUAGCACGGUUAUGAACAUAUUUCUUUAAGACUCCCAUGAACCUCUCAAAGGGGAACAUAUUGUGUAGAAAUACAGGACCCAAAACAUUAAUCUCUUCGCACAGGUGAACUAGGACGUGUGUCAUGAUGUUGAAGAAGGAUGGUGGGAACACCAACUCGAAACUGACAAGACAUUGCACCAAAUCAUUCUGUAACCUUGGUAUGAUUUCUGGAUCGAUUACCUUCUGAGAGAUUGCAUUGAGAAAUGCACAUAGCUUCACAAUGGCUAAUCGAACGUUUUCCGGUAGAAGCCCCCUCAAUGCAACCGGAAGCAGUGAGGCUUUAGGUUCUGGAACUUUUUCUCUGCCAUGUUUAUUAUUCCCUUUAUAUUCGACGAGAAGCCAGAUAGUACCUUAAUACUGAGCAGGCAUUCAAAGAAGAUUUCCUUCUCUUCUUUGGUAAGAGCGUAGCUUGCAUGACCCUGAUGUAUGCCGUCUUCUCCGUGCAUACGUUGCUGGUUCUCCCAUGCCUCAGGUGUAUCUUUUGUCUUCCCAUACACGCCCAAGAAGCCAAGCAGGGUCACGCAAAGAUUCUUCGUCACGUGCAUCACGUCGAUUGCGGAGCGGACCUCUAGGUCUUUCCAAUAUGGCAGGUCCCAAAAUAUAGAUUUCUUCUUCCACAUGGGUGCGCGUCCAUCAGCGUCCUUUGGAACAGGUUGUCCGCCAGGACCCUUUCCAAAUAUCACCUUCAAAUCAUUGACCAUAUCAUGUACAUCAGCACCAGUACGGUGGCGAGGCUUCGUCCGGUGAUCCGCCUCACCUUUGAAAUGCUUGCCUUUCUUUCUUACGGGAUUCCUGCUCGAAAGAAAUCGACGAUGUCCCAGGUACACAUUCUUCUUACAACUAUUCAAAUAUAUACUGUCGAUAUCAUCCAAAUAGUGCGUGCAUCCGUGGUAUCCCUUGUUUGUCUGUCCUGAAAGGUUACUGAGAGCAGGCCAAUCAUUGAUGGUCACGAACAGCAAUGCCUUUAGGUCAAAUUCUUCCUGUUUGUGCUCAUCCCAUGCACGUACACCUAUUCCAUUCCACAGUUGUAAGAGUUCUUCAACUAAUGGCCUUAGGUACACAUCAAUGUCGUUGCCGGGUUAUUUAGGGCCUUGGAUGAGCACUGGCAUCAUAAUGAACUUCCGCUUCAUGCACAACGAAGGAGGAAGGUUAUACAAACAUAGACUCACAGGCCAGGUGCUAUGGUUGCUGCUCUGGUCCCCAAAAGGAUUAAUGCCAUCUGCGCUUAGACCAAACCAUACGCUUCUUGCGUCAUCUGCAAACUCCUUCCCGUACUUUUUUUCGAUUUUUCUCCACUGCGAGCCGUCAGCGGGUACUCUCAACUUUCCAUCUUUCUUACGGUCUUCUCUGUGCCAUCGUAUCGCCUUGGCAUGCUCUUUGUUUUGGAACAAACGUUUCAACCGUGGUAUAUUAUAGGAGAAUACCACAUCACCUUGGCAGGAAUCUUCUUCCUGGGGCGCUCGCCCUCGACAUCACCAUGCUCAUCGCGGCUGAUCUUAUAGCGCAAUGCACCACAUACCGGGCAAGCGUUCAAAUCCUCGUACUCACUGCGGUAGAGGAUGCAAUCAUUAGGGCAUGCAUGUAUCUUCUGCACCUCUAACCCUAGAGGGCAGACAACCUUCUUUGAUUCGUACGUACUCUCGGGAAAUUCAUUGUCCUUUGGAAGCAUAUCCUUUAUCAUUACCAGCAACUUUCCAAAUCCCUUGUCAGAUACACCAUUCUCUGCCUUCCAUUGCAGCAAUUCCAGUGUGGUGCCUAGCUUUUUCUUGUCACCUACGCAAUUCGGGUACAACAAUUUUUUGUGAUCCUCUAACAUGCGCUGCAACUUCUUCUUCUCCAAAUCACUUGCACAGUUUCUCUUUGCAUCGGCAAUGGCCCGACCUAGAUCAUCAACGGGCUCAUCUGAUGCCUCUUCUUCAGCUUCUUCCCGCAUUGCCGGCUCAGCUUCUUCCCGCAUUACCGGCUCAGCUUCUUCCCCCAUUGUUGUAUCAUCGUAUUCAGGGAACCCAUGGCCAGGAUAGUUGUCGUCGUCCUCUUCUUCUUCAUUGUCUUCCAUCAUAACCCCUCUUUCUCCGUGCUUGGUCCAAACAUUAUAGUGGGGCAUGAAACCGAACUCAAAUAGGUGGACGUGAAUGGUUCUUGACGUAGAGUAAUUGCGACCAUUCUUACAGCUAGCACAUGGACAAGGCAUAAAACCAUCCGCCCGCUUGUUUGCCUCAGCCGCAAGCAGAAAAGUAUGCACGCCCUCAACGAACUGGGGAGAGCAUCGGUCAUCGUACAUCCAUUGCCGGCUCAUCUUCAUUACACAACAUCGAAUAGACCAAAUUAAUACAAGUUCAUACAUAAAGUUCAUACAACACUUAAAUGCAACAAACAAAUAACUCUCUAGCUAAAGCAUUUAAAUGCAACAACAAAUGCGAUCAAGAUCGCAACUAAGGUAACAAUUGAUCCAACAGCAUAAUGAUACCAAGCCUCACUAUCGAUGGCAUAUUUUCUAAUCUUUCUAAUCUUCAAGCGCAUUUUCUCCUUCUUGAUCUUGUGAUCAUCGACGACAUCGGCAACAUGCAACUCCAAUUCCAUCUUCUCCCCCUCAAUUCUUUUCAAUUUUUCUUUCAAGUACUCGUUUUCUCUUUCAACUAAAUUUAACCUCUCGACAAUAGGGUCGGUUGGAAUUUCCGGUUCACAUACCUCCUAGAUAAAAAUAUCUAUGUCAACUUGAUGGGCAUAAUUUGUCAUAAACAUGAAAUGCAACAAAUAGUUUUAAAAGAGAAUAUACCACAUCCGAAUCAUAACAAGGACGAGGGCCGAUGGGGACGGAUAUCAAAACCAUGGCACUAUGUAUAACAAAUAACAUACGGGUAAGAUAAUUAUUAUACGAGUAACUAUAUAUCCAAAUCACACAAACAUCAAUUUUUUAUAUAAAAUUUCAUGAACAAGAGGCUCACCACAAGGUGGUGCCGGCGACGGGAUGGUGCGGGCGAUCGACGGUGGUUACGACAGAGAUUUAGAAGGCACUAAGUAAACCACACCUACAUAUGCAAACUAAGUGUUAUUUUAACCUCAAAUUGCAUAUAAAUCAAAUACUAGCACAUAUAUAUAUAUAUUUACUCCCAAAUUACUAAACUCACAAAUUAAUAACUAUAUAAAGCAUUGCAAGAGCUAAUCUAGCAAUGAGAGAUGAAAGGACAAAGUUGCUAACCUUUGUGAUCAUUUGAAUGGAUGGGGGCCUUCAAAUCUUGACAAAUUUUGGGCAAAAAGUGUGAUGAGCUCGAGAGGAAGAGGGGAAGAACAGAGAGGAGAGGGGAAAGGGGAAGAACAGAGCGAGCUCGGGUGGACGAAGGGUUUAUGUAGGACGACCUUUAGUACCGGUUCGUGCCAAGAACCGGUACUAAAGGUGCUGGAGGGGCCCAGACUGACAACAUCCUGCCACCACUCUCAUUAGUACCGGUUCAUGGCACGAACCGGUGCUAAUGGUUAGCCACGAAUCGGUACUAAUGAGAGCGGCCUGGCUAGCCGUUGGAACCGGCACUAAUGUAUACAUUUGUGCCGGCUCAAAUACAAACCGGCACUAAUGUGCUUCACGUUUGACCCUUUUUCUACUAGUGUAUCCGGUAGAAACUUUGGGGCACUCUUUGAAGUACUUUUAUGUUGGUUGGAUGAAUCUGAGGUUGUGUGAUGCAUAUCGUAUAAUCAUGCCCAUGGAUACUUGAGGUGACAAUGGAGUAUCUAGGUGAAAUUAGGGUUUUGGUUGAUUUGUGUCUUAAGGUGUUAUUCUAGUAAGAACUCUUUUACAGAUCGAUCCGAACGAAUAACUUUGAGGUGGUUUCGUACCCAACCAUAAUCUCUACGUUUGUUCUCCGCUAUUAGUGGCUUUGGAGUGACUCUUUGUUGCAUGUUGAGGGCUUGUCAUACGAUAUAUCUAUGUUAUUAUUGUUGAGAGAACUUGCACUAGUGAAACUAUGAACCCUAGGACUUGUUUCCUAUCAUUGCAAUACCGUUUACGCUCACUUUUUUAUCACUCGUUACCUUGCUGUUUUUAUAUUUCAGAUUACAAAAACCUUUAUCUACUAUCUAUUUUGCACUUGUAUCACCAUCUCUUCGCCGAACUAGUGCACCUAUACAAUUUGCCAUUGUAUUGGGUGUGUUGGGGACACAAGAGACUCUUUGUUAUUUGGUUGCAGGGUUGUUUGAGAGAGACCAUCUUCAUCCUACGCCUCCUACGGAUUGAUAAACCUUAGGUCAUCCACUUGAGGCAAAUUUGCUACUGUCCUACAAACCGGUGCACUUGCAGGCCCAACAACGUCUACAAGGAGAAGGUUGCAUAGUAGACAUCAAGCUCUUUUCUAGCGCCGUUGCCGGGCAGGCUAGGUAAAGGGUACUCACACUCCGUCAACUAAACUCUUUUUUGGCGCGGUGAGUGCUUGAAGGUAUAUCUUUAGAUCUUGCAAUUGCAUAUUUUUGUUUCUUGUUUUAGCACUAGUUUAGUUUAUAAAAGAAAAUUACAAAAAAAUGGAGUUGAGUUUGUCUCAUACGCUUCAUCUUUUUAAUACUUUCGUGAGAAUGAUGGAAAGGAAAAUUGUGCUCAAGUGCUAGAAGAAGAAUUACAUAGAAUGCUUGGCAUAGAAUAUGUGAAUGAUGAGCAUGAUUGCAAUGUUGUUAGUAUGAAUUCCUUGAAUAUCCAUGAUGCUAAUGAUAUGCAAAGCCACAAGCUUGGGGAAGCUAUGUUUGAUGGAGAUGAUAUUUUUUCUCCCCCAAGCUUUGAUGAGCAAAUUUACUAUGAUGAAAGCAUGCCUCCUAUCUAUGAUGAUUAUUGUGAUGACACGUAUGCUUUAAAGAAUAAUGAUAACCAUGAAACUUUUCAUCUUGAUCUUAAUUUUCAAUCACAUGAUAGUUGUUUUGUUGAGUUUGCUCCCACUACUAUUGAUGAGAAGAAUUUUGCUUAUGUGGAGAGUAGUAAAUUUUCUAUGCUUGUAGAUCAUGAAAAGAAUGCUUUAGGUGCUGGUUAUAUUGUUGAAUUCAUUCAUGAUGCUACUGAAAAUUAUUAUGAGGGAGGAACAUAUGCUUGUAGGAAUUGCAAUAAUGUCAAGUUUUCUCUCUAUAUGCUUAAAGUUUUGAAGUUAUGCUUGUUUUGCCUUCCUAUGCUAGUUGAUUAUUGUUCCCAUAAGUUGUUUGCUCAUAAAAUCCCUAUGCAUAGGAAGUGGGUUAGACUUAAAUGUGCUAGUCAUAUGCUUCAUGAUGCUCCCGUUAUGUUUCAAUUCUUAUCUUUUAUGUGAGCAUCAUUGUCAUCAUCAUGCCUAGCUAGAAAGGCAUUAAAGAAAAGCGCUUGUUGGGAGACAACCCAAUAUUUAUACUUACUGUUUUUGUGUGUCCACAUGAUUAUUCUACUGUAUUAAUCAUGUUUUAUAGCUUUUGUUUCAAUAAAGUGCCAAGUAGAACCUUUGGGAAGACUUGAGUGAAGUUUAUGUGAUCUUGCUGUAAAAAACAGAAACUUUAGCGCUCACGAGAUUAGCUGCAAUUUUUUAAUGGAGAGUGAUUUUAGGUUGAUUCUUUUUGAAGAUGAUUAAUAGACAAAUUUAUAAGGUCCAGCAAUUUAUUUCAUAAUUUUUGGGGUACCAGAAGUAUACGUUUGAUACAUAUUACUACAGACUGUUCUGCUUUUGACAGAUUCUGUUUUCUAUGUGUUGUUUGCUUGUUUUGAUGAAUCUAUGAGUAGUAUCGGAGGGUAUGAACCAUAGAGAAGUUAGAAUACAGUAGAUAUGACACCAAUAUGAAUUUAGAAUGAGUUCAUUACAGUACCUAAGUGGUGGGUUUAUUUUCUUAUACUAACGGAGCUUACGAGUUUUGUUUUGAGUUUUGUGUGGUUGAAGUUUUCAGGUUUUGGGUAAAGAUUCGACGGACUAUGGAAUAAGGAGUGGAAAGAGCCUAUGCUUGGGGAUGCCAAAGGAACCCCAAGGUAAUAUUCAAGGACAACCAAGUAACUAAGCUUGGGGAUGCCCCGGAAGGCAUCCCCUCUUUCGUCUUCGUUCAUCGGUAACUUUACUUGGAGCUAUAUUUUUAUUCACCACAUGAUAUGUGUUUUGCUUGGAGCGUCAUUUUCUUUUGUUAGUUUUUGCUUGAUGUUAGUUAUAAUAAUGUUUUGCCUCUUUAUUUUCAAUAAAAAAAGUCAAGGAUAGCCUUUGCCAUGCUUAUUUUGCUAGUUUACAUGUUGCUGUUUGAAAAUAGAAAGUUUACCGCUGUUGAAAAAAUUCCCUAGAAAAGUCAGAGCAUGGUCUAACGUUGAAUCUUUUGGCAUAUUAAGAUCUGAUAAAUUUAUUACAGUGGGAAUUUUAGUUCAUAAUUUUUGGAGUCAGGGAAGUAUUGAUACUCUUGCAUUCUUUACAGACUGUACUGUUUUGGCAGAUUGCUGUUAUGGUUGCAUUGUUUGCAUAUGUUUGCUUGUUUAAUGAGUCUAAUUGAGGAUAGUAGUAUUAAAUAUACAGAGGCAUUUAGUAUGCAAUGUUGAAUAAUAAUUUUAGUGAUUUGUUACAGUAGAAAAUGAUAAGGUUUUGCAUUGGUUUAUACUAACCUAUCUCACGAGUUCUUGUUGAGUUCGUUGUGAAUGAAGCUUUUAAUAAAAAGAAGAGAAACCAUGAUAUGAGAGGAAUUAAGGAGACACAAAAGCUCAAGAUUGGGGAUGCCCAAGGCACCCCAAGAUAAUAUUUCAAGAAGUCUCAAGCAUCUAAUCUUGGGGAUGCCCCGGUAGGCAUCCCACCUUUCUUCUUCAACAACUAUCGGUUAGUAUCGGUUGAGCCUAAGUUUUUGCUUCUUCACAUGAGUUGUGCUAUCCUUGCAUUAUCAUUUUAUUUUGCUUGAUGCUUGAAUACAACACCAAGAUCUGAAAUCCUUUAAUGAGAGAGAGUCUUUGCAUAGUUGCAUAAUUAUUCAACUAAUUGAUCUUCAGUUAUAUCUUUUGGAGUAGUUUGUUGUUGCUCUAGUGCUUUACUUAUAUCUUUUAGAGCAUGGUGGUAGUUUUAUUUUGAGGAAAUAGAUGAACUCUCAUGCUUCACUUAUAUUAUUUUGAGAGUCAUUAAUAGCAUGGUAAUUUGCUUAACAUUAAUAUACUUGGUAUUGAAGAUAUGUGAAACUUUCUUUUGAGUGCGUUGAAUACUAAGAUAGUUUGAUGCUUGAUAAUUGUUUUGAGAUAUGGAGGUAGUGAUAUUAAAAUCAUGCUAGUUGGUUGAUUAUGAAUUUAAAGAAUGCUUGUGUUGAAGUUAGCAAGUCCCAUGGCAUGCACGUAUGGUUAAAGUUGUGUAACAAAUUUGAAACAUGAAGUGUACCUGGCUUGUGCAUCCUUAUGAGUGGCGUCGGGGACGAGCGAUGGUCUUUUCCUACCAAUCUAUCCCCCUAGGAGCAUGCACGUAGUACUUGAUUUUUGAUGACUUCUAAAUUUUUGCAAUAAGUAUAUGAGUUUUUUUGACUAAUGUUGAGUCCAUGGAUUAUACGCACUUUUACCUUUCCGCCUUUGCUAGCCUCUUCGGUACCGUGCAUUGCCCUUUCUCACCUUGAGAGUUGGUGCAAACUUCGCCGGUGCAUCCAAACCCCGUGAUACGAUACUCUCUAUCACACAUAAACCUCCUUAUAUUUUCCUCAAAACAGCCACCAUACCUACCUAUCAUGGCAUUUCCAUAGCCAUUCCGAGAUAUAUUGCCAUGCAAGUUCCACCAUCAUAUUCAUGACAUACAUUACUUUUGUCAUAUUGCUCUUUGCAUGAACAUGUAGUUGACAUUGUAUUUGUGGCAAGGCCACCUUCAUGAUUUUCAUACAUGUCUCUCUUGAUUCAUUGCAUAUCCCGGUAUACCGCCGAAGGCAUUCAUAUAGAGUCAUAUCUUGUUCUAAGUUUCGAGUUGUAAUCCUUAUGUUGUAAUCAAUAGAAGUGUGAUGAUCAUCAUAUUAGAGCAUUGCCCAAAAAAAAGAAAGGCCAAAAAAAAGGGAAAGUCCCAAAAAAAGAAAAUAUAAAGGGCAAUGCUACUAUCUCUUUUUCCACACUUGUGCUUCAAAGUAGCACCUUGUUCUUCAUGUAGUGAGUCCCAUAAGUUGUCUUUUUAUACUAGUGGGAAUUUUUCAUUAUAGAACUUGGCUUGUAUAUUCCUACGAUGGGCUUCCUCAAAUGCCCUAGGUCUUCAUGAGCAAGCGAGUUGGAUGCACGCCCACUAGUUUUCUUUUGUUGAGCAUUCAUAGCUCUAAUGCAUCCAUUGCAUGGAAAUCCCUACUCCUCAUGUUGAUAUCAAUUGAUGGGCAUCUCCAUAGUCCAUUGAUUAUCCUCGUCAAUGUGAGACUUUCUCCUUUUUUGUCUUCUCCACACAAUCCCCAUCAUCAUAUUCUAUUCCACCCAUAGUGCUAUAUCCAUGGCUCAUGCUCAUGUAUUGCGUGAAGGUUGAAAAAGUUUGAGAUUAUUUAAGUACGAAACAAUUGCUUGGCUUGUCAUCGGGGGUAUAGAAGUUGGGAACAUCUUUGUGUGAUGAAAAUGAAGCAUAGCCUAACUAUAUGAUUUUGUAGGGAUGAACUUUCUUUUGCCAUGUUAUUUUGAGAAGACAUAAUUGCUUUGAUUAGUAUGCUUGAAGUAUUAUUAUUUUUAUGUCAAUAUGAACUUUAGUCUUGAAUCUUUCGGAUCUAAAUAUUCAUAUCACAAUUAAGAAGAUUUACAUUGAAAUUAUGCCAAAGUAUCACUCCACAUCAAAAUUCUUUUUUUUCAUUUACCUACUCGAGGACGAGCAGGAAUUAAGCUUGGGGAUGCCUGAUACGUCUCCAACGUAUCUAUAAUUUUUUAUUGCUCCAUGCUACUUUAUCUACUGUUUUAGGCAAUAUUGGGCUUUAUUAUCCACUUUUAUAUUAUUUUUGGGACUAACCUAUUAACCGGAGGCCCAGCCCAGAUUUGUUGUUUUAUGCCUAUUUCAGUGUUUCAAGGAAAAGGAAUAUCAGACGGAGUCAAAACGGAACGAAAUCAACUGGAGAAGUUAUUUUUGGAAGAAAAGCAACCUGAUGGACUUGGAGUGCACGUUAGUGGAGCCCCGGGAUGCCCACGAGGGUGGGGGUGCCCCCCCACCCCUAGGGCACGCCCCCUGCCUCGUGAGCACCCCAGAGGUCCACCGACCUACCCCCUGCACCCAUAUAUACCUACGUACCCUAAAACUUCCAGAACAGAAGAAAGAUCGGGAGUUCCACCGCCGCAAGCCUCUGUAGCCACCAAAAACCAAUCGGGGCCCUGUUCCGGCACCCUGCCGGAGGGGGAUCCCAUCACCGGUGACCAUGUUCAUCAUCCCGGCGCUAUCCAUGACGAGGAGGGAGUAGUUCACCCUCGGGGCUGAGGGUAUGUACCAGUAGCUAUGUGUUUGAUCUCUCUCUCUCUCGUGUUCUCUCUCGUGUUCCCUCUAUGGCACGAUCUUGAUGUAUCGCGAGCUUUGCUAUUGUAGUUGGAUCUUAUGAUGUUUCUCCCCCUCUACUCUCUUGUGAUGAAUUGAGUUUCCCCUUUGAAGUUAUCUUAUCGGAUUGAGUCUUUUAUGAGAACACUUGAUGUAUGUCUUUCCGUGCUUAUCUGUGGUGACAAUGGGAUAUCAUGUGCCUCUUGAUGUAUGUUUUGGUGACCAACUUGCGGGUUCCGCCCAUGAACCUAUGCAUAGGGGUUGGCAUAGUUCUUGACUCUCCGGUAGAAACUUUGGGGCACUCUUUGAAGUACUUUUAUGUUGGUUGGAUGAAUCUGAGAUUGUGUGAUGCAUAUCGUAUAAUCAUGCCCACGGAUACUUGAGGUGACAAUGGAGUAUCUAGGUGACAUUAGGGUUUUGGUUGAUUUGUGUCUUAAGGUGUUAUUCUAGUACGAACUCUUUUAUAGAUCGAUCCGAACGAAUAACUCUGAGGUGGUUUCGUACCCUACCAUAAUCUCUACGUUUGUUCUCCGCUAUUAGUGGCUUUGGAGUGACUCUUUGUUGUAUGUUGAGGGCUUGUCAUAUGAUAUAUCUAUGUUAUUAGUUUUUAGAGAACUUGCACUAGUGAAAGUAGGAACCCUAGGCCUUGUUUCCUAUCAUUGCAAUACCGUUUACGCUCACUUUUAUCACUCGUUACCUUGCUGUUUUUAUUAUUUCAGAUUAAAAAAACCUUUAUCUACUAUCUAUUUUGCACUUGUAUCACCAUCUCUUCGCCCAACUAGUGCACCUAUACAAUUUGCCAUUGUAUUGGGUGUGUUGGGGACACAAGAAACUCUUUGUUAUUUGGUUGCAGGGUUGUUUGAGAGAGACCAGCUUCAUCCUACGCCUCCUACGGAUUGAUAAACCUUAGGUCUUCCACUUGAGGGAAAUUUGCUACUGUCCUACAAACCUGUGCACUUGCAGGCCCAACAACGUCUACAAGGAGAAGGUUGCGUAGUAGACAUCAUUGUGCACUGGUAUACAGUUGCUCAAUCAAUGUGUACGCUGCUUUCAACUUCAUCCGCAUAUCUACGCCUAGAUGUGCAAUGCGAUUACCUGCAAAGGUUCAAGAAUUUAAUGUUAAACCGUCAGAGUUCAAAAUAUUUCCAAACAGGCUAUGACAAAGUACUUGCCGAAAAUUGCAGAAGUCAUGGCAUUCACUUAAUGUUUCAGCCCUGUCAGCUCUUGUGCUAUCGGUUUAAGAGCUGCUUCGGCGUCUUCAGCCUGCUUUAAUAAAGCAGCCUUCUCAGUUUCCCAGUUGGUGCGUUCAUUUUUGAAGCCAUCUUUCAAUUUCUCCAUGGCUGUCAAAGCACCCUUUAGCUCCUCUUUGGCUUUAGAGGUCUCUUCUUGCUGGGACUUGAUGUUUUCUUCAAGAUUGGCGAUUUGAGAUUCUUUGAUAUUUCUAUCGGUCUGCAAAAGUUAGAUGAUGAAGCUAUUAAAGUCCCAAGCACAUAACAAGUUAUACACUUGGCACUUGGGGGCUAAUGCGGAUUGCUUUUUAAAGUGAGUAUUUUAAAAGUCCCAAGGCUCAAUCCAGGUAUUAAGCUUGGCACUUGGGGGCUAAUGCACAAUUGAUCAGUUAUAAGUGAAGGCAAUUAAUAAGGACAGACAAUCCCGGUUUGUCUUCAAGAGACAAACCGACCCUUGGGGGCUACUCAGUUGAAGUGUUCUUUAUCUCGAAGUCCCGGUUUAUCUUCAAGAGAUAACCCGGCCCUUGGGGGCUACAAUGGAAGAGAUAUACAGAACAAAGCAAAUUUCAAAGCGUUUUUGAAGAUUACCUCAUAACGUUUCUUCAUCAAAUUCACCAAACCAGCCUCAAAGUCACGGCUUGUGUAAAGGCGGUUUAAAAAUCCGGAAUGAAGCUCCUCGGCGCUAAGGUUAACGAAGUUGGAUAAAUCAGUCUUCCCUUUCCCCUUGCCCAUAGCAGCGAAUUCCUCCUUGUCACUAUGUUUUGACAAGACAAUCAGAUUACCAGGAUUAGUGGUGACUCGUACCCGUAAUAAGAACAUCGUCAUCGUCACCUUUUGAUGGAUUUGGCGGAUUGACAGUGACCCUGGCUGGGCUUGGCAGAUUAGCAGUAUCCCUGACUGGGCUUGAAGGAGGAAUAGUAUCUCUAGCCGGUCUUGGAAGUUCCUCAUUCCUGGCCGGGUUUGGAGGAUCAGCAUGUGCACUGGCCGGGUUAGCUUCUGACGGAUCAGCAUCAGUAUUUUGACCCUGUGGGGUAGGGUCAUCAAUGGCGAUGUCCGCACCUCUAUUAGCACCUUCAUAAGUUCUAUCCGGUUCAACCUCUUCAGUAGGAACAUUGAUUCUCGCCUUCUUGCUCGGCCGGGCUUUGGCCCUGAAAUAUUAAAACAAAAGGUCAGUUGGUAAACCGGCGUAAGAAGACAAAGUUAAAACGGUAUACUUACCCAGGGAUGGUCUUGAGGGGAGGCAUUUGAGUGGUUGAUGAACCGCUAGAUGAAGAAUUGGAAGACACCUGGUAAUUUGGAUCAGACGGAUUGAGUGGGUAUCGGAAGAAACCCUUCAAAGGAUCAAGUUUUUCAGGAGAACAAGAAACCUCUGGACGACGCUUCCGGGUUGGUGUAUCCGGUAAACCGAAAGAGGUGACUUGCUGGCCACUGUGCCGGGUUGUGCGAUGACCUUUAGCUUGCUGUGUCUUCAAAGAAAAUUGCGGAUCCAAAUAAGCAAGAGGGUGAGAGUAUUUUACUUUCCAAACUGCACGGUGAAAUUUUUGAACCGGCACAAGAUCUGAAUCGGAGGAAAGAGAGAUUAGCUCUACAUGGUCCGCACGGCUGGCCUCCGCAUCAUCCUGGGAAUAUUCAUUGUAAAUAAGGUGUAUGAAAAAGGAACCAAGGGACUCAAGUUCUACCUCUUGAUCCGAUUCAUCAAUGUCCUCUGGCGGAUCAGAAGACUCGGCGGUUUUCUUCUUGGCUGCUCUCUUUGUGACUUUGCUCUUCGCACGAGGAGCCCUAGCCGGUUUAUCUUGAGUUUUCCUCUUCCAGAAGGAGCUAUUGGCCUGUGAAAUUAAACAAAGGAGUAUUAGCAUAUUGUUAAAGCGGAGGCAGAUCAAAAAAGCACAAGGUUAUAGUUUUUACCGCUGGCGAUUUAUUGGAGGCAUAAAAAGGGAGCAGCCCAGUUUUGCUGCAUGCGGCGAUCGGUUCGUCAAACAUCUUCUUCACACAUUCAGUGACUUCAUCGUCAGUCAUUUCUAUUUCAUUAAACCAUUGAGGAUCCUUGGUGUCGCCGUUAUACUCAUGCAUCAAUCCGGAGCAGCGACUUAAAGGUGGGAUGUGCCACGAAACCCAACAGCGAACGAGGUCAACACCAGUCAAACCAUUGGCUAGGGGAGCCCGGAGCUUGGCGAGUUGAGGUGCAUAAGCUUGUCAUUCCUUGGCCGUUAGUCAUUGAGGUAAAGGGUGGCCGUUGCUAAGCCGGUAAUCGCGGUAGCCUGGCAAAGGAUUUUCUCCAGCAGGGGUAGUGUUCUGACAAUAAAACCAUGUUUGGUUCAAGUCUUUGGGAUGGUUGUGGUGUUUUGCAUGAGGGAAAUCAACUUCUUUCCUCUUCUGGAUUGAUACCCCACCAAGUUCCGUGUUAGGACCAUGAGAGAACUCAGUUCGGUGGUUUAGAUGGAAAAAGUCCUGGAAGAGCUCAACAGAUGGUUCUUCUUGAAGGUAAACUUCACAGAAUACUUGAAAGUUGCAUAUGCUGGACACAGAAUUCGGUCCAAUAUCCUGUGGAUGGAGUUGAAAGCUAGCAAGGACAUCCCAGAAAAACUUUGAUCCGGGCGGGCUGAAUCCCCGGUCUAGGUGCUCCAUGAAUACAAUCACUUCUCCAUCUUGAGGCUCAGGAGGGCACUCAGGGUCAGGGACUCGCCAAUGAAGGACAUUUUUUGAGGCUAAAGCACCAGUUACAACAUAUCCAUUGAUUUGCGUUUCCGUGAUCCGGGACGGAACCCAGUUGCAAGCGGAAAAUUGCUUGGUCAUCUUGGACAGCAAACUGUAAAGGAAAAAUGAAGGCUGGUUUACGAUUAACGGUUGAUGUGCACUAAUCGGUGUUAAACCGGGGAAUUUGAUCAAAGCAUAUGUGUGAGAUAAACCGGAAAUUGCUAUUCAAGUCAAAAUGGCGGUUUAAGUGAGGGCUAAUGGCAUAUGGCGGAUUAUCAACUACUAAAGGUUAAACCGCCCUUAAAUUGAAGAGGCAGAGCUGAAAAUCUACCAAGUGUUUACAGAAACAGGUUUCACAAUAUGGCAAUAUAAUUUUGGAUCUACCGUGGUACAAUAAAGAAAACUUUCCUGAGCCCUACAAUGGCGCUAAGAGGAACAGACAAGGUCCAGAUGGAGUCUGUCCAGAAACAACAAAACACUAUGGUACGAAGGAUUAAAACUAUGGAUCUAGCCGCAGAUCAAAGCUAUCAGGCAUAAAUAGAUUCAGUAAAGAGGCUAAGAGAAGGGCGGAGAAGCACUGAUGAACGGCAACGAACACGAAAGAACUGGAAGCCCUAAUGGAGAUCUAGGGUUACAAGAAGAAAAAUUACCAGAUCCACGCAGCGGCAGAGGAGUGUCGCAAGGUCUCUGGUACGAACAGGGUGAUGCAGCGGCCUUGGUCGGUGCAGGUUCAAAGGUCGACGGCGGCGGCGAUGCUUGGGCUCUUCGGGUCGCGAGGAGGAAGACGAGAAGCAAGGGGAGAAAAUGGAAGGACCCUUCGGUCUUAUUUAUAAAGGGGCAAGAAGAUAAGCGACAGGCGCGAGAAUCGAGGAGUCUAAAGCGGCAAGGGGCGCAGCUGUCACCUUGAUCUUCAGGAUACAAUUAAUAAAGGGAAUAUUUUUUCUUUUUAUACAGAGAUGACGUCAUGACAAUCCGCUGUUGUAUCCAGAGGAUGACGUCACGGCGGUUUAACAAAAGUUUAUAGGAGAAGACAUCGUGGCGGUUUACGGGAAAUGUAAGAAGAUGUUCACGGGAUUUUUCUAAGUAUUGGAGAUUGACAUGAACUGGUUCAAAUCAACUUGGGGCCUAAUGUUGGGGAUAUAACUAGUAAGGAUAAACCGCCCAGGAGGGGCCGGUUCACCCUCAACUACAUUGAAGCCCAUAAAGACCCAGAAGAUGGAGGUUUACGGAUGAAGCUUAGAGGGCCAGAGCCCAAAGAUAGAUUAGGGCCCAUAAGUUGUAAACUGCCAUGAUCGUGUAACUUGUGUUGUAAGAUAGGAAAGGGGAGACCGAGCCGGACACUUGUAUGAGCCGGCCUCGGGACUCUGUAGACCGUCCGGGCGUCAGCCUAUGUAUAUAAAGGGACGACCCGGCGGUGGUUAAAGGACAAGAAAACAACAACUCGUGACCCAGGCAAAGCGUAUUUGCUCCCUGGUCAUCGAAAUCCAAUCAAUUCCAUCACAACUAGACGUAGGCUUUUACCUUCAUCAAAGGGGCCGAACUAGUAUAAAACUCUCGAGUUCCUUGUCCGGUUUAACCCCUUCAAGCCAACCCGUCGCGAUGGCUCCACGACUAAGUCCUUUCAUGAGGACACCUGACGUGUUAAUUCCACGAUAGGCACGAUGAAUUCUUCGUCACCGAGGCUUACUUCAUUUUCAGAGAGAGGCAUGUAAUUAUCGUCCUCUGAUUCUCCAUCAGUUGCCUAUUCUUUAGGGCUAGCUUACCCAUCCUCUUGCUUGGCCUGCUCGAAGCCUGGCUGGGCAGGAUUGUCUUCGCCUUCGGCACCAUCCGGAUUGUUAUCUCUUGUGCCGGUAUCGCUAUUUUUGCUAUGGCGGGGCUUGGAGCGACGCCGAUGACGUCGGUGUCUAGAUUGCUUCUCCAAGGGGUUGUUUUCCGUUGCCUCAUCGCCAUUGUUUUCUUUAGGGGUGUCCACCAUAUAAAUGUCAUAUGAUGAGGUGGCUGUCCAGCGCCCUAUAGGCGGUGGUUCCUGUUCUUCUCCUGCAUCGUCAUCCAUAUCAUCGAUGACUUCGGAGUCGAAGUCAAGCACGUCGGUUAAGUCAUCGACAGUGGCUAUAAAGUGGGUGGUGGGUGGGAGACGAAUUUCUUCCUCGUCCGCUCCCCACUCGAACCGGACAUAGUUCGGCCAAGAAUCUCCUGACAAGGAAAGAGACCUUAAUGAGUUUAGCACGUCACCCAAGGGCGAGUACUGAAAAAUAUCCGCAGCGGUGAACUCCAUGACCGGUGCCCAAUCAGAUUCGAUAGGCAUGGACGCACACGGUUCGGAUCCUGUGGCCGGAGACGAGUCCGAGGGUCCGAUGACACCACUUUCAUAGGAGGUGGAAUCAGUGUUCGGCUCCAACGUCGAUGAGUGUGCGGCUUCCGUGGAGGGGUCCAUCCACCCGCCCUCGGAAGGCACGAUCUGCUCCGGAUUGAUUCCCGGUGCCACCACAGGCACGAUCUCCCGAAUACUGUCCGACGGCAGAUCAAAGUCAUGCCUGUUGUGACCGUUCGGCGUGCCUGGGAUGGGCUCGAAUUCGUCGAAGAUCAAGUCUCUGCGGAUGUCGGCAGUAUAGUUUAAGCUUCCAAACCUGACCUGAUGGCCAGGGGCGUAGCUAUCGAUCUGCUCCAAAUGGAUAAGCGAGGUAGCCCGUAGUACAAAGCCACCGAAUAUGAAGAUCUGUACGGGGAGGAAAACCUCCUCCUAGACCACAUUGUUGAAGAUGAUCGAAGGGGCCAUCAAGCCUUACAGCGACGGCACAGUGGAACUCUCAAUGAAAGCACCAAUGUCGGUGUCCAAACUGGCGGAUCUCGGCUAGGGGGUCCAGAACUGUGCGUGUAAGGCUAAUGGUAACAGGAGGCAGGGGACACAAUGUUUUACCCAAGUUCGGGCCCUCUCGAUGGAGGUAAUACUCUACUUCCUGCUUCAUUGAUCUUGAUGGUAUGAGUAUUACAAGAGUUGAUCUACCACGAGAUCGUAGAGGCUAAACCCUAGAAGCUAGCCUAUGAUUAUGAUUGUUCUUCUACGGACUAAACCCUCCGGUUUAUAUAGACACUGGAGGAGGCUAGGGUUACACAGAGUCAGUUACAGAGAAGGAAAUCUACAUAUCCGAAUAGCCAAGCUUGCCUUCCAUGCAAAGGAGAGUCCCAUCCGGACACGGGACGAAGUCUUAAAUCUUGUAUAUUCCCAGUCCAAUAGUCCGGCCAAAGUAUAUAGUCCGGCUAUCCGAGGACCCCUUAAUCCAGGACUCCCUCAGUCGCCUGCUACUUUUUCUGCUAUUCUAUGAUGCAAUGAUAAAUUCCACAUGAGCGAUGAUAAAUCCCGCAUGAAGUCAUUCCACAUACGUCCAUUUUUCAUUAUGCAUGUCAUUAUUCCUGUAUAUCUGCUCAUGCAUGAUGUAUUGUCUUCAUAUGGUGAAGAGGAUCUCCACAAGUACAACCUGCCAUGUGCAUUUGCAUUCCAACACAAAAUAUUUAUAUGCACAUCUUCAGGGGGGAGCCUUUUUGCCACCUAUGAAGACAAUAUCUUAAUCCUUUACAAUUUCACAUACUUUUAUCCCCGUUGAAAACUUCAACCAGUUUGUCAUCAAUCACCAAAAAGGGGGAGAUUGUAAGUGCAUCUAGUGCCACCCCUAGUUGGUUUUGGAGUAUUGACGACAAACCUGGUUGAGGGACUAAUGUGUUUGUGAGAAUUGCAGGAUAACACAGGUAGUAGUCCCUCAUUGAUUCGGUUUACCUACCGGAGAUGACCUCUAAAAAUGUGUGAAGACAUUGAGGACAAUGGUGGUAUGUGAAGAUAUUCACGUUGAAGACUAUGACAUGAGAAGACAUCGCGUGAAGGCUAUGGAGCACGAAGACUUAGUUCUUUCGUUGUUUCCUUUUCUUAUUUGUUGAGUCAUAGGAACCACCGUACUGUCAAGUGGGGUCCAAGUGAACAAAGUCAGAGUGACUGAAGUGAUGCUCAACCAAAUCCUAUGUCUUCAAGCGAAGACAAUGAGAGCAAAUCUUAUCCAUAGUCAGAUGAGUCAGCUUUAAUUUACUUGUAGACCAAGUCAAGCUGCCGCGUGUAUUUGAAAUCUGACCGUUUAGACACAUGUCAGUUCCUUAGUGACCCAGGGUCAUUUCGGACAAAUCAGGUCGGGUUGCCCAGUGGCUAUAAAUAACCCACCCCCUACACCAUAAAUUGGUGGCUACUCAGAGUUAGUACACGGCUUUUGUCGUUUGAGAGCAACCCACCUCCGAAGCAUUUGAGAGAGAAUCCUUGCAAGGACAAAGCCCAAACCACCCAGAGCCCAAAGAGUGUUUGGCAUCACUAAAGUCUUUUUGUCCGCGUGAUCUGAAGACUUGUUACACUCAAGGAUUGUGAAUCCUCCAGCCGGUUAGGCGUCGCGUUCUGAGCAUCCAAGAGUCAUUAUGGAUUGCCGGUGAACGAAGUCUGUGAAGGUUUGGAAGUCUACCUUGAAGACUUACCAGAGUGAUUGGGCGGGGACUAGGUGUCCUUAGCUCAAGGGGAAUAAGGUGAAGCUGCAGUCUUCUGAGUUGAAUCUCAGCCUCCCUAACCAUAAGUACAGUUGUAAUAGCAACUAGAACUGGUCGAACAAAUCUCUGUCCUCCCGAAGCUACUGGUUCUAUCUCUCACUUCUCUUUACUUACAGUUUGUCUUCGUGAAGUCAUUGCCUGCCUGUGUUAUCUGUUUGACUUCACUGUGUGACUGCUUGUCCUGAUUGGCUUCAUACUAUCUUCCAUCUUGAUCCUUACUACCUAGCUGCUGAUAGUCUUCGUGCUUUCACUUCAUUGAAUACUUGACUAUGGCUUGUCUAGUGUAGUCUACCUUCCGCUGUAUUCGAAUAGUGUCAUCUCUAUUGGUUGUCUUCGAAACUCCCAUGUUUUGAAUACUUUCAUAAAAAUCGCCUAUUCACCCCCCCCCCCCCGUCUAGUCGAUAACUAGCUCUUUUAGGUAUCCUUAUGCAGUGUCGAGGGAGGUUGCACUCAAGAUCGCCAGCAUGGCAUAAUUCCAUCUGAAAGGUGCUACCUAAUUCGUCCACAAUCUGUAGUGCCUUUGUAUGCACUCUACAGAUUUCUAAUCCAUUAGCAAAAUCAUAAAUGAUAUCCCAAUGGGCAAAAUAUUCAGCUACUGCCAUCAGUUGCACUAUAGAGCAUGUAUAGGAUAGCCGACCCUGACAACCUAUGUUGCUGAAAUCCAAAUAAAUCCAACGACCAGCGUGUGGUGCAGUAUCAAUGGGCCUACGGUUUGUUCCAAGGAAUCUCAAGUUUAACCAUGCAUUAACACUUAUGCUUGCAGACAUAUCCACAUUGAGAAAUGCCAAUUCAUUCCAUGAUUUAGUAUUAGGUGGUGCCUGAUCCGGUGGACUCCUAGACUGCAAGUGUGCAACUGACAAACAACUGAUAUACUCCUCCACGACAAUCACCACACAACAAGAAACUUGAUGGAAAACCACAUCUCUGAAUAUCCUCAAAACGAGUUCAGAACUGAACCAUACAACUUCAUGUGAUUGACGACAUAUACCUGAACAGGGCUCCUCCUGAUAACUUGCAUCUAAGCAAAACUUGAAAGACGUCCGCGGGCUAGGCCUGAAUAGGUGUCCUCUAUGUCCGGUCCUCACUCGCACAGGUGACGACCAUGGUUGCUGCCCGAUUCUAUGGUGUAACAAUGGUAGGCACGAGGUUUUUCUCUUGUCCACAAGAUGAACAUGCUUCACCCAUUUGCCGUCCUGGACUAGACCGUCUGUCGAACACAUGGUGAGCACCGGCAAAACAGGGUUGCCGGAGAUGAUGAGGGCGACGUCGUGGUCUGCCUUGCUUAUCAAUUGGGUGGAGGUGUCAACAGAGAGGGCAUCGAGCUCCUGCAUGUUGUCCUUAGGGUGAACGGCGGUGGUGGUCGUCACAAGAGAAACGACCUCGGCACUAGAGGCCGUUACCUGCUCCGGGGCGAGCUGCUCGACUGCUUGGUGGAUGGGGUUGACCGUGGGCUUGAGGUCGACAGCGGUGGCGGCAUCAUGGACCUCGUCGACAUUGUCGAUGGUAUUGACCUGGGUCGAGCAUUGCGUCGAACACGUGAUAGGCACCAUCGUGAUGCAGACUGGGGCUACAUCAUGGGCGACCUUGGGGAUCUCCUGGGCCUUGGUGGUGGAGCCGAAGGCGUAGGGGACAGGCAUCGACGCGUUGGCUAAGUUCUCCGGCGAAGUGGUCGCUGAUGGUGGGUUGUGGACGAAGGCGGGUGAACUAGUGUCCCAACUGACGUCAAGGGUGUUCAGUUUCUUGGUGAGGGACUUGGUGGCGUUGGUGUAGGCAUCGAGCCUGGCGCCGAGCCGCUCGAGAUACUCCUGGAGGAACAGAUCCAUGGUUGAUUCCGUCGGAUGGUGGUGGUGAAAAAAAAUUUAGGGGAAGAAUUUGGGGAAGGAUGGUGCCUGGCUCUGUAUACGAGAUGUAAGAGUAUUGUUGGGGAUCUCUCUUCCUUAGAUAACAAUCACUCACAGAGGAACAAUUUGAUGUAGUGAUUACAACUGAAUACAAGUAUCAGGAGGAAUAAGGAUGAACAGAAAGGAGCAGAGGUAGGAGAAGAGAGGAAGGUAGCCACCGCCGGGUUCGUCCGUGAUCCACUGGAUGCCUUGGACGUCGUCUCCUCCAACACUCUUAUCACCUUGGUCAUUCCAGAAGGGGCCAGGCCCGUUUAGCUGGCCCAAGGGGCCAGCCCAAGCAUGUGAUGGUAGGAGGGCUCCUAACACUAUAAGAAACUUGUAUCCUACCCUAGCCGCCACGGCGACUAGGGUUUAUCUACUCCGGCGUCGUCCGUCGCCGUUGAGGUUUCUGAUAACCUGCCUGCGCAUCCCACCCAUCCCACGCUAGCGCUUGGGCUGAUAAAGGGGUCGACUUUGUCCUUCCACCCGGCCUCGGCAUGGUGCGGUGAUCUAGGGUUUGACUGCAGCCAUGGCAGGGGCGACUCCUUCCAAUGGAGGGGGAAGUACUAGUUCAGGCAGAAGGAAGGGAAAGACUCCGAUCGACCUGGAAGCGGCAAUGAGGAACAUGAAGCUGAAGGAGACUGAGCUAGAUGACGUGAUCAUUGGCGAUGAGGAAAUCGCAGAAUUGUCAAAGGAUGCCCAGUGGCUGGCUGUUGCGAGGGUAAACACGACAAAGUAAUUCGGUGUUGAGUCCUUCAAGAACAGAACGAUUUUUGCAUGGAGACUUGCCAACAAGCCAGAGAUCCGCGAGGCAGAUGACAAUCUUUUCGUCAUCCAACUUUUCUGUCUAGGGGAUUGGAACAGAGUUAUGCACCAGGGUCCUUGGAUCUACAGGGGAUUUAUGGUUGCAAUUGAAGAGUACGAUGGCAAAGGGAAACCAGAUUUGGUUCAGCUCGACCGAGUUCAUGUGUGGGCGCAAAUUCAUGAUACCCCGGAGCUCUAUAGGAAGGAGAUGAUAGUAGACCAACUGGCUCGUCGCAUAGGCCAAGUGAAGAGCGUGGAGAUGAACCCUAACCGAGUUUUUGAGGGCAACUAUGUCAGGGUCCUGGCGAAGAUUAAACUAGCUGAUCCCUUGGUGUGUUUUGCCCCAUUGAACAUCAAAGGGGAAGGGCGAAUCCUCUUGGCAGUCAAAUAUGAGAAGAUAGGCUUCUUUUGCGAAGUCUGUGGCGUCCUAGGCCACUCCAUGGAGGAGUGCGGUGAUGGGGUUCACAGCCCGAGGAGGUUGAAUACGGCGAGUGGAUGAAAGCUACUCGGAGACCCAUGCUGGAGAGCCAGAACCGCGACCCGAGCUGGAACAGGGGGAACUUCGCACGAGGACGUGGACGUGCCCAUGGAGGCGGCCGCGGAAGGAACAAUGGAGCCAAGAAACGGUCAUCGGAGGAGGCCGGUCCUGGGGAGGAAGUUGACAGAAACAUUGAUGAUGAUCUCAAGGAUACGGCGGAGAGCCCUCUUGAGGGCAAUGGUUAUGAUGCGGGGACUGACCGUCCCCAAACCUCGGUUAUCCGCAAGCUGAACAUGGAUGAGCAGGUAGCAGCUGAGAGCAUCAAGGGUGGCGCGCUGGAUGCAUCCAUGCAAGGGGAAAUUAUUGUCCCUCCAACUCCACCACCUUACAUCACCCCAAGGGACAGAAAGAAGCAAAAGAACGGAAAUUCCCCAAACAAAAGCAACUUGGACAGCAUGGCAGGCUCCUCUGAGGAGCGCCGCCGGGUCCAAUGAGUCUUUCAUGUUGAAACUGUCGCGGGGCGGGCAAACCCGCGACAGUUUGAGAGCUUCGCGAUUUUGCGAGGCAGUUUGCCUCGAUGGUGCUUUGUAUAGUUGAAACUCAACUCCCUAGAGAUAGAGUGGAAAACUUGGCAAGCACCCUAGGUUAUGAUAAUGCAUAUGUUGUUAGUAGCUCUGGUAGAAGUGGUGGUAUCGGUAUUUUUUGGAAUAAUGAAAUAAAGAUCGAAAAUUUUGGUUACUCUGCUUAUCACAUAGAUGAUCAUGUUACUUUGCCCGGUGCUACACCAUGGCGGCUCACAGUGAUGUACGGCGAAUCACAAGUCAGUGAAAGAGGCAAGACUUGGGACGUGUUAAGAUCUCUGGCUGAAGAUAAUGAUCAGCCAUGGUUAUGCUUUGGUGAUUUCAAUGAAGUACUGAGUUUGAGUGAACAUGAUGGGGUUGGUCAUCGCUGCAUGACACAGGUGAAUGGUUUUAGGGACGCUGUUGAUACAUGUGACCUUAUUGAUCUAGGCUUCUCGGGAAACAUCUGGACUUUUGAGAAGAGAGUAGCCGGAGGUACAUACACGCGAGUGCACCUCGAUAGGGCACUUGCCACUGCAUCGUGGUCCAGCAUGUAUCUAGGGGCCGAGUUGUCUCAUAAAUCUGCCACCACAUCGGAUCACAUACCGAUUUUGCUACAACUCUCACCGGAAGGUAAUCAGCCAUGGCAAGCUAGACCUUUCAGAUACGAGAUGAUGUGGGAAUCUCAUGAGGGUUUUCAGGCGACCAUUGAACAACACUGGCAAGGCCCAGGGGCAACCACGGUUGCGGAAUUGUGUGCAAAGAUUAAAAUGCUGUCAACAAAUCUAAAACGUUGGGACCGAACUACGUUUGGCAGUGUGAAGGAACAGAUCCGAUCUCUAAAGCUUCAGCUAGAGAGCAUGUGUGCGGACCCAUCAAGGACGGCACCUACUCGUCAGGAGGAGAAAGUGAAAGAUCGCUUGAUCGAGCUCUAUCAUAGAGAGGAAGUCAUGUGGCAUCAAAGAUCGCGAAUAACAUGGCUGGCGGCGGGCGACAAGAACACCAAGUUCUUUCACCUACGGGCCAGUAGGCGGCGCCUUAAGAACAAGAUAAAAAGUUUGCUAAGACAUGAUGGUACUACAGUAGAAGAUGCAGCAGAGAUGGAGAGUAUGGUCACGGCCUUCUACAAAAAUCUGUCCACAUCGGAGGGGACAACGAACAUGCAUCAAGUGAUUGACGUGGUUCCCCACAAAGUCACUAACGAGAUGAACCAGAGGCUGAUGAGCGAGUACAGCAGAGAGGAAAUCAAAACGGCGUUGUUUCAGAUGGCUCCUACUAAAGCUCCAGGAUCUGAUGGGUUCCCGGCGCAUUUUUUCAGAGACAUUGGGAGCUCUGUGGGGAUGAAGUAUCUACUAUCAUUCUAAAAAUCUUAAGGGGUGAGGAAGAAGUUGAGGAGUUGAAUGAUACUAUCCUAGUUCUCAUCCCUAAGGUAACCAAUCCCACACUUUUGUCACAGUUCCAUCCUAUAAGUCUAUGUACUGUACUCUACAAGAUUGCGUCGAAAGUUAUGGCAAACAGGCUGAAGUCCAUUCUUCCUAUGAUCAUAUCGGAGGAGCAAUCGGCCUUUGUGGCGGGGAGGUUCAUCACGGAUAACAUCAUCUCUGCGUAUGAGUGUUUAAAUUUUAUGAAGAGGAACAGAUCAAAGAGGAAUGGGUUUUGUGCUCUUAAACUCGACAUGAUGAAGGCCUAUGACCGUUUGGAAUGGGACUACCUCCGUGCUAUCAUGUCUAAACUGGGUUUUGCGCCGGCUUGGGUCAACUCAGUUAUGAGGAUGGUAUGUUCAGUCAAGUUUUCGGUUAUGUUCAAUGGAAAGAAACUUGAGAAAUUCACACCUUCACGAGGACUCCGACACGGGGAUCCAAUAUCACCUUACCUUUUCUUGCUGGCAGCAGAGGGCCUUUCGUGCCUUUUAAAAAACCAGACAGAGUCAUCUCCGGUGCAUGGGAUCAAAGUGGCAGAUACGGCGCCGCCGGUAAGCCACCUUCUUUUCACAGAUGGCAGCCUGUUGUUCGUCAAGGCUAGUGUUGAGGGGGCUAUUCAGGUAUCUUCUUUGUUGGAAUCAUACUGCAAUGCUUCAGGACAGAAAAUAAACUUGGAUAAAUCUUCAGUGUUUUUUAGCAAGGGCUGCUCGCAGGGUAUUAAAGAGAGCAUGAAAAAUACCCUGAAUUUUCACAACAAGAGUCUCUCAGAAAAGUACUUGGGCAUGCCUCUGGAUGUCGGGAGCAGCAAAAACGGGGCCUUCAAAUAUUUGAAGGAUAGAGUUUGGAACAAAGUUAAGGGAUGGAUGGAAAAGGUUUUGUCAUCCGGAGGGAAAGAAGUACUUAUAAAGUCUGUAGCUCAAUCUAUCCUGGUUUACUCUAUGGCUUGCUUCAAGCUACCUCGGGGCCUCUAUCUUCACAUUAACUCCAUCAUACGUAAGUUUUGGUGGGGGAGUAAAUGGGGUGAAAGGAAGGCAAAUUGGGUCUCCUGGGAGAAGAUGACAAGGCCGAAAUAUGAAGGUGGUCUGGGUUUUAGGGACAUUGAGUUGUUUAACCUUGCGUUGCUGGCAAGACAGGCAUGGAGAAUCCUACAAACACCUGAAUCACUAAGUGCAAAAAUUCUGAAAGUGUGCUACUUCCCAACUACAGACUUUCUUGAUGCUUCACUAGGUAGCCAACCAUCUCAAAUAUGGCGAGCAAUCGUCGAGGGAAAGGAGAUCCUCUCGCAGGGCCUUAUCAAACGUAUAGGUGAUGGUAAAGAUACUUUGAUAUGGCAGCAUAACUAGGUACAAAAAGAUGCGUCACUCAGACCAAUAGUUUGCUUGAGCCAACAUCGGCCACAGUUGCUGUUCGAACUUAUUGACAGCGCCAAUGCCAGGUGGAAGCAGGACGUAGUUCGUGCAACUUUCCUCCCAAUAGAUGCGGAAGUGAUCCUCAAUAUUCCGCUAGCCACAAGACAAUGCAGAGAUUCUUGGGCUUGGGCUCAUGAACACAAGGGCUCCUUCUUUGUUCGCUUGGCAUAUCGGAUGCUCAUCAAUACGAAGCUAAGGCGGGAGGCUUGGCUCGAAGGACGAUCAGGCCUGGCUGACAGGUCGAGAGAGGAAGCUAGCUGGACCAAUAUCUGGAAGGUUGCGGUGCCAUCAAAACUAAAGGUUUUCUUGUGGAGACUUGCACAAUGUUCUAUACCCACGGCGGAUGUCCUUUGUCAUCGUAAUAUGUCCACAUUGUCGCGUUGUGCCAUCUGUGGAGAGGAGGAUUCAUGGAAGCAUUCACUAAUUACGUGUACAAUGGCGCGUUGAGUAUGGGUGCUAGGUGACCCGGAGCUGGUUGAGCAUGUUAUAGCAACAGCAGAACCGAAUGCAAAGGCUUGGCUCUUCCGUAUGCAAGAAUCGAUGCCUCAUGCCGAGUUCACGAAGCUAACCGUGACACUAUGGGCUAUAUGGGGGGCGCGGUGAAAGCUACCACGAAGGGGAGCACCAGAGCCCGAUGGGGACUCAUUCAUUUAUCACACGGUUUCUGGCAGAUUUGAGUAUUGCUUCCAUGUCACAUGAAAUAACGAAGCCCAGAGCAGCCCCAGAGCGGGCGCCAGUUUGGAUACCACCACCGGCGGGUCAUCACAAGGUAAAUGUCGAUGCUGCUAUUUGUAAACACCCUCUUGUGUGGGCUGUUAGUGCGGUUUGUCGGGAUCAAUCAGGAGCAUAUGCUGGUUUAGCAGCGAUGGUAUUACUGGAAGCUCUGGCAUGCCGCGAGGCUAUUGCAUUAGCCAGGGAUCUUGCACUUACUCAUUUGAGGGUGGCUUCUGAUUGCCUUUCGCUGGUCAAGGACAUACAUACUGGUACUAUGGGUGUUGGUGUCAAAACCGGCGGAUCUCGGGUAGGGGGUCCCGAACUGUCCGUCUAGGCGGAUGGUAACAGGAGACAAGGGACACGAUGUUUUUACCCAGGUUCAGGCCCUCUCGAUGGAGGUAAAACUCUACUCCUGCUUGAUUAAUAUUGAUGAUAUGGGUAGUACAAGAGUAGAUCUACCACGAGAUCAGAGAGGCUAAACCCUAGAAGCUAGCCUAUGGUAUGAUUGUUGUUCGUCCUACGGACUAAAACCCUCCGGUUUAUAUAGGCACCGAAGAGGGUUAGGGUUACACAGAGUCAGUUACAAUGGUAGGAGAUCUACAUAUCCGUAUUGCCAAGCUUGCCUUCCACGCCAAGGAAAGUCCCAUCCGGACACGGGACGAAGUCUUCAAUCUUGUAUCUUCAUAGUCCAGGAGUCCGACCAAAGGUGAUAGUUCGGCUAUCCGGACACCCCCCUAAUCCAGGACUCCCUCAGUAGCCCCUGAACCAGGCUUCAAUGACGACGAGUCCGGCACGCAUAUUGUCUUCGGCAUUGCAAGGCGGGUUCCUCCUCUGAAUACUUCAUAGAAGAUUUUGAACACAAGGAUAGUGUCCGACUCUGCAAAAUAAGUUCCACAUACCACUGUAGAGAGAAUAAUAUUUACACAAAUCCAAUCUGCUGAUGUAUUCUGUGGCAUGACAUCACACCACGGCCAAGCCUUUAUUCGAAUCAUUUUUACUAUCCCACCUCAGCGCGUUUAGCGAGGCGGUUUCCUUGGCACGUCUUGUCAAAGCAGAGAUCGUGUCCCCAUAUUCCGGGAUUCUCAUCAAUACGGGCAUGGGUAACCCAACCGCGCCAUUGAUUACGGCGCUUGGGAGAUAAGCGAGUUUUACCAGGCUGGUGGGGACGCAUAGCUUCGUCCGCCCAUAUAAGGGGAUAAUGAUCCACCUUUUUACCUACGCCUUCUUCCUCCUUUGCUCAUCCAUUUCCGCGCACUCGAGCUCCAGCGCCCAAGUCCGCACAUCCCACCUCAACCUUCUCCAGCCAUGUCCGGAGCGGGAGGCAAGUGGAUGGCCUCCUCCGUCACGGAGGGGCACAUCAAAAAGCUGCGGAAGGUCGGAUACUUGUCCAACGACAUCGCGCAUUGGCUCCCUGACAAGGGGCAGCUCAUCCCCACCCCUAGGCCCCAUGAGAGGGUGGUGUUCCUCACCCACUUCCUCCACGGACUAGGUUUUCCACUUCACCCAUUUGUCCGGGGGCUCAUGUUCUACUACUGCCUGGAUUUCCACGAUCUGGCCCCGAAUUUCAUCCUCAACAUCUCGGUGUUCAUCGUUGUGUGCGAGGCCUUCCUUUGCAUCUAGCCCCACUUCGGCUUAUGGCUGAAGACCUUCAAUGUCAAGCCAAAGGUAGUGGGCGGCCGCCAAGCGGAGUGCGGAGGUGCCAUGGUCGGCAAGAUGGCCAACAUCCUAUGGCUCGAGGGCUCCUUCGUGGAUACCAUAAAGGGGUGGCAAUCGGGGUGGUUCUACAUCACCGAGCCGCGCGACCCUAAAUGGGCAGCGGCCCCCGAAUUCCGAUCUGGCUUCCCUACACGGCUCACCUCCUGGAAAGAGACGGGCUUGACAUGGGGUAAUUCGGAAGAGCUGACCAAACUUCAAACCUGCGUCCAAAACCUGGUGAACAAGAAGCUCAAGCUUGUCAACGUAGUCCAGGUCAUGCUCAUCCGCUGGAUCCUCCCGUGCCAACAACGGGCCUUCAGCUUGUGGGAGUUUGAUCUGGCACAGCACCAAACCUUGAGCAGGCUCUUCGACACUACGUACAAAGAUGCCUGGAAGGUGCUGUUCAAGGGCGCCGAGCCUCCCGCAUCCGCUACUGAAGAUCGCGGAUUUAGCUCGCAGCGCCAAGCCAGCGAGGUAAGCUACUUUACCCUUUACGGGACUCUUGUUUUCCAUAGUUUGACUCUAUGCGGGAUCUAAACUCCAUUGCCUUUUACAGGACUGGCAGAAGACGUCCGGGCAGAUUGACUGCCUGGCUCCCUUCCCAAAAGAUCUAGCGGACGCCCGAUUGACGGGGUUGCUGGUUCCGGCACCUCACGUGGUGCCGGAGAAGAAGGCCAAGAAGAAGGCCACGGCAACUCGAAGGAGUUCCCGGCGCCAGGUGUUGUCGGACUCAUCGUCCGAUGACUCCAAGGCAGACUCCUCCCGCGAAGACAAGGAGGAGGAAAAAGAGGCCUCUCCCCCAGCGGGGGGAGAGAAGAAAAGGAAGGCUGCCCCAACUGGGGAGGCCGAAGGGUCCAAGAAGGGAAGGACCCUUCCUCCGGACUACUCCACCAACACCGACGACGGCGAGGAGGAGUGGCCACCAAGGGCUAAGCCCCUGGCAAAAUCGUAAGUGUCCGGAUACCAGAAUAACUCAUGGCGUUUCAUUUGUCGCACAGAAUCUCCUAACGCCGAAUAUAACCCUGCAGCCCGCCCAAGGACGGGCUCGACGCUUCGACGAGCGGCUCCCUGGAUUCGUCGGACGUGAAUAGCACUUCGCUUCCAGCUGCCUCCUCUCCUCGCGCUGCGGAUGAUGCCGAGGUGGGGCCCAGCCAAGAGGAGGUGGUCUAGGAGGCGCCGCAAGGCAACCUCCCGGACUCCAGGCGCAAGGGGGUAAAACCCCAAAGGGCUCUAAGUCCGGCCCUGGGCCGGACUCCGCACCGGAACCUUCAGUGGUUCCGGAGUCCGACAGGCGGCCCCUUCGUAAGAAGGGCAAGACUGCGACACCGGUGACCUCCGUCCAACCGGAGGCACCGAAUAAUUUGCUGGAGGCGCUUAACGGCGCCUCCAUCGACGAGGAUCGCCGCAUUGUUAUAAGUGUGGUGAUCUAGAAAGUUCAGUCCGCCAAAAGUGGGCUGACUGAAGCCUGUGCCAGCCUUCUAACAGGCUUUGAGGUAAGUAUUGAAGAUAUGUAAAAAUGUUACCACAUAGACAGUAGCCCCUGAUGCUCAGUUUGGUGUUCGGAAAGAAAAGCCGAACUGAGGAUCUAAAAGAUGUAUGCAGGAGUCUAACAUAGGUAUGUCAAUAUGGGAAUGCAGGCUGCGCCGCUGACCUGUGCCGCACUGACUGUGGAGGUCAAUGCAUUAAAGAAAAGCCUCGAGCGGUCCGAGAACAAGCUCGGCCUUGCCAAAAAGCAGCUCGAGGACAGGGAAGGUAAGUAAUACCUUAUGGAAGUAUAUAAAAGACGUGGUUGCCAAAAAUGAUAGGAAUAACGUGAGUAUUGCCGGGCCACGAACGAGGUGGCGACCCUAAAGGAAGCGGUGUCCAAGGCCGAAAGCAAUGCGGCCGCGGAGCGCACCGAGCGAGAGAAGCAGGAGGCGCGGGUGGCGGAGGUGCGGCAAGUGCUCCAGGCUCUCGUGGAAAAACACGAGAGUUUGGAGCGUGACUCAAAGACUCGAGAGUCUGAGCUCGCCUCGGCCCUUGAGAGCGCCAAGGCCGCUAAGGCCGAAGCCCAAAAAGCCCUCCAGGAAAUUGAGGCAUUGAAGAAGAUAGCGGCGGGUAAGGCAUUCUUUAUGCAAAGCAAGCACAUGAAAGUGAAUUAUCUGUUACUUACCCGAAUCCGGAGCUCUCCAGGAGCAUUCGCAGAUCUGCCCCGCAGUGUGUCCGAUGCUGCCACAUUCUACCGAGCCGAGGAGGGGAGUUCGACGGAGAAGGUGUUCUGGUCUCAGUAUGCUGAGGCCGGUCACCCGGUGCCCUUGAGCGACCAGCUGAAGCAGCUGGUCGAGCUCCAUAAGGUGGCCGAACAGGCCAUGAAGGGCCUCAUAGUUUGGCUGUGGCCUAAGGAAGCCAUGCUUGGGAGCUACUUCGGGCUGGUGAGGCGGCUGGUGGACGCCUGUCCAUGGAUUGAAGUCAUCAAGCGCUCCGUCUGCAUCAAAGGUGCCCGUAGGGCCCUUGCCCGUGCUCAAGUGCACUGGGGCAAGAUGGACACUGAGAAGCUUGUGACGGACAGACCACCGCCGGGCAAGGAGUAUCGCAAGCCCAAGAUGUAUUAUGAGGGCGUCCUGAAGGGUGCCCGCCUUAUAGCGGGUGAAUGCUCCAAAGAUGUAAUUUUUGAAUAAACUCGCAUUUGUUAUCCUGUACGCUGAAAACUUGUUCAUAUGCGCUAAGCAACGCUUGUGAAUUUAAAAUAGUAUCUUCUCUGCGGCCGUUUAUUAAAUUUGAGAGAUGGCGAGUCGUCGGCUUCUGCCCCCAUGCCACGAGUGUUGGGGUGUUCGGGAUAAACUUGAGCGCUCUUUUUCCCAUUCUUGCUUGGGACCUUCAAGGGAGGCGCUCAACGCAACGAACGAGGCAACCGGACUAUAAUGCUUGAACACUCUCACUUAGCCAUAGAAUUCUAUAAUUUUAAAUUUCGGCGAAGCCCCUGGUAUUUGGAAGACCGAGUUCGGGGCGCUAUCCACGCCUGGGCCGGACAAAGCCGACUCUUCGCUCUAAGCGGCAUAAGUCUUUAGGGAGUCGAAAACCUCUCGAACAGCGACCGGCUCUCGCCCUAUCAUGACGGUCAGUUUUAGCUUUCUCCACUGAGGUGCUUAACCCAGCUCAACCGGGGCACAAUCGCAGUGGUUCUCCCAGCGCUACCUUAGCCGAUAUAACGGAACAUAAGGUAUCAAAACAUGGGAGCCGGGCAAACCCAACUAUUGACCCAAGACAUGAUUCGGAGCCGAUGCAUAUAAUGCUAUAAGUUCGGCAUGCCGAACUUGUGAAAGUGUUCGGACUUAUGACACCAUAUUUUGGGGUACUUAAGCCCCUUGUGCAUUUGGCCGUACCAAAGUGUACAGGUGCAGCAUGUCAUAAGUGAACAUAUAUAGAUAAAAAAAGGAAUGCAAUAAUAGGCAGAAGCUAUGUAUUGUUUAUUUAAAAAGGCUGUAGUAAAAGCAGAACGAUACAAAUAGUGCGAUAAGCGGGACUAUUUGACAUGUCCCCCUCCAGGGGCGAGCUGCGGGAUGAUAUGUGAAACAAGUAUACUGCUCGUUAUAGAGACCACCUGGACACUCGGCGUAGCUUUCUGCUUCCCUGGCUGUUGCAUCGUGUGUUCGGCGAUUCUACUGCCGGACAGGGCUUCUUAAGAAAGGAGUCCUGUAAGUAAGAGAAAAAAGAAUGACACAAUCUGCAGCCCCUGGUGCAGUUGAGCCGCAUUCUGGGCCUGCCAUGGUCGUGCCCCUCCCCCUAUGCCCAUGGUAUUUCCAGAGCGUAAUUAUGUACGCGUAGUACUGGUUUCGCAAUUUCGGGAGGGCUGGGGUUGGGGCCGCAUUGCUACGCGUGCUCGGGACGUGCCAGGCGGUCUUGUUGUAGGUUACUCCGGGCACGCUUGACGGUGUCCGGACAUUUAAUAGCCGGACUCGAGGAUUGCCUUGAGAGGCUGCUUUGUACUUCCUCCGCGAGGGCCGCCGUAUGCUCCUCCGUUCGGAGAGAGCGUUCGGUGUUUCCGUUGACCGUAAUGACUCCUCAAGGGCCUGGCAUCUUGAGCUUGAGGUAUGCAUAGUGCGGCACCGCAUUGAACUUUGCAAAUACGGUUCGUCCGAGUAGUGCGUGAUAGCCGCUGCGGAACGGGACUAUGUCGAAGAUUAACUCCUCGCUUCGGAAGUUAUCCGGGGAUCCGAAGACCACUUCAAGUGUAACUGAGCCUGUACAGUUGGCCUCUACACCUGGUAUGACGCCUUUAAAGGUCGUCUUUGUGGGUUUAAUCCUUGAGGGGUCUAUGCCCAUUUUGCGUACUGUAUCCUGAUAAAGCAGGUUCAGGCUGCUGCCGCCGUCCAUCAGGACUCUAGUGAGGUGAAAUCCGUCAACGAUUGGGUCUAGAACCAAUGCGGCGAAUCCGCCAUGGCGGAUGCUAGUGGGGUGGUCCCUUCGAUCAAAAGUGAUCGGGCAGGAGUACCAUGGAUUGAACUUUGGGGCGACUGGCUCCAUCGCAUAUACGUCCCUUAGUGCAUGCUUCCGCUCCCUUUUGGGUAUGUGGGUUGCGUAUAUCAUGUUCACCGUCCGCACUUGUAGGGGGGAGCCCUUUUGUCCUCUAUUGUUCGGUGGCCGGGGCUCCUCCUCAUUGUCGCUAUGCAGCCCCUUGUCAUUGUUUUCGGCAUUUAACUCGCCUGCCUGCUUGAACACCCAACAAUCCCUGUUGGUGUGGUUGGCUAGUUUUUCGGGGGUGCCGUGUAUCUGGCACGAGCGGUCGAGUAUUCGGUCCAAGUUGGAUAGGCCCGGAGUAUUUCUUUUGAAUGGCUUUUUCCGCUGACCGAGUUUAGAGCCUCUGAAUCCGGCAUUGACUAUCGUAUCUUCAGCAUUAUCGUUGUUAAUGCGGCGCUUGUGCUUGUUGCGACGCGACCUGCCGUUGCUGUCCUUGGUAUCCGAAUUACCAGGGCUCUUGGUCAUGUUGUUACUAAGAGCUAGCCAGUUGUCCUCUCCCGCACAAAAGCGGAUCAUGAGUGUUGUGAGGGCUGCCAUGGAUUUCGGCUUUUCCUGUCCUAGGUGCCGGGCAAGCCACUCGUCGCGGAUGUUAUGUUUGAAGGCUGCAAGGGCCUCUGCAUCCGGACAGUCGACGAUUUGAUUUUUCUUGGUUAGGAACCGUGUCCAGAAUUGUCUGGCCGAUUCCUCUGGCUGCUGAAUUUUGUGGCUUAGGUUAUCGGCUUCUGGUGGUCGCACAUAGGUGCCCUGGAAGUUGUUGAGGAAUGCGGCUUCCAGGUCUUCCCAACAACCAAUUGACUCCGCUGGCAAGCUGUUAAGCCAAUGUCGAGCUGGUCCUUUAAGCUUGAGUGGGAGGUCUUUGAUGGCGUUUAGAUCAUCAUCGCAUGCCAUGUGGAUAUGAAGGAGGUAGUCCUCGAUCCAUACCGUAGGAUCUAUUGCGCCAUCGUAUGAUUUGAUGUUUACGGGUUUGAAACCCUCGGGGAUUUGAUGAUCCAUUACUUCAUCUGUGAAGCAUAGUGGGUGUGCGAUGCCCCUGUACUGGGCGAUAUCACGACGUAGCUCAAAUGAGCUUUGUCUGCUGUGUUCGGCUCGGCCGGAUUUGCUGUAUCCGGCAUGACGAUUAUUGUCACGUGUAGUGAGGCGCCCACGUGAUCCGUAGAUCGAUCUUGUUUGCCUUGCCUUGUCCUCCAAUAUAUCUCGCAGAUCUGGCGCAUUUCCCCGUGCCUUGGUACUUUUUGAGCGACACCGGGGUGCAGCUUGAGUGGAGGGCCGAGAGGCCUCUCUGUCGCGGCCACAUCAUGCGCUGGUGAUGUAGGUUUGGGUGCUUCCUCCUCUAAUCGGGGUAGUAGCCUACGUUUUGGGUAGCUCUUGGAGGGGCGUUCGAGUUCAUACUCUUCGACCGCAAGGACUUCAGUCCAUCUGUCAGCUAGUAAGUCUUGGUCAGCUCUAAGCUGUUGCUGCUUUUUCUUGAGGCUGCUUGCCAUGGCCAUAAGCCUGCGUUUGAAACGCUCCUGUUCGACGGGAUCCUCAGGCACGACAAAUUCGUCGUCGUCAAGGCUUGCCUCGUCUUCGGAAGGAGGCAUGUAAUUAUCGUCCUCUACCUCUCUAUCUGCCGCUCUCUCAUGAGGGCUGGCUUCUCCAUCCUCCUGCGCUGAAUCCUGCUGGAGAGGGUUGUCUUCGGCACUUUCUGGGGUGUUAUUGUCUCCCAUGCCGGAAUCACCGUUUUUUCUGUGGCGAGAUUUAGAGCGGCGCCGCUGACGCCGGCGCUUAGGCUGUUUCUUGGAGGGGUCAUCCUCCGUUGUUCCAUCGCCAUUCCCAUCUUUUGAGAUGUCCACCAUGUAUAUGUCGUAUGAUGAGGUGGCCUUCCAGUGCCCUGUAGGCGCUGGUUCUUGGUAGUCUCCUGCAUCAUCGUCCAUACCGUCGAUGUCUUUGGAGUCAAAGUUGAGCAUGUUGGUUAAAUCAUCGACAGUGGCUAUGAAGUGGGUGGUGGGUGGGCUUUGAAUUUCUUUGUCGUCCUCAUCCCAACCUUCCUGACCAUAAUCCGGCCAGGGCUCUCCUGAUAAAAAGAGAGACUUUAGCGAAUUCAGGAUGUCGCCAAAGGGCGAGUGCUGAAAGAUGACCGCGGCAGCGAACUCCAUGAUUGGCGCCCAAUCGGAUUCGAUAGGCAGGGGCGCGGAACGUUCGGAGUCCGGAGAGGAGUCCGGCACCUUGGAGUCACGAGCUUCGCAAAGGACAGGGUUGGUGUUCGGCACAAUCAUCGUAGAGAUAGCAGCCCCCGAGGCGGUGUCCAGCCACCCGUCCUCGAUCGGCGCAGUCGCCUCCGAGCUAAGGGUCAGAGUGGACACUUGUGCGGCCUCCAGGGCACUGUCCGGCAGCAGAGCUAGAUCAUGUCCAUCGUCACAGUGCGGCGCGCUUGGCUGUGGCUCGAACCCGUCGAAGAUCAAGUCUCCGCGGACGUCAGCCGUAUAGUUCAAACUUCCAAAUCUGACCUGAUGGCCAGAGGCGUAGCUUUCAAUCUGCUCCAGAUGGCCAAGCGAAUUGGCCCACAGUGCAAAGCCGCCGAAUACGAAGAUCUGUCCGGGGAGAAAAGUCUCACUCUGAACCGCAUCGUUGUUAAUGAUCGGAGGAGCCAUCGGGCCUAAAGAUGACGACGCAGAGGAACUCUCAAUGAAAGCACCAAUGUCGGUGUCAAAACCGGCGGAUCUCGGAUAGGGGGUCCCGAACUGUGCGUCUAGGCGGAUGGUAACAGGAGACAAGGGACACGAUGUUUUUACCCAGGUUCGGGCCCUCUCGAUGGAGGUAAAAAUCUACUCCUGCUUGAUUAAUAUUGAUGAUAUGGGUAGUACAAGAGUAGAUCUACCACGAGAUCAGAGAGGCUAAACCCUAAAAGCUAGCCUAUGGUAUGAUUGUUGUUCGUCCUACGGACUAAAACCCUCCGGUUUAUAUAGGCACCGAAGAGGGUUAGGGUUACACAGAGUCGGUUACAAUGGUAGGAGAUCUACAUAUCCGUAUCGCCAAGCUUGCCUUCCACGCCAAGGAAAGUCUCAUCCGGACACGGGACGAAGUCUUCAAUCUUGUAUCUUCAUAGUCCAAGAGUCCGGCUAUCCGGACACCCCCUAAUCCAGGACUCCCUCAAUGGGUACAAUUGCUCCAAUCGUGCAGGAGAUCAUCGACUCGAGCAGGGAGUUUCAGUCUUGUUCUUUCACCCAUGAGAGACGUCUUCCUAACAAGGAGGCUCAUGGCUUAGCUCGACAUGCUUUACAUUUAGGGGAGGGUCGCCAUGUAUGGCUGUUACACCCUCAUGAUACUUCUAUUAUUCCUAUAAUUCGCUCUAUUGAUCAAUAAAGUAAAGCAUGUUUCUCAAAAAAAAUGACAUAAGCCUGGGACGGCUGGGAGAGCAAAAAUGCUACGACGAUGAACUAACUACAUAAAUUACUUACGAAAUGAAGUCUCCUUAAUCUCACUAAUCUCUCCCCUGAAUUUCAGGUGCGCCUUGUGCAGUCCAAUCAAACAAGCCCACAUCACCUCCUACGUAAAUUUCCUAGUAGCAAAUUUUAGGUAGGUCUAGCAAAGCUCCGGAGAGAGAGCCACGGGUGGCUUAGUACCGAGUUAUGAUUAUGGGGCUAACGUGUCAAGUUCUUGUUGGAUAUUAGGGGAAGUGUGGUUCACUCCUGAAAAUCAGUGGGAGAAGAGAUUAACGAGAGAUGGAUCCAGCCUGUAAUUUUCCGUAAGGCUGGUUACAAUGGGCAAGAACAUAAGCUAGUAACUUAUAUACUUCCCUAGACUAUGUUAAUACCUCUAUAGUGGGUAGAAACAUUUAUGUAGUGUCAUGCAAUGAUGUAUUUAUUAGGUUAUAGAUUCAUUGUUUCUUAGCUAAUUACCACAAGCACCUCUCUCUUCAUUAAAUAUGUGUCACAUAAGCAAAGUUGUAUUGGAGUGUGUGUGAUGUUAUUCCUAAGUUUCUCCCCAUUGUUACCCGCCUAAGUGUAGAAUUAUUGGACAAUUGGCAAUUUGGCAUAUAGUGCCAGGUGGUGAAUGAGACACUCGAUUACUUUAUUUUUGGGUAGGCAUCAACUUGACACUAAAUAAAUACACAACUGAGCCCCUGCUCAGCUCCGACCAGUAUGUUAUAAAAAUCAUAGCUGCAGCCAAAAAAUAUGAACCGAACUCAUACAAGUAAACCAAGUUCCUCCUUGUAGCAGCGCUGGGCAGAUCGAUAGCAAUGAGCGUUGUGGUGAGCAAGUCCUCGCCGGUGGUCUUGUACCCCGCCGAACCUCAGGCGCCGGCCGGCGACGUCCAACUCUCCUCUUUCGACCAACGCAUCCCGCCUUUCGCGUGCACAUUGCUCCUCAUGUUCGACCAUCCGAUCGACAAUCCCAUCGAGACCAUCAAGCGGGCGCUGUCGCGAGCGCUCGUCCCCUACCGCCCUGUGUGCGGCCGCCUCGCCGGAGCCGAUCACAGCAUCGUGUGCACCGACGAGGGCGUGCCGUUCGUGGGGGCGUCCGCCAGCUGCGCCCUGGAUCUGGAAAAGGUCACUCCUGCGCUGCUCGCGGAUCUCGCCGUCGCCUACGCUGGUCCUUUUUGCCGGCGCGCCGACCCGCUGCUGCAGAUGCAGGCCACGGAGUUCUCCUGCGGCGGCUUCGUCGUCGGGGUCACGUCGAACCAUGUCCUGGCCGACGGCAUCGGGAUUGGGCAGUUCCUGCAGGCCGUCGGCGAGCUCGCCCGCGGGAUGCCGCAGCCGUCCGUCAUCCCGGUCAGGUCGGCCGCCGCGAUCCGGGAUCUCCCUCCGCCCACGGCCACGGCGGAGGAGAGGCGCUCCUUGAUGAAGCCCAAGGAGAAGGAGGGCCAGGGCGCCUUUCUCGACAUUAUCGUCCCGUCGAGCCUCAUCGGCCGCGUCAAGGCCAAGUGCGCCUGCACGCUGUUCGAAGCCGUCACGGCGGUGCUGUGGCGGUGCCGGACACGCGCGGCCAUCCAAGACCCGGAGGCCCCCGCGCCGCUCGUCUUCCCAAACAACGCGCGCGAGCUCUUCGGAGCGCACGACGGCUACUACGGCAACUGCACCAUCAUGAAGUCGGUGCGAGCGACGCGCGCCCAGGUGGCCGACGGCGACAUCAGGGACGUGGUGCGGCACAUCAGGCGCGGCAAGGAGACUCUGCUCCAGGCCGAGGCCGAGGGCGGCGGCGCGGAGACCGGGGGAGACUUGUACAACAGGCUGGCCGUGUCGAGCUGGCGGCGCAUCGGGUUCGACGCGGCCGACUUCGGCGGCGGGACGCCGGCGCGGGUGAUGUGGCACGAGGAUCGGAUGGUGGUGCCGGAGUGCAUCGUGUGCCCGCCGUGGAAGGGCAAGGACGGGGUCAACGUGCAGUCGCUCUGCGUCAGGCCGGAGCACGCCGCCGCCUUCCUGGCCGAGCUCGCCGCAAUGUGAUGUGAUCCCCUGCUCGUUCUUCACCCCGCCCCGCUCCCGACCACAGCUGCCCAAACGUAGAAUCCAGCCAAAGUAUGUGAAGGUCUCUUUGAGAUGGAAACAAGUACUAGUAGUAGUAUGAAUUUCAGAUGAAAACAGACCUCUCUUUGCAAUGUAUCCGAAUAAAAUAGCAAAUUCGUUUAGUUCCUGUACAUUAUGGAAGAAGCAUCACUUUUUUAUCAACAAAAAGUGAGUACUAUGCCAAAAAAAGUACUAUGUCAUUGGAUGCACAUUUCAAUGAACUUUCUGAUGUUGUACUUUUUACCACAUAUAAACCAUGUUUUGUAGAUCAAAAUUAUAUAAGUUAAAUAUUAACAUGAAAAAUAAAAUGGCUUUGUAUAUAAAAAUAGAGGGAGUAGAACAAACGAUGAUUAGUUUGAUAGAUACGGAAAGCAACACUACACUCAUGGAGAUUCUUGAAGAGGAGUGGUUGCCCCUCUGUCCUAUGGGUGUGCGGUUUCGCAAAUAAAUUAACUGUUACUCUCUUCAUUUCAUAAUGUAGUUUGUUUUUACUUUUUGAGAUUUAAGUUUAUCAUCAAAAAUUAUAUCAUUAAAAAUUUGAGUUUGACCAUAAAUUUAACCAACGUGGGACACUGCUGGUAUAAUUUUUGCUCCCGCUGUGGUCGCCCACGUUGGUUAAAUUUAUGAUCAAACUUAAAUCUCAAAAAGCGCGGGCGCACUACAUUAUGGAGUGGAGGGAGUACAUGUUUUAAGGGUACAGAAGCCUAUGCAUGGAUGGAUGCACCGAGUCAACUCGAUAUUACCCCCUUCAUUUCAACGGGCCGACCCAAACGGACGGCGCUUUUGUCCGCUUUUUGUCCAUUUGGGUCGGCCGCCCGCCCGUCGUCCGUCCUUUUUUAGAUUUGGGUCGGCAGCGCGCCCAACGCGUCGACCCAUUUCAUAACCGCGCGCGCUUUAGAUCAUGCCAGCGGGGAGGGGGGCAUUCGGCCUAGCGCGCGUUGGCUUUGGCGCUCCAGAGCGCGGGAAAUGUUCGCGCACGCAUUUCGGCACGCCCCGGCCGGCGCCUCGUUAUAAAGAUGGCGCUCCCUCCACACUCAGUCCGCCACCGCCGCCCACUCGUCUCGCCCCCUCUCACUAGCCUUGCCGCCUGUGCGCCACCAUGUCGAUGCGCAUCCUCGACGCUUCGGAUUUUCACGGAGUCCGCGAGCGCCCCUCCGUCGCCUUCUCCGCCGAGAUCUUGUUUGGCGAGAAACGGCUUGUCCUCGGCACCUUCGACACCGCUGAGCAGGCGGCCAGCGCGUACAACGCGGCGGCGUGGCGCCUCCGGCGGCCGAGACGGGAAAUGAAUUUUCCCGACGUGUCGAGCCAGCGGGCGCAGGAUCCGGCGCCUCUCCCGCGGCUUUUCACCGACGAGGAUCGUUGCGUCCACCGUAGGCGGAUGCGUCGCCUCGCCCUCGCCGAGAUGGACUUGCAAGCCUUCGUGCUGUGGCGCGAACGCUUCCCGCAGGACAUCGUCGACGAACGUCAGUUCUAUGAGCAGAGGAGGACGGGGAGGAAGGCCAGGAGGAUGGGGCGAGCCGGCUAUCGGGAGGGCAAGCAUACGCGAAAGCUGACCGCUCAAAUGAGAUUGAGGCUACGAGAAACAUCGGGGUGAGACUUCGCGGACGAGCAUGCUGCUGACGCCUAUAUUCAGACGUCGGAGGAGGACAUUACCGAGUCAGAGUCGGAUAGCGAUGAGUAAUUGAUCUUUUCUUUUAUCUAUGUACGCAAGAACAAUCUAUGUAUCCUUUUUCAUCGGAAAAAAUGGCCGGCGGCGUCGGCCACGAAGCCGGCGGUGGAGGUUGUGCACGCGCGGGGAGGAGAGAGGGCGCGCGCGCGCGUUCAUCUUGUGUCCGCGUCGACGUAAAUACGGCUCAAAAAUGGGUCGGGAAUGGGUCGGCAGACGGACGAAAGCGGACGCGCGUGCGUUUGAGUCGAUGCGUUGGGCCGUCUUUUCUCCGCGCCGACCCAAACGGACGCGGGCGAACGAAAUGGGUCGCCCCAUUGGAGUUGGUCUAAGUGUUUGGGGUUAGAAACAUUUUCAUGAAAAAAAGAUGGUGGCAUAAUUUUCAGAGCCCCCCCCCCCACCCCCCACCCCGACAAUUAGAAGGGCAUCUCCAACGCCGUGCAUCUUAUCGGACACAGCAAUGCGGGCGUGUUUGCAGAUAGCAGAUAGGGUGGUGGCCAUCCAACCCCAUGCACCAAAUGUCCAUCCCUGCUUUUUUCCUCUAUAUAUAGAGCACACACAAUAAUUAAUGAUAAAUGUCACCCCUUGUCCAAAAUUUAAAUAUAAAUAUUACAAUUCGAACAUGAAGUUUCCAAUAAAAUAGUUUAAUUUGAAUUCAACUUAUUCACACACAUUUUGUACUUCGACCCUUGAAGCACCCACAAAUGCUUAGCUAGAUCAUGAAGCUGAUCAUUAAUUGCCCGAUGAGUAAUAAAUAGAUGUAUUUGAAUAAAAUCCUCAAAUGUCACUGGAUACUGCUCUGGAAAUUGAAUACGAUCAAGCAUGCGCUCAAAGUCCAGUUUGUGGCUUGGGGGUCCAACACUUGGGCAUAUCUAGCCACCCUCUUGCUUUUGACAGUGUAAUGAGCCAUGCUAUGUCUUCGACUGUUGGUUAUCUCCGAUGCUCCGGUCCAAACACCUUGACCACCGCUGUAGCAAAUUUCACCGUGGCUUUGAGACAUGUGCUUUAUGGCAUCCGGAGGUACUCGUCCCAUGAAUCUGCAGUUGUGCCAUAGGAAAGUAUUCUCAAUGUAGCCAUGCACUUCUGGUAACCAGAGAAUCCAAUGUUUCCAGUGACAUCCUAUUUCAAAAUAAACUAGUCAUCAUAGGCCCUGACACCAUUGUAGAGGCAACCGAAUACAUUCUGUCUCAUUUGGAAUCGAUCAUGAAAAGAGGCCUCAAAUAGCGCAUCAAGGAAAAAUUAGUCGUCCAUCAGCAUCAUGUGCCUUGUGCCCUAUUCCGAUUCAUCACCCGAUGUCCCUGAUUGAUCCCUUGAAAUUGAGAACAUGCUCCUUCGCAGGUUAGGCAUCUGCAAUAACCGCAUGCAUCAUCGCCGUUUCAUUCUCAUAUUCGUCCUCAUCUGAUGUUACAAAUGAACUCGACAUAGAAGUGUUCCUCGUCUUAACCCAUCGUGUUUACUUCAAAGUAAAUAGCAAUACCGACAAAAUUGGCUAAGGCAUUUUGGCAAAAACUUGUCAGGUGUGGCGUCCACCAUGGACACAAAUGUGCAGGGGUAGAGGGUAUCAGUGCGACGCUCAGACCAUGGAUGGAAGGGGGGCAUAGGCGCCCGGGUAUAGUGGCCCGCAAGCCCCUGGGCGGCAGAGUGGGAGGUACAACGGUGACUUCGGUCUCGGAUUACACGAAUACAAAAGCAAGGGGGGGGGGGGGACGUAGUCAGAAAAUCUUGGCUCCUGGCAAGGUUUUUGCGUUGGCCGGGGUGUCGAACGCCUACUGGGCGGCUGUUCGGACGCCCACAAACCCCCUAGAUCUGCUUCCGUUUUGUAAGAAUUCGAACGUGCAGACCGGUCCACUGACGUUUGAUACACGUGUUGGAUGACAAAAAGUGUCCGGACUGAGCUGUCCGGACGUUUUGAUGGACAGUUGAGCUUUAUAAUUUGCGGGCAUAGACUCUACAAAUGUCAAACCAUAUGAAAAUAUUUUAGCAUAGGCAUAACAUACAUUCACCAUGUCUCAAAAAUUCGGAUUUAAGUUAGACCUGCAACUCUAGGAAUAAAAAAAUUUCUCAUUUCAUGCUAUGAAUGGUGCUGGUUAUAAUUUGGGCCACUAACACGAUUUAUGGUUAUUGUUUCUGUUUCUCAAAUUACAGUUUGAAUUAACUUCUGAAUCUUGGUGACAUGGUAGAUAUUUUAUAUUAUGUCCGGGUGCUAAAGUAAAUUUUGUUUCGUUGGAAACUUGUAGAGUGAUUUUCGGAGAGCCGGGGCGUGGCACAAGUGGCUUCACCUCCUAUCAGCUCCGAGUUAAAUAUAGCACCCUCGUCUCACGGGAGAAAGCAAAUUUUGUACCGUGCACGAGUGCAAAGGUAGCGCUGCGCAUGGCAUCACCGACCACGGUUGCCUCCGAGGAAUGAACUUCGUACACAGCAGUAUUUGACCAUUGAGACUUGACUAGAUUAAGAAACUUGAGGUCGCGAUUUUGACAGGACUACGCUGAGGAAUUACAUGUUAUUUUCUUUUUCAGAGGCCGCGAACCAAUCUUUUGAUGCCAGUUCAAUGAAGGCAUACGUUGAGAAAUUGGCAAUGACAUACUCCAUUUUCUCUGUGCACGGGACAACGAGUCUCCUAACGACGCGGCCUCAUGUCCUCCGUGCCGCUCCCCUACCACUCCUCCAGCGCUCCAGCGCGUGCUCUGCGAGCCGCCGCGCGCGCCCCUCACGCACUGUCCCACUCCGCCCUCGCCGCGGCGAGCUCGGCCUUCGUCUCCUCCAGCUGCUUCUCUAGCGCCGCG